This 140609-nucleotide long non-coding RNA is filed under the name Malus domestica (apple). Its description in RNAcentral is "long non-coding RNA (MDOM_LNC005185)". The record is from RNAcentral. Lineage: Eukaryota; Viridiplantae; Streptophyta; Magnoliopsida; Rosales; Rosaceae.
UGGAUACGAUGGAUUCAAGAUAAACCACUAGAACUGAUCGACAAAACGUUUUGUGAUUCAUGCAACAUAUCUGAAGUGGUAAGGUGUCUUCAUGUGGGGCUGUUAUGUGUGCAAAGAGUACCUGAGAAUAGACCAAGCAUGUCAUCUGUGGUUCUGAUGUUGAGCAGUGAUGUUGCCUUGCCACCUCCAAAGCAGCCUGGUUUCUACACUGAACGAAGCGUCAAUGAAUCACCAUCAAAGACACUUCUAUGUUCAGAAAAUACUUUCAGCACUACAUGGAUAGAACCUCGGUAGAUCAUCAUUGCGGUGCUUGUUAGUCCUUCAAUCAACCAUCACAAAACGUGUUCGGAAGGUUGACGUGAAGCUUAUAGCCUUAGCUGGGAAACAAUGAGACCUGCGAUUGUAACUCUGCAAGAAAAAUAUUUAUGAUUACAAGUUUAUCAGUUCCUAAAUCAGAACAAAGAAAGCACUUGGGGUUGUUAGAUGAUUGAAGAAAAAUUAAGUUAUAGCUAAAGUUGUGUUUAUUAUUUAUUGAUUUUAUUUUAUUAUUUCAUGAUAAGAUAAAAUUUAUUGAGAAGGAAAGUAGAUCCUGGUUCGGAUAUUUGAUCAAGUCACCGGAAUUAACACUCUAAGCCUGGUUCGAGAUAGGUGUUUGUCAUUUAAGUUUCUUUGGCAAUCCUCUAUUGGUAGAAAAACUUCAGUGCAGGCAUUUGGACCGCGUGACCAUCGUCCCGCAAACACAAACAUCACGCUAAAGUGAGGCAGCCGUACUGAAGUUUCUCUCCACCGUCUAUUCAAGCAUUUUCAGCGCCUGUUCGGUCUGCCCAUUAUUCAAGCACCCACCAAUAACAGCAUUCCAUGAAGCACCAUCCAAUUUAACAUCUACCCUUCUCAUCCUACAAAUUAAAGUUACACCUUUUUGUUUUGAAGCAAGAAAAAAUAUAUAUUAAAAGGUAAACCCCCAAGAACAACCGUUCCCUAUAUAAUCAAACGGAAGAGCAUGAAGAGCAAAUGAAGGAAUAUGGGAUGAUCCCAAAUAUGACAAUUAGUAAUAAGAAGGCCUUGGUGAUCAAAGGCAUCCGCCACAAAGUUAGCCUCUCUAAAAAUAUGUUUCCAAUCAAUGCAAUCAAAUUUGGUUGCCAUCCACUUGAUAUCUUCAAUAAUAGGAACCAGAUUCCACGGUGUCAUAUCCUGGUCCAACACUGACUGAAUGACCAACUUAGAGUCUCCUUCUACCAUAAUCUUUGUAUAGCCCUUCCCUUGAGCAUAAAGAAGGCCCUCUCUGAGAGCCCUAUCAAGAUUUAGAAAUAGUGGCACCAUCAAGAUUUAAAGCUCCACCGCCGAUGAGUUGCCCAAUAUGAUUCUUUAAGACAAAUCCCCCCCCCCCCGGGAACCUUGUCCCCAGCCACUGAGCCAUAAAAAAUUUAGCUUAACAUAACUCUGAUCUGGAGGGUGCCAUUUAAUAAUCAUGGAAAUAUCAUCAGUAUUUCUACUUAAACCCUUACAAUUGGCUUUAAGAUAUCGCUCACCCAUAAAUAUAGCCAGUAAAGUUUACACCCUUUAUGUUAUCUCUGUUCGAAAAAUACGCAGUUAGAAGUACAUUCCAGGACGCGACAUCUCGUUUAGACAUGUUGAUUGAGAUUUAAUAUUAAAUAACUUAUUUACCCUACUAUGCAAUGACAAUUUUGACCUUAUUAGGUUUAAAAAAUAAAUAAAUAAUUUCUAUAUACACCCCAAAUCACUUUUAAUGUAUUAUUUAUCUUCUUCAACUAUCAAAACCCUUCCGACCCUCUAUUGUUGAACAAAACCCUAACCAAUGAAACUACAAACAUGUUGAUUGAGAAAAAUUAUUUUUGACAAAUGAAACACAAAAUCAGUAUUUCCGAAGCUUCACAUGAGGUAAGACUUCAUUUUUUUUUUGUUUUAGUGAUUUUGACAACAUCAAUAAUUAUUUAUUCUUGCUUUUGUUGCAUUUCAAGCUUCUAUGUUCGUAUUCAUCUUUCAGGGAUUACAUGAAGAAUUAAACACCUAAAAUUACCAUAAAAAAUUAAAACAGACGAUAUGGGUUUUAAUGGUGGAAUUGAAAACAACCUAUAUAUGCUUUAAAUCUCAGGCGGCAUCUUUUGUCAAAAUUCUAGUCGGCAUUUUUUAUCCAAAUUAAAAGCUUUAUCAGAUUUGAGAAAUGUUGGGUGUAUGGAAAAUAUGGGGUACAUGUAGAAAAUGUAAGGUGUAUAUUGAGAAUGUGGAGUGUAAGGGUAUUAUGGGGAAGUAUGUGGGGUGUAUUAAGAUAAUUUUUAAUUGAAAAAGCAAAUCUGGGGUGCAUUAAGAUAAUUUUUAAUUGAAAAGGCAAAUGUGGGGUGUAUUAAGUAUAUAGUUCAUCUAUUUAUUAGAUGAGUGUUAAAUGACGAAAUGAAUUCCGUGUUAGUUGAUUUUUAGUAGAUUUGACAUUUAAAUAGUGACUUAAAAAAUUUACGGUUCAAACCAUUAUGUCCCAUUACAAGAUGAAUAAGAGAGACGAAAUGUAAAUAAAAAAUUUCAAACAAGAAAAUUGCAAGCAUUCUCUCUUUAAAAUUUGAACACGUGACCUCUCCAAAUAAACUAAAAACAAGAUGCUAUCAAAUGAUCUCUAGCAUAAUCUUAUGGUUUGAAUUUCAACAAUUCACCGUGGAUGUUUACUUUUGACACGUAAAACUUUGACACGUGUACAAAUACAUUAUUUAUUGUUUAAAUGGCUUUUCACAGCAGAAAUCGAUGGCUUUCUUUAUCCCGCAUACGUUCUAUUGACAAGGCCGCCAGGGAUUUUUCCGAAAUUGUAGAUUUGUGAAAACCUAGUUCAGUUUGGUUGCUUACAAGUUGUAGAUAUCAGUUUAGAGGGAAGGGUUGAGGUUGGUCAUGUAUCUGAUUGAUCUGAGUUGAUCUCAAAACUUAGGUCAAAUUUGUCAAGAAGAUCGACUGCUUGGGCGAUAUUGUGACAUGGUUUUAUACUUAAUAGUCUGAAUUAUAUGCUGGACAGACAUGAACAGGGACUUGUUUGACACCUCCAGUGCAGCAGUGCUUACGUUCGUACGCCUCGUCUCCUAGGCCUUUGAAAACCCGAUACCCUAUCUUCAGAAAAAACAUCAUCAUGCUUAUUUACGAGGCAAAGAAAUUAAACGAGUAAAAGUUUGAAACGGAUCUCUGAGUUUUGUUCUUCAAGUGGUACCAACAUGUAGUUUGAAACACAUCUCAGAACAGCUGUUAGACUUAAUUUACGGAACAAAACUGAAGAAUGCAAGUUCUCUCCAGAGUUAAAGCCUCUCAUAAAAUAAUUAGCUUCAAGUAAAUAAAGUAAGAGUCUAGAGCAAAACUUCUUUGUCUUGAACUUGUUCAAUGCUGCCCAGUUCCAAAGCCUGAAUAUAUAUGUCAAUGGUCAUAAGGAAUGCAUCUCCUAUUGUUUCCUUUCUUCCCUCAUCGAUCGAUCUACACCAUACGAUUGAACAGCCUGCCGGAAUUGAGUUUCCAAAACUUCUUGGCCCUAGAGACGACUUGGCCAUAAUCUUGCUUGCUUUUCUCUCCUGUCACAGUAUUUCCGUUUUGUUUUCCUUCGUUUCUAUCCCGGUAAAUCCUCAAAGUCGUACUGCAUAACCAGUCUUUCCACUGUAUUCGGACUCACUACAUGUCUCAGGUGCAACUCUUUUAAGACUCUGGCUGCCAGUUCCAGUUCUCCUUCGUGCGCAAUCCCUUCCACAAGAAUGGUGUAGGUCAUUUCGUUAGGCAUACGCCCUUUCUCUAUCAUCAUCUCAAAAACCUGGAAGGACAAGUCUGUUCUUCGAGACUUGCAGAAACCGAGUAUAAGGGCAUUGAAAUUGUCCGUAUCAGGCCUAAGGCUGUUUUCUUCCAUUACCUUGAAAAUCUCCAUGGCCUCAUCCAGCAUACCCUCCAAACACAAUCCUCUGAUCAGAGAUGAAUACGUAUAAGAAUCUGGAGUGAAACCGUGCUUGGUCAUUUCGUACAAUAUCUGAAACGCUGGAAACGUGUUCCCUUUCCGACAUAAGCUUGUGAUUACGUUUUUGUACAACUCGUAGCUGGAGCACUUUUGUUUAUUGCAGAGGCUUUGAAUGAUAGAGAAUGCCUCUGGCACCAAACCUUCCUCACAUAGCACAGCAAUGGCAUUGAAUGUUCCCUCAUUAGGAUUACACCGCCGAUGAACCAUUUGGUCUAGACACUUGACCGCACCAUCCACUUUCCCCUCUUUGCAGAGAUGAGCAAUGAUCGGAUUGUAGCUGGCAGCAGUAGGCUUGAACCGACCUCUCUGCAUUUCGUCCAAAACUUGAAGAGCAUGUUCAGUUCUACCAUGAAGUGCAAGUGAACCAAUUAAGAUGUUAUACGUAACUAUGGAAGGGGCUCGAUCCUCUCCUUCCAUCUCAGACAAAAGCACAUUUGCCUCUUCCCACCUACCCUCGUGACACAAACUCCUUAGUACGAUGUUAUAGCUCACAACAUUUGGAUCGAACCCCAUCGAAGGCAAACUCCUAAAGAGCCGAAAUGCCUCAUCAGUCCUACCUUCCUUGCACAAACCAGUUAACAAGACAUUGUAACUGACCACAUUAGGCUUUCCACCUUUAGCAAUUAUCUCCUGCAGGAGCUUCAUGGCUUCAUUGACCCCUCUUUCCUUAUAAGCAGCUUCAAGUAAGAAAGAGUACGUAUAAACAUUCGGAACCAGACCCUUCUGUAUCAGUCUAUCCAAAAGCUGCAAGCUCUGAUUCAAGUUUCCACGAACGCAAAGCCCUCUGACGAGCGAAUUGUAGGUCACAGUAUUCGUCGGAUAUCCGUACUCCUCCAUCUUCUCUACCAGCUGCAUUGCAUACCCAAUGUUCCCUCUUUUACACAAGUAAUUCACCAAGAAAGUAUAAGAAGCUGCAUCAGGUAUAAUGCCGGAAACAACCAUCAUUUCGAUGACUCUGACCGCCUUUCGCAUCUUAUUCGCUUUGCAGAGGUCAUACAAGAGCUGAGUUGCCUGAGCCACAUCAGGCUUCUGGUCCUUCCCCACCAUAGACUCCAAAUGCACAAAGGCAUCAAUGAGUCUGAGCUCCUUACUUCUUCUGUCAUUCUUGGCAUGCCUCCAGUUGGGCAAGGCGAAAACGGUGUCUUUCGGAGAAAUCGUGAUCUGGGAAGCCGCCAAAACUCUGGAAAAUCCCUUGCUAAGGGAAAGGGGUUGGAGAUUCCUGAUGUGGGAGAAGAACCCACAAGUUUUUCUGGUGGUUUCUGGCAAUGGGUGUGCAAUUGGAGACACAUAAUUUACAAGAACCGCCAUUGACAGAGCUAAAAAUAUGCUACAAAGUUUGAAACUUUCUGCCACAGAUAACAAGAAUCAAAAUUCUGGGUUGGCUAAAUUCUCAUCAAAUGAAGAUAAACAAAUGGAUAACAGAGUGUUUUAUCAGGAUGAACACGGAUAAGAUGGACCGGAUAAUUUUAACACGAAUCAAUCAAAAAACGAGAGACGAACUAGAAACGGAGAGAGAGAGAGAGAGAGAGAGGAAAGAACCAACAGGCACACACUCGAUAUCUUCAGCCGCUGGGUUUUUUUCAGGAAUGAUUGGUUGGUCCAUUUGCCAUCCCACUGCUAAGUGCUAAACAAAAUGAAUUUCCGCUUUUCCAUUUCUAAUCUGGUAACUUGUAAAAUCAGACCCCAAAAUAUAGAUGGUAACUGGAAAAACAAAUUAAAACGUCACAAUAACGAUAAACUCGUUAACGUUACUACUAAUACUAUCACUGUCCAGUGUGAGGACCACUACGACACUUUGUUAUCCUGUGAUAUAGAUACAUAAAAAUAAUUAACCUGUGAUAUAGGUUGAUUAUAAAAAUUAAAAAUAAAAUCUAUAAAUGGGGUUUAAAGCAGGAGGAAGAACAAUAAAUAACAAAAAUUAAAAAUAAAAAGAAAUAAUCAAAGAGAUAAUUAGGAAGAAAUUUGAUUUUUAUAAUAAAUCUUAUCAUUGAAUAGAGAAUUAUUGAUAAUUAAAUAAUUAAAUUUAAGAAAUUGGACUUAUUUUAAUAAAUUGGACUAUUCCUACUAUUGGCUAAAAAAAUUGGACUUAUAUCAAGUUUUCCCUAUAAUUAUAUAGUAUGUUUAAUUACAUUAUGUUGUAUCAUUGUCAUUAGACGCUAUAAUAGUGGUUACUUAUUUUACGAAGUUGCUCUCGAGCUUGAUCAAGUGUGUGGUUUUAAUGAAUUUGUACUUCUAAUUAUAGCUAUAAAUGUGAUUUGGGUGUACUUUCACAAAUUUAGAAACUCUUGUUUUAUUCAAGAUUUAGAAAUAUAGUCUCUCCAAACUCCCUCGGACAAUGUUUGAGGCCUCUCGAGCAAUGCUCUAACCAUCGCGAGACCCCUUGAUAUGUGCUCAAGGGCUUGAGUAAAUACACUUAGCCACUUCAGUUCCAAGCAUCUUGCCACAUCAUUCAAUAACUUGGAUACCGAAAAUCACCAAAAUUUCUACAAGAACAAUCUCCAUUUUUGAAAUGGUGAAACCUCAAGGAAUCUCUAACAAUAAUCUGCAAACCAACAAUCUUGGCCAUGAACUUGAUGGCAUUACGGCAGUCCCCAAGUAUCCUUAAAUUCUUAAAUACCCGAAUCGUCGAUUCGCCAUUCAAAUUGAGUAUCCCAAACGCAACAGCAAUUUUCUCACUGUGGUUGCAAGGGAUCCCCACUUUCUCCUCUCGAUCCACAUCUUGCAGAACAAAAUCAGUGUUGGGGACAUGCCCUGCCAAUCUCAUCUUCUCACCCAUGUCAAUCAGAAACUUGUAUAUCUCCGCGCUUCGCUCGUUACUCCUAUCACCGGUAACAAAAGAGUAGACUCUAUUCUUCAGCUGAACCCAAGAACAACCCGGUGUUUUUGUGAUUCCUCCGUCUCUCAUUAACUUCCUAGUUUCUGAAGCUUCUUCCCAUCGCUUGGCGGUGACUAAAAUGUUGGACAACAGCACAUAGUUGCCACGGUUAUCUGGUUCAAUCUCGAAGAGCUUGUUAGCUGCAAUUUUUGCUAAGUCUACAUUUUUAUGAACUCUGCACGCGCCAAGCAAUGCUCCCCAAGCACCGGGAGUAGGUUCCAUUGGCAUUCUUUGUACGAACUGAUAUGCCUCUACUAGGCGACCAGCACGGCUAAGCACAUCAACCAUGCAUGAGUAAUGUGUAGACAUCGAAAUUUCAGUAAAUAAAUGUUGACCGAUAAAUCAAAGUUUCGACGCUCAUGUAUUACAUAAAUUUUACACGUAGCGUAUGUCUAAACAAAAAAUCGAAAUAAGUUGGAAAAGUCAUCAAAUAGGACACGUGUCAACACCUGGCAGAAAUGACUUAUUUCAUCUGGAAUAUUAUAUUCAAAAUUAGGCCUUGGAAAAUUCUAUAAAUAGAAGCCAAUUUCAUUCAUUUGAAGGGACCAAUUUUCAUAUAACACCUUGAAGCUCUGAAACUCUGAAACUCCGAAGCUCUCAAGCGUCCAGGUUCCCGAAGAAUCAAGAAAGCCUUCUUCGUUCUUCGUUCAUCGUUCUUCAAGAUCAAGCCCCAACGGCCCUUGAAGAAAGCGUUCUUCGUUCAUCGUUCUUCCAAGAUCAAGCCCCGAUGACCCUUGGAUUAACAAUCAUCCACCUUCAAGAUCAAGCCCCGACGGCCCUUGAAGAAAGCGUUCUUCGUUCAUCGUUCUUCCAAGAUCAAGCCCUGACGGCCCUAGGAUCAACAAUCAUCCACCUUCAAGAUCAAGCCCCGACGGCCCUUGAAGAAAACUUUCUUCGUUCAUCGUUCUUCCAAGAUCAAGCCCCGACAGCCUUUGGAUCAACAAUCAUCCAUCUUCAAGAUCAAGCCCAAAAGCCCUUGAAGAUCUGUUCAUCACUGUUCUUCAAGAUCAAGCCCAAAAGCCCUAGAAGAUCCGUUCAUCACCGUUAUUCAAGAUCAAGCCUCAACAGUCAUUGAAGAAACGCUCAUCCUCAAGAUCAAGCCCCAACAGCUCCUUGAAGAUUCGCUCAAAUCCACUUUCAAGAUCAAGCCCACGACCCUUGAAGAACGUUCAUCCUUAGAUCAAGCCCAACGGCCCUUUGGAUCAAUUGCACAUCCACAAAUACACACCUUACGGAGAUCGAGUCAGAGGAUCAAAUUAGAGAUUGUAACCCUAAAAAAUCAUCAAAUACAAAAUAUUAUUUUGUGCAUGUUGUUCUUGUCUCUUUCGUUUCAGGAAAAUUUCGUGUUUACAAAUUUGGCACACCCAGUGGGACAAUCUCUACCUCUCAUCUCUUUCUCCGUUCAAGAAAUUCAAACACACCUCAAAUUCAAUGGCAUCAAGCAAGGGACAAGCCGUUCUCGCAACCACUGAGGGAACGAUCCUAAGCAUUUUUGCCGCAAACAGACAAUCCAUUGGCGCCACAACCGCUCCUCAACAUGCCACUUCAAAAUUGGUGCCGCUAAAAGAGCAAGGGAAGCAUCAAAGGUGCGAGUCUGUCAUCAACCUGACCUCGCUGGGGGCACCGAAGCAUGCUGCUGAGGCACACAAGAUGACAUCCCAAAACAGCCAACGACAUUCUUCGUCAGCAUCCUGGAUGUCUAAAGGAAAGUCACGUCUAUUGGUUGCACAAGUCAUGACCAUCGACAUUACCUCCAUCGAAGAACAACUAGCUCAAAUGAAUGAAACGAUCGCAAGGCUAACACGGAUUGUUGAAGAAAAAGACUUGCAAAUCGCUGCACUCGUCAACCGACUGGAGCCACAGAACGGUGAGAACCCCGACCCAGAGGAUGAUCCACUAAAGAGAGGAGAUGGCGAAGAAGAGGAGCCUCAGGUGGAGAAAAUCAAUAUAAAGCCGGAGCCAGACCAAGCAGCGGCACUCAUGGGAUCUAUUUCUAUCCAGCAGUUGCAAAAGAUGAUCGCCAGCACCGUCAAGGCACAGUACGAAGGGAGCUCAAAUACCUCCGGGUUGUAUUCAAAGCCUUAUUCAAAGAAGAUUGAUGCCCUGAAGAUGUCGAGGGGAUAUCAACCACCAAAGUUCAUACAGUUUGAUGGAAAAGGAAACCCAAAGCAGCACGUUGCACAUUUCGUCGAAACUUGCAACAACGUGGGGACAGAGGGAGACUACCUCGCCAAGUAGUUUGUGCGCUCGCUGAAAGGAAACGCCUUUGAGUGGUACACGAACCUAGAGCCUGAGUCCAUCAACAAUUGGGAGCAAUUGGAAAGAGAAUUCCUUAACCACUUCUACAGCACCCGCCGCACUGUAAGCAUGCUGGAGCUCACAAGUACGAAGCAAUGGAAAGAUGAGCCGGUCAUUGACUACAUCAACAGAUGGCGCACUCUAAGAUAGGCUCUUGGAUACCUCUUCAAUCGAGAUGUGCGUCCAAGGUAUGCAAUGGGGUUUGCAAUACAUCCUUCAAGGCAUCAAACCACGGACAUUCGAAGAGCUAGCCACCCGCGCCCAUGACAUGGAGUUGAGCAUCGCCCAUCAUGGGAAGAAGGAACCGAUCGCCGACUACAAGAACGACAAAGUUCUUGAGACAAAGGUGGAGAAGGCUGCGUGGAAAUCCACCAAGGAAGCAAUGACGGUCAACACAGCUCCCGUCAAAAUCCCUACACGAGGUAAGGCGAUUCAAGCCGAAGCUUUUCGUGAUUAAAAGAUGCGUAGACGCACUUUGAAGGAGCUUGAGGAGAAGACUUAUCCAUUCCCCGACUCUGAUGUGGUUGCCAUGUUAGAAGACUUGCUGGAAAAGAAGGUGAUCGGUUUGCCUGAAUGCAGACAGCCAGAAGAGAUGAAUCCCACCGACAGUCCAAGGUACUGUAAAUUCCACCUCUUCAUCAGUCAUCAAACGAAAAAAUGCUUCGUACUGAAAGAUCUCAUCCUGAAGCUAGCACAACAAGGGAAAAUUGAGCUUGACCUCGAAAACACGGUUGCGGCACACACUACUACUAUCGUGUUUGGAUCACUCGAUCAUGUGCCUCUCCGAAGCACGCAUGACCAUUCCCGUCAAUGUUCAAGUCACACAGCACUUCCUACACAACCAUCAUCGGGGGCAAGCAACCAAGAUGCAUCUACCAGUAAUAAGGAAAGGUGGACAUCGGCGACCUACAAAAAAACAAGGAAGCCAAGACCACAAGCCACAAGGCCAAAAGAGGAGCCUAAACCCGUCCCUCGAACUUUAGUCUUCUACAGGCUGAAUCAUUCAAAACCUAGAAUUUCGGCACUUGAUUGCAUCAGUGGUCGAGACCGAACUUCCGUCUUCAAAAGGCUUAAGACGCCAACACCGCAAAGAUCUGUCUUUGAAAGGUUAUCAAAACCCAAGAAACAAAGCGGCACAACUAGAUCUCCCCCGCAACAGUCGGCUGCGGACAAACUUGAAGAAACUAAAAAGCCUUCUAGAAACAGGAAGACAACGCCAAAGGGAGAAAAGCUCGACAGUCUAGCAGGAAAAGACGAUGUUUAAAGCUUGAUUCCUUCAAGGAUGAAGCGCCAAGCAACUUUGGAAGUCGAUACAAAAGGACCACUUAAGGUAAGGAGGCGCACCAUCAUCUACACCGGCCAAUCUUCACGCCAACAAACCUAAGAAGACCGCACUGAAGAAGAGGCCCAAGAAGACAAAGAAGACGAAAUCCCGGAAGAAUACGUCACUUCCGGCUCCGUCAACUUAAAAUCUUCACCUCAAUCGCUUGAGGCAUGCUCUAAAACCAUGCCAGUCAAGCCAAGCGAAGUUGAAAGAUGGAUUCAUGUCACUUCGAAGAAACUGCACAAGAAGCAUAUGUCUUCUCCACAAGUGCACCAAUCAGAAAAGGGGCAAAACAGCUUUCGCCAACCUCCAGAACAAUGUGAAAGUGUUGGAGAUAAUGAAACUUUGACACAAAGAUCAUCCAUCCCCAUCACGAUGUGUGACAUCUUCCUAGAAGACUUCUUCAACUACUCAGUCAAGGCUUCUUGCUAUGAAGAUUGCGAGGAAUAACUCUCCCGGAUCGCUUGACGAACCACAAAUGCUCCUUGUUCGCACGAGCCUAAACUGUACGAACCAAAGCUCCUUGUCCGCACGAGCCUAAACUGUAGGACACGAGGCUCCUCGCCUACACGAGUCUAAACUGCAUGGCACAACGCUCCUGGUCAGCAUGAGCAUAAAAUGCGACAUCAACGCUCCUAAUCCGCAUGAGCAUAAAAGGCGAUACCAACACUCCUUGUUCGCACGAGCCUAAACUGCACAAACCAAAACUCCUGGCCCACAAAAGCAUAAACUGUGUACGGCAAAAUCAUCAUCAAAAUCACUGUUAAAUUCAUCACUCAUUUGAACUACGUUAUGACUUGAUCUCUUAUUUGGAAGAGUACAUAGGCAACUUGAAACUUCAAAAGUUCAAGUACAGUCACAUCAUCAUAAAAAACACAAACACUUUGAAGAAUAAAAAGCAAAUUCAAAAUAUGAAUACUUUAUUUCUUUAAAGGAAUGAUUUGGUUACAAAGCCGUAUUACAAAGGUGGGCAUUACGUCAACGUCACCACCGAGGAAAGUUGUGACCAAAAGGCACUACAUAGCAUAAACUCGCUGCAGUCUUUUGCACAACCCCACAAGGUAAAGGUGACACACUGGAACAAGCUCCAAGCAGCAGCGGCAAAGAGCCUAUGGCAAGCAGCAAGGUCAAUAUGCACGGCAACGUCCCCCACCGAGGAAAGUUAUGACCAAAAGGCACUACACAACAUAAACUCGCUGCAGUCUUUUGCACAACCCCACAAGGUAAAGGUGACGCACUGGAACAAGCUCCAAGCAGCAGCGGCAAAGAGCCUAUGGCAAGCAGCAAGGUCAAUGUGCACGGCAACAUCCCCCACCGAGGAAAGUUAUGACCAAAAGGCACUACACAGCAUAAACUCGCUGCAGUCUUUUGCACAACCCCACAAGGUAAAGGUGACACACUGGAACAAGCUCCAAGCAGCAGCGGCAAAGAGCCUAUGGCAAGCAGCAAGGUCAAUAUGCACGGCAACGUCCCCCACCGAGGAAAGUUGUGACCAAAAAGGCAUUACACAAUAUAAACUCGCUGCAGUCUUUUGCACAACCCCACAAGGUAAAGGUGACGCACUGGAACAAGCUCCAAGCAGCAGCGGCAAAGAGCCCAUGGCAAGCAGCAAGGUCAAUGUGCACGGCAACGUCCCCCACUGAGGAAAGUUGUGACCAAAAGGCACUACACAUCAUAAACUCGCUGCAGUCUUUUGCACAACCUCACAAGGUAAAGGUGACGCACUGGAACAAGCUCCAAGCAGCAGCGGCAAAGAGCCCAUGGCAAGCAGCGAGGUCAAUAUACACAGCAAUGUCCCCCAUCGAGGAAAGUUGUAACCAAAAUGGCACUACAUAACAUAAACUUGUUGUAGCCUUUUGCACAACCCCACUUGGCAAAGGUGACAUACUGGAACAAGCUCCAAGCAGCAUCGGAAAAGAGGGCAGCUAUAAGACGGUUUUUCAAAGCACGCUACAGUAGCAAAGAAACCAAAAUGCCACGCAAUCGCACUACGCAACCUCGCAGCAAUUACGCAAGCAGUUUCUUACACCGCACGUCGACGUCACCACCAAGGGAAAACUGUGACCAAAAGGCAUUACACAGCGAAGCCCCACUGCAGUCUCUUGCAUAGCACCACACGGUAGCGCACCACCGAGGGAAAACUGUGAUCAAAAGGCACUACACAGCGAAACCCCGUUGCAGUCUCUUGCACAAACCCUAGGCAGCAGAAAGCACAAAUAUGCCCACAUCUUGCUCACUCCAAAUACCACGUCUCUGAAAGCUUCAUGAGGGUUCCAACAUCAUGCUCUGCCUUCUCCAAAAUUAAAGAUUCCUUGCAUCACAUCAAAUAAAAAAAAUACAUAUGUUUUAUGUAUUUAAUAAAAAAAAUAAAAAAAAAGAAUACAUACGUUAUUACUUGUUUACAAAAAGAAAAAAGAAAAAAAAAGAGAUUUCUUUUACAUACAUAUACAUACAAAUAUAUAUAUACAUAUAUAUAUAUAUAUAUGUAUGUAUGUAUGUAUAUCCAUCAGCAGCAAGCCUCUCAAAAGGAGGCCAUCCAGGCCCAAGUGGCAGCCUCCAAGCCCAAUCCGUCAUCUUCCCCGCCUACACAAAGUCCAGUGAGAGAGUUGCCAGAAAAUCCCACGCAAGUUGUGGAAGCAGUGCCGGCUGUGGUGGGUAGAAAGGGGAAUUGUAGCAGCAGCAGCAGCAGCAACAGCUCAAGCAGCAAUGGCAGUACAAGCAGUGGUGUGUUUGCAAGUUUAUUCGCUUCCUCAACAACAUCGGCAAGCUUGCAACCUCCUCAACCGCCUGCAUUUACUGACUUAAUUCGAGCCAUGGGGCAUCCAGAUCAAUCAACCAACCUAGCUCCAUCUUCUUCAAUGGAGCCCAUUUCUCUUGGCCUCUCAACCAGCCAUGGAUCCUCAAUUUUCGAGUCUGCAGGACAGGAGCGUAGGCAAUAUGCGCCUCCAUCACAACCAUCUAUGUCUGCGACAGCACUGCUUCAGAAAGCUGCUCAAAUGGGCGUAGCAGCAACCAAUGCAUCGUUGCUUCGUGGGUUUAGCAUUAUGUCAUCUUCAACGUCUUCCACGCAAGAAGAGAGAGAGAAAGAGCGAGCAUGGGCGAGAUCCAGGCCAUGAGGGACCUGAGAGAAUGGCUGCUGACGCUUUGUUCAACACUUUGCCAGCUGCCUUUGUUCAACGUUUUGCUUCUUCCUUAUUGGGUUUCCUUCUGAUUUCUACAAUGGAUGCCGACGAAUCUGACGACUUGAGCAGAGAAGAAGAGGCGUCCGAUACUAAGAGCAUGGAAGAAGGCGAGAUGGCACAGCAACAAAAACCACGGCUUUCGCCGGAAAUACGUCAGAUCCCGCACGAGCUUCCCCACCGAUGAUACGACCAAUAUUGCAUACAUUUUAAUGCCCUUUAGUUUAGAUUUUUGUUAUGUUUUUGAGUGAAUUUAGUUUGUUUCAUUUAGUUUUAUGUUUUUCUUAGAUUUGAAGAGUGAAGAUGAAGAAAGAAGAAAAAAUGAGCACUUUGGCGAUUGAAGUGAGUUAUGUGCCCUGGAAGCAGAAGCUGUUUGUGCAGAUCAGCCAACUUGACGGAAUAAACUGUACUUCCUCAGAAUGAACCAGCUGUUGAGCUUUAUACCAUUGGAAAGAUAUGGAUGUUAGCUUUCAGAGGAAUUUUACGGACUGUGAUUUCGAGUUUCCUAGACGAUGUUAUGAAAGUUUUUGUACAAGACGUCGGUCAGCCAAGUCUACGCGGAAAUUGCAAAGUCUGUUGGGUUUUUCAAGUCAUAAUUCAGUCGAAGCCCAAAGCCCAAGAUAGAAAACGUUGGAGAUGAUUUUAGUCCUAUUUCAAAUGGGUCUGGAGUAAUUUACUUGGGAAACUUACCUGCCACAUCAUCAAUUAUCCAAUACAAAUGAGGAAAAGAUUGAAAAAGACCUAAGGAUGCUAGGAUUUUGACGAAUCGAUAAGGGAGAGAUUGUAGGAAGCAAAGAGGGGUUCUUUUGGGGGGGAUUCUCUGCGUGUUUUUGGAAGAGCAGCAGCCGCCUUUCAUCGAUCCUAAGUUCUUCAUGUUUUUAAGAUUGUUAAUUAUGUUUUCAUAUUCUAUGAGUAACUAAACUCUUUUUCUAGGGUUAGGAUGAUGCCCUAGCAUGGAUGUUUAUGGUUUUUAAUGUUAUUCAUUGGGUUUCUAGAUUCUUUUAGAUGAAUGUUUAAUCACUGUUUGAAUUGUUACUCUUUGUAUGGGUUCUUUGAUUGAUCACCUUAGGGCUUUGCAUCUAGUAAGAUUGGAAGAUGAAUUUGAGGCUGAACUAGCAAUAUAAUUCAAUUAGCUUCUUGUGGUUAAGUGUGGUAAAUUACAUUGUUGCUUGACAAAGAAUAAUGGUUUGCUUGGUUCCCUUGUUUUCUAGAGCGUACAGAGUCCUAUUUGUUAAAUUUAUGCCUUAACCAGGAUAGAUUGCAUGUUAGGAUAUACGACCUCUGCUUGAACUAGGAGAGAAUCAUUCACUUAAGGAAAACUAUGAUCUAAUGUGCCUGACAAGGACGUAGAUACGGGAAUUAUCAUCUAAAGAAUCGAAAGAUCCGUUGAAUGCAUUGAAACCUAAAUUAGAUUGCUUGUGGUUGAUUCCGAAUCCCUAGACUUUUCAUCACUUGCCUUAAAACACAACAUUUUCUUCUCUUUAAUUUCAGUUUUUACUUAAGGUUCUGUUUUUGUUCGUUUAUAAAAUCAUCACAACAAAUUCUUCACAUCCUUGAUUGAUUUUAUUAAUUAAGAUCGAGUCUAGUCCGUUGUUUGAAUUUAUAGUUUUGUGUUUGUGUGUUAUUAAUAUUAUUAGAUUUGGUUUAGUUUAUCGAAUUGGAGAUUGAAUUAGAAUCCUCGUGGGAACGAUACUUGGACUUGCAAAACGCUAUAUUACGACUACUUUGUGCACUUGCAAGUUUACACCAACCGACCCCCAGGCGUUGGGCCAUAUUAGACUUGACGGAUUCGAGCAAAUAGGCGUUGGGCCAUAUUAGACACAGAACCUGCACACUGCACACUAAGAGCCAGAGAAUCCUUAACAGCCAACUCAUCAGACCGUUUGGAAAGUAGUUUGUUAUCUUUGAGAGUGACAAGGUUCCGGGCCACCACCGCAGCGGUCAUAUCAUUCUUCAUCAUCGAAUCCCCAACGGUAAGAGGACCAGUAGGGGAUAUGAAGGAUGGGCGCCAUAUGUUGUCUGGAGAAGGCGGGACUGCCUCUUCACCAAGGUUCAAAUAAAAAACAACGGUCGGAGGGUCCAGACAUUUUCAAAGGUGUUGAAGAAAGAAGAGGUCAGACAAAUCAAGAUCUUAGAAGUGCAAGAAGGGAGUUUCUACAAGCGAAAAUUCAAGUGUGCUUUGAAACGAACUGCAUGCCUCUAUAAAAAUCAGUACUCGACGGGAUUUCAGAGAUAGAAGAGGCGAGCUCAGAAUUCAAAGAGGCCAAUUCAAAAAUCGAAGAGGCAAGCUCAGAAAUCAGAGAAGCAUCUUGCUUUUCCAGACGCGUCAGCACCCGUCACACACAAACUCAGCUUUGCGGAAAUCACGGGCAAUUUGUCGAAACGCCGAUCCCAGAUAUCGAAGAGACGCCAGUCUUUUUCAGCCUCGUCAACACCUGUCACAUGCACACUCAGCUAGGCGGAAAUUACGGACAAUUUGUCGAAGAUUUCUGAUAAAAAAGAAAGCACGUGAAGCCAUACUGAUCAAUCACGCAUUGGUUGCCGACACGAGUGAAAGAAUAGUACCUCUACAGGUACUAAAGAAUUUCCUAUAACUAUCCACCUUCACCCUCCAUAGCAAGGUAGACAUACAUAACCUUUCUUCAUCUCGGAGAACCUUUCUUCAUCUCCGAGAACCUUUCUUCAUCUCCAAGAAUGCCUUCCCAACGAAGCCUCUCGAGUCACUCAGUGUUUCUUAUUCCUUGGGGUACCUCUGCAAACAAAUGACCUAAAGCAAAAGUAUCUUAUAUCACCAGGGUAGAAAGCAAGAGUAUCUCAUAUCAUGCUUUCUCCCCGUCCUUUCCUUUGUCCUUGUUCUUACCUGCAAAGACAAGGAUAAAGAAAACAAUAUGUCGGAACCUCCACUCAAACUCAGGUAAGGAAUCGACUACCUGGAACCUUUGCCUGGUUGCUUACAUGGUAUUACUCUCGAGUACUCGUCUUUCACUGCUGCUGUACUUCCAAAGAAGCUGCCACAUCUGCCUGGAGAACAGAUAAGGCAAGUGAAAAUGAUACCUUGCAGCAUGUGGAGACAACGUGCAGAAGAAACAAGCAGAGAAGAAUGCGGUCUGCACAGUCAACUCAGCAGAAGGAGUCCGAGUUGAGGAACUCAAGAAGCUACCACAUCUGCUUGAAGAAACAAGCAGAGAAGAAUGCAGCCUGCACAGUCAACUCAGCAGAAUGAGUCUGAACUGAGGAACUCGAGAAGAUGCCACAUUCUGCCAGAAGAAUAAAUAAGGCAAGGGAAAAUGAUACAUUGAAGCAUGUGGAGACAAGCGAAAAACAAAGCACGUGCCGAUUCAUCCGCUACUUCUUAAAAAAUCAAAAGUAUCUCAUAUCAUCAGGGUUGCAAUCACUAUGGGUGGAGGACUCGUUUUGACCCUCAAAUUCUUGGGUCGACUUACUAGGCGUUGUGGGCUGCACGUGCCGAUUCACCACCCUUGAAUCAAAUCCUUAAAAAUCAAGUCACCAACUGGAAGAAGAGCCCAUCAAUCUUGAAGAUCAUACCGUUGACCAAACUGCUCAGGUGUGAAUUAGAAAGAUUGAACAAAGCAACAAGUCAUCACCUUCCCCUCAUGCCUGCUUGCCAUGUGUUUGAGUCAACCUUCAAGAAUCAAGCUUCAACGGCCCUUGAAGAAGCUUCCAGCCAAAUUCAAAAUCAAGCCUCGAUGGCCUUGGAAGAAAUCACAAGUUCGAUUCAAGAUCAAGUGUCCACCACCCUUGAAUCAAAUCCAGUUCAAGAAUAAGCUGUGGAAAGUCAACAAGCGCAAAAAACAAAUACGUACCAAUUCAUUCACUACCAAAGCCAAAGAUCAUCUACCACAUGAAGCUCCUUGUGGUCCAAUUUCAACCUUCAAGAUCAAGCCUCGACGGCUCUUGAAGAAAUCUCAAGCCCAAUUCAAGAUCAAGCCUCAACGGCCCUUGAAGAAAUCUCCAACCCAAUUCAAGAUCAAGCCUUGAUGGCCCUUGGAUCGACAUCUACAGUAAGGGACUUCAAAACGCAUCUCCUACAUGUGACAAGCACAUGUAUACGACACGCCUUGAAGUGGGGGCAUUUGUAGACAUCGAAAUUUCAGUAAAUAAAUGUUGACCGAUAAAUCAAAGUUUCGACGCUCAUGUAUUACAUAAAUUUUACACGUAGCGUAUGUCUAAACAAAAAAUCGAAAUAAGUUGGAAAAGUCAUCAAAUAGGACACGUGUCAACACCUGGCAGAAAUGACUUAUUUCAUCUGGAAUAUUAUAUUCAAAAUUAGGCCUCGGAAAAUUCUAUAAAUAGAAGCCAAUUUCAUUCAUUUGGAGGGACCAAUUUUCAUAUUACACCUUGAAGCUCUGAAGCUCUGAAACUCCGAAGCUCUCAAGCGUCCAAGUUCCCGAAGAAUCAAGAAAGCCUUCUUCGUUCUUCGUUCAUCGUUCUUCAAGAUCAAGCCCCAACGGCCCUUGAAGAAAGCGUUCUUCGUUCAUCGUUCUUCCAAGAUUAAGCCCCGACGGCCAUUGGAUCAACAAUCAUCCACCUUCAAGAUCAAGCCCCGACGGCCCUUGAAGAAAGCGUUCUUCGUUCAUUGUUCUUCCAAGAUCAAACCCCGAUGGCCCUUGGAUCAACAAUCAUCCAUCUUCAAGAUCAAGCCCAAAAGCCCUUGAAGAUCUGUUCAUCACUGUUCUUCAAGAUCAAGCCCAAAAGCCCUUGAAGAUCCGUUCAUCACCGUUAUUCAAGAUCAAGCCUCAACAGCCCUUGAAGAAACGCUCAUCCUCAAGAUCAAGCCCCAACGGCUCCUUGAAGAUCCGCUCAAAUCCACUUUCAAGAUCAAGCCCACGGCCCUUGAAGAACGUUCAUCCUUAGAUCAAGCCCAACGACCCUUUGGAUCAAUCGCACAUCCACAAACACACACCUUACGAAGAUCGAAUUAGAGGAUCAAAUUAGAGAUUGUAACCCUAAAAAAUCAUCAAAUACAAAAUAUUAUUUUGUGCACGUUGUUCUUGUCUCUUUUGUUUCAGGAAAAUUUCGUGUUUACAUAAUGAUCUGCAUUGGGUUCUAUUGAGUGAUCCCUCCUCAUUGAAUCAAAAACCAUGAUGCCUUCACCAACCAGCCGAGAAUGGCUACAACCGCUCAAAACACCAGUGAAAGUAACAGAAUUAGGCUUCACCCCAGAGUCUAACAUUUUUCUGAAUGGUAACAAGGCUUCUUCUCCAUUCCCAUACAUCGAGUUUGCAAUGAUCAUCGUAUUCCAUGCAACUGUAUCCCUUCUUGGCAUCAUAUCAAAGACCCUCUGAGAAAGUUCCAACUCACCACAUUUCGCGUGCAUGAAAACCAAAGCUGUUGUGGUAGCCAAGUCCUCCAUUAAACAAUUCCUAAAGAUGUAACUGUGCACCUCUUUGCCUGCCCUCAAGCUUACCAAAUCUUCGCAAGCUGGUAACAAACUAGUAAUUGUGAUCUGAUUGGGCUUAAUUCCUGAUUCUUGCAUUUGUCCGAGCAUUUUCAGCGCCUGUUCCGUCUGCCCAUUAUUCAAGUACCCACCAAUAACAGCAUUCCAUGAAGCACCAUCCAACUAAACAACUUACCUUCUCAUCCUAUAAAAUAAAGUUACACCCCUUUCGCAAUCUCUGUUCGAAAAAUACACAGUUAGAAGUACAUUCCAGGACACGACAUCUCGUUUAGACAUCAUAUCAAAUACCAACUGAGCUUGUUUAAUGCUCAGACAACUAGCAUAGAUAUUUAUGUGUCUGUAUUAUUUAUUUGGUCAUAAGUAAAAGUUUGUAUUCGUUAUUUAUGACAACUAAUAAAGCUAAUAAACAUAUAUUAUAUAUGUUUGACAUUUACUUGUGACGCGUAAGAGUUUGACAUGUGUACACAUAUAUUAUUUAUUUAUUUUCUGAAAUACAGACACAUUUUUUUCAUUCAAUUACAAACACAUUUAAUGAAUAAACUUGGUACAAAAAGUUGGUUCCCUUCACCCAAUGAUUUGAUUUUUUCGCUAAUACUUGCCAUCAUAUUUGAGGUAGGUUUUAUUAGCUAAUGCUUGAAUUCCAUAUAAGAUUUGACAUGCUUGAUGGGUAUUUUGUUUCUUUUGAAGAUGAAAGUUUUGCUUCUGUUUGUCUAUUUUAAAAUUCAACAACUAAAAAUUUAACGGUCAUGCGAUAUUAUGAGCCAAUUCAUUCUAUAAUUUCCGCUAACUGAUAACAAGUGAAUUAUUGUUUCAUGACAGCUGGGAGAGAGGCAUUUGUCAUAUGAAUUUCUUUGGCUAUCCACCAUUGGACAAGUGAUCACUGUUAUUAUCAGCUGUCAACUUUGUUGGGUCUGAAUUGUCAAUAGAGCAUAACUUUCUCUCCAAACCAAAGUUGGGUCAAUUAAGAAACCCAAGUACUUUAAUUUAUUUGAUUUUUCUUUGGGCAAACCGUCCAUCUUCUCUGCAUAAUUUUUGUAUUAAUUUCUUUGGACAAAGUGUACAAUCUCAGAACAACCAUGCAAUCAUGCAAAGCCUUGCGAAGCUUUUUUAUGUGCUUGCUCUUCUUAUUCUCCCUUCUAAGAAUCGCAGCUGCAACUGCACUGGGCACAAUCACUCCGAGUCGAUAUAUAAGAGAUGGCGAAACUCUGGUUUCAGUAGGUAGAAGCUAUGAACUGGGAUUCUUCAGCCCUGGUAAAUCGAAAAGCCGGUACUUGGGAAUAUAUGGUACACUGUUUCUACUGAUGCAGUUGUGUGGGUAGCCAACAGAGAAACACCACUUGGUGAUUCUUUGGGACUUCUGAAGCUCACCGAGCAAGGAGUUCUGGUCCUUCUCAAUAGCUCAAACAGCAUUGUGUGGUCAUCGAAUUCUUCAAGAAUCGCAGGGAAUCCGGUGUCGCAACUCUUGGAUUCUGGAAAUCUUGUGGUGCAAGAUGGGAACGAAACUAACCCGAAUAACUUCUUGUGGCAGAGUUUUGAUUAUCCUUGUGACACAUUCCUACCGGAAAUGAAGAUUUGUGGGGACUUGGUUACCGGUUUAGAUAGGUAUCUCUCGUCAUGGAAGAGCACAGAAGAUCCUACUCAAGGAGAAUUUUUGGCACGAAUGGAUUAUCAUGGCUUACCACAAGUUCUUCUUAUGAAAGGAGCUAAGAUACAGGAGAGAACAGGGUCAAGGAAUGGCCUUUAUUUGACAGGACAAGGAUAUGGUGUCAGAGAACCAAAUCCAGUAUCUGGGACUAAUUUGUGUUGAACAAGGACAAGGUCUAUUUUGAGUACAGCCUCCGAAACAUGUCAGUGUUCUCGAGAAUUGUAUUGAACCCCUUCGGGGUCUCCGAGCAGUUCACAUGGGUGUACCAAAAACACAGUUGGGAACUUCCCGCUACACUCCUAGCAGAUCGGUGUGAAACCUAUGCCUUUUGUGGUCCAUUUUCUAGUUGCAGUAUCAAUAAUAACUCUCCGAUAUGUGCAUGCUUGAAGGGAUUUGUACCAAAAUCUUCAAAAGAUUGGAAUUUGGGAUAUUGGUCUGAUGGAUGUGUUCGAAGGACUCCGUUGGCCUGCAGCGAUGGAGAUGGCUUCAUAAAGUACAGUGGGAUGAAAUUGCCAGACACAUCAACCUCGUGGUUUGAUAAAAGCACGAGCCUUAAGGAAUGCAAGGGAUUAUGUUUGGGAAACUGCUCAUGUACUGCGUGUGCAAAUCUGGACAUCAGGGAGGGAAGAAGUGGCUGCGCGCUUUGGUUUGAUAACCUCACUGACAUAAGAGAAUUCACUCCCGGCGGUGGUCAAGACCUCUAUAUACGGGUGGCAGCUUCAGAACGAGGUACAUCUUCGACCUUUCUCUGCAGUAUGCAAAGUAGGGUUUAAAUAAGUGAAGUGUUAAAAUCACAGUUACUGCAACACUACGAGAUCACACGAAAAGUUUGUUUUAAUACAGAUAUUUCAGAUCACGCUAAGAAAAAGAGCAAUUUCAACAAGAGACAGCUACUAGCAAUUCUACUCAGCUCUGCAGUUUUUCUCAUGGGAUUGCUAGUUGGAAUGAUUUUGUGUAUACGGAAGAAGAAACUCAGAAAUGAAGGUAACUAUUUUUGGACACAUUAAAAAUGCAUUAGAUAAGGUAGUUAGUAUUUAACUAGUGAUGGUGCCCGCACGAUGCUGCGGGUUUUUAAACCAUAUAAAACAUAUCAAAAGUUCCAUGUAUAUAUACGAUAUGCAAUAUUUAUGCAUGUGAUUCAUGUCUUCUUAACCAUUAACAGAACAAAUUGAAAAUAUGAAAGUCAAAAACUACACUUAAGUAUAAAUAUACAUGCGGUCUGCAAACUCGUUUCUAAGUUCUACAACUGCCACUUAUUCCAAAACAACUACUUACUCGUCAUCUCCCUUCAUAAUCCCGUUCGUUGUCUUUUUAGAUUUUGGCAGCUAAACAUGCUCAUUUUAAUAUUCUCUGCAUCCACAUCAUGAGGAACUUUUUGUACCUGAAGUUGCUGUUGGUAUUCACAAGAGUUUUACUAACUCAAUACCAAAAUAUGUGGGUGAUAAGUUUACAAACUCUAUCACACCUCUCACUUUGCACUCUCAAUAAAAUUGGACAAACGAAAAGGAAAGAAGUAACAAGCUUGGUGAUAACAAACACUAUGAAAUAUUAGAAGAGUUUACAACUCUUAAAGCUUACAAGCUGAAAAUGAGAAUGGGAAUUGGAUUGAUGUUCUAAAACCUAGCAAGAAAGCCUAUUUAUACAAAACAGAAAUUGAUAAACAAUACAACAACAUGCAAUGAAUGAUGGUGUUUACCAUCUUUACACCCUUUCAAACACAGGCAGCAACUUUAGAUAGUUGGCACACACAUGCAUUGCAUUAUUCCAGGUUGGAAUCACAACCUUUCGGCUAGCACACAGCAGCUCACAUUAGGGCUGGGUUCGGUUUGAAACGAUUCGGUUUUUUGCUAAAACCGAAACCGAACCGAAAUUUUGGUUCGGUCCGAUUUUUUUUCGGUUCGAUUUUUUUCGGUUUUGAUUUUUUUCGGUUCGGUUUCGGUUUUUUUUCGGUUUUUUCAUGAUUUUUUUUUAAUAUCUGGAGCUUGAAGCACAUUUUUUUUCCUCAUUCGGCUGCAAAUUUACCCUUUCUCUCCACACUCCGCAGAUCCGGAGCCCUCUCAAGCAUAGAUGAAGGUGGUCGCUGCAUCGUUGUUGGCUGUAUUGGGCAGCAAGACCACCACAGCUGGCGGAGGUGGUGCUGUUGCAGUUGCUGCAACUGGUUGUGGUGGUGGUGCUGCCGCUGAGGCAAAGAAAGAGGAUAAGCAAAUAAUGAUAUCAGGGGAGAAAAAAAGAAAGGGAAAGAAAUGGGUGAGACUCUCACAACACAAAAAUCAAACAAAUCUACAAUACAAAACAAAACAACAACCCAUAAAUUUACACCAAAAUUUCAGAUUCCCUCCAUGGAAUUUACUCUAAAAAAACCCAUAAAUCGACAAAAUAAAUAAGAGAGAUUGAAGAUCUUACCCUGGAGUGAGAAGAUCGAGAAACGGAGAGAGAAGAAUGGAGAAGAAUGGAGAAAUUGGAGGCAUGGACAAGGAGGGAGUCUGGAGGCGCAGGGACGAGAGAGAGAGAAGAGGGGAAUGAAAAAAGAAAAGGUAUGGCUGCUACUACUAGUGGCUAGGGUUUUGUUGAUUUCUAAUUGCACAAAUGGCUAUAGAUUUAUAUCUUUAUAAAUAGUUUAGUUAUACAACUAUAACAAAACAAAACCAGUUGCCAUGUUGGUUUUGUUGAAACCUUUCAACUGGAGCGCACGGGUUCAAACCCACAUGCCUCCAGGACUUUAGAGAUUUUUUAAUUUUUAUAAUUAAAAUAUUAUAAAAAAAUAAUUAAAUAUAUAUUCGGUUCGGUUUGGUUUUUUUCGGUCUCGGUUCGGUUUGGUUCUCGAUUUUUUUAGGUUUUCAGUUUUUUGAACCCACCCCUAGCUCACAUCUCUACUGUCUUUCAACACACUUUCAGCUAGCACAUGGAUGAAACUUUAGUCUUUGUAGUUGCAGCAAGUGUGAAUACAACCUGUAAAGAAACUAAUGAUAAGCUCAUAUUUAUAUAUAUUUUACAUAAAAUUCACUUGUCUUUUCUUAGUUAGUUCCUUAUAUUUUUGAGCUAUUUACUAUGUUUUUGUGUUUUGUGUGAUUUAUCAAGCAAAGAAAAGAAAAGUAGCACAAGUGAAUUAUUAAGUAACAAAUUCGUCAAAACUGCCUGUGCAGAUUAUCUGACUUUGGAAGCAUAUUACAAACAGCUCAGAAUGAAUGAGAGAAUGAGCCUUAUAUGCGUGGAAAGCUACAGAUGUCUAUUUUCUGGAGCAAUUUAUGGAUUGUUAAUCUCAUUUUUCUAGAAGAAGUUAUGGGCAUUGUAACACUGAAAGGUCAGAAAAGGGCUAAGCAGAUUUGGCUAAUAAAAAGAGAAAGGCAACUCAUGGGCAAAGGAAACACACACACAUGGGCAGAAAAUGGGUGGAUUGUUGGCUGAAAUAAUGAAGAACAUGUGUCUGCAAAUGCAAAGGAAAAAAACACACACAUAGGCAAAGGAAACACACACACAUGGGUAGGAAUUGUGUGUGUUUUGUGGUUGAAAUGAUGAAGCAUGUGUGUGUAAAUGUAAAGGAAAACAUGGCAGAAAAUGUGUGUGUUUGGUGGUUGAAAUGAUGAAGCAUGUGUGUGUAAAUGUAAAGGGGAAACAUGACAACACACACCCACACAAGCUGCACAUGCAAAGGAAAUGGAGUGGUCAUCUCUCAAGCCUAUAAAUACCACCUCCCAUAUUCAUCAACAAAACAGAUUUUCUCCUUGCUUUGGCCGAAACUUCCCACCACCAUUCUCUCUAAUUUCAGCCAAAAACCACCCCUAGCCACACCACCCAUCAAUCCUAAACCUUUCCAUACCAUUCCCCAUCCAUUCUACACCAUAAAAACCACCCAAAACCGUCCAAAACCUCUAGUGCCGCUGCUUGCAAGGAAGGAAAGAGAAGGAACAUCUUGUGCCGUGCCUAUGCCCAAGCCUUGGGAGUGUUGGAGCGUUUCUAGGUGUUUUCUAUCUUUGUUUUUAAUGUCUAAAUUUAUGCAUCUUUGCUUUGUAAGUAUGAGGAACUAAACCCCUCUUAGUUAGGGGGUGAUUCGAAACUAUGUUCAUGCUUGCAAUAUGAUUUGAUUACAUCCAGUUGUGAUUCAUAAGUUGUGAAUUCAAUUUACUUAUCCGUUCGUAUAAAAACUGAUUUGUGUAUGUUGGUUGAGAGUGUACGCUUAAUUUUCAUGCAUGAAUUUGACGCUAGAAUAUAAGGGAGUUUCACCUAAUCGUUAUGAACUUAUAUUCACAAGUAGUGAAGGUUGCUAGUCACAAUCACGUUAAGUAAAUUCUUGGCAUAAGUUUCAUGCAAAUCAUAUAAGUAACGAGUGCCUCGUCAAUGCUUAUGUUUUUCAUAGAACUUAAUGAUUCUUGCUUGUGUAUCUCUAUUAUGCAAUUCAUGUAGGGAACUUGUAGGGAAUGUUUUGGGUUGUCGUAUGCAAUCAUCCAACCUAAUAACUUGUGGAAAAACUGAGGGUUAAUUAGUGCAAUUCACGGUUAAUUUGGGGCGUUGAGUAUUCAUAGUUUAUCGAAAAGCAAUUGGAAAUCAUUUUGUAUGCAAGUGUGACAUGUGUGGAGAAGAACCUCUGAGCUAGCUUCUCAUCCAUUCAAUUUGAUCAAUCUCGUUUUAAAACCUAUUUUGUUUUACAAAGUUCUUGUUUUGUUUUCAAAUUCGUCUAAAAUCAAUCCCCCUUUAUUUUGUUGAGUCAUAUUAGUUAGAAAUCAAUUUAGUUUGUGUUUUUAAGUGUCUUGAGUCAAGUUAUAACAUAUUUUCGUUCAAAUUCUUCCUUAGUGUUCAAAACUGCCCAGAUUGUGUUUUUAAGGCAGUUUUGAGUGUUUAGGUGCUGUUUUGAGUCUUUGGGUUUCAUCUCUCACCUCUUGCCGUGCCCAUCCUUCACCCAAAUCCAUAUUUUCUGACCCCUAAACCCCCCUAGCCGUGCCAUACACCCAUCCUAGACACUUUUCCACCAUUCUACCUCAUCCAAAACCAUCCCAAACCAUCUCCAUACCUUGUGUCGCAGCAAGAAGGAAGAAGGAGUGCCCUUGAUUGUGCUUGCUAGUCUAUUGCAGAUUGCUGGAACUUUUAGGUGUAAUCUUUCUUAUGUUUUCAAUGUUUCAAUUCAAUAAACCUUGUGUUGUGAGUAUGAGGAACUAAACCCCCUUAGUUGGGGGGGGGUGAUUCGAGACCAUGUACAUGCUUGCAAUAUGAUUUGAUUACAUUCAGUUGUUAUUUCAUAAAUUGUGGAUUCAAUUCGUUCAUCUACUUGAUUGAUAACUUAUUUGUGUAUGUUGAUUGAGAGUGCACGCUUAGUUUUCAUGCAUGAAUAUGAUGCUAGAUUAUGAGGGAGUUUCACCUAAUAGUUACAAUCUUAUAAUCACAAGUAGUGAAGGUCGCUUGAAAACGAUCGCGUUGAAUGAAUUCUUGGCACGAGUUUCAUGCUCAUCAUAGUAACGAAUGCCUCGUCAACACUUAUAGUUCUCAUUGUGCUUAAUGAUUCUUGAUUGUAUCUUUAUUGUGCUCAUCACGUAAGGAACCUUUGAGGAAUGCUUUGAAUUGUUGUAUGCGCUUUCCCAUCCAAUUCAUUAACUUAAGGAGAACUUGAAGGUUAAUUUAAGCGUAUCUAAUUAACUUGGGGUGUUGAGUUUCAUAAUUUAUUGGAAGAACAACUAAAAAUCGUUUUGUUUGCAAGUGUGUCAUGUGUGGAGAAGAACCUCCUAACUAGCCUUUUAUCCAUCCUUUUCAUCCGAAACGUUUUUACAAUCUGUUUGUUUUUAAAGUUUCUGUUUUGUUUUCAAUUUUCGUCCAAAACAAAUCCCCCUUUAUUUUGAAGUCUUAGAUUAGUUAGAAAGUGUUUUGAUUUGUGUUUUUAAGUGUUUUGAGUCAAGUUAUAACAUAUAUUCGUCCAAAUUUGUGUUAGUACUCAAAACUGCCCAGAUUGUGCUUCUAAGGCAGUUUUGAGUGUUUAUUUGCUGUUUUGGUUCCUUUGCUUUGUUUUGGUGUUUUAACUUUUAAUUUUACAUUCUUUGAGUCUAGUUUAGUGUUUUAAACUUUGUUUUUACAUUAUUGAGUAGUUUUCAAGAGUUUAGCAAUCCCUCCUAAUCCCCGGUUUAGAACGAUCCCUACUUACAUCUUUACUACAAUUUGACAAAAGAGGGUUUAAUUUGUGUGUUUAGUUAUUUUAUGCAUCAAUUUGAUCAAUCUCGUUUUAAAACCUAUUUUGUUUUACAAAGUUCUUGUUUUGUUUUCAAAUUCGUCUAAAAUCAAUCCCCCUUUAGUUUGUGUUUUUAAGUGUCUUGAGUCAAGUUAUAACAUAUUUUCGUUCAAAUUCUUCCUUAGUGUUCAAAACUGCCCAGAUUGUGUUUUUAAGGCAGUUUUGAGUGUUUAGGUGCUGUUUUGAGUCUUUUGGUUUGUUUUAGUGUUUUAAAGUAUAGUUUUGCAUUCUUUGAGUCUAGUUUAGUGUUUUAAACUUUGUUUUUACGUUUUCAAGUCAGUUUCCAAGUGAUUUAGCAAUCCCUCCUAAUCCCCGGCCUAGAACGAUCCCUACUUACAUUCUUUACUACAAUUGACAAAAAGAGGGUUUAAUUUGUGUGCUUAUAUAUUUCGCACCAACUAACAGCUAACAGCUGCCAUUUACAACCUGUUUUGAUUUGAAUUUCCAACACACCUCCUCAAAUCAAAACGCCUUCAUGCCUAGCAUUUCACGUAGCAACUUGAAUGGCUCAACUGGCAGGGGCUUUGUGAAGAUGUCAGCCACUUGUUCCUUGGUGUGACAAUAGAUAAGUUCGAUUGUCUUUUGCUUCACAUGGUCCCUCAGAAAAUGGAACCCGGUAUCAAUAUGCUUGCUCCUUCCAUGUUGGACUGGAUUCCUAGCAAGCUUGAUAGCUGAGAUGUUAUCCACAUGAAUCACAGUCGAUUCCACUUGUGGAUGACAUAUUGACUUCAACAGAUUUCUUAACCAAAUUGCCUCACACACAGUUGAGGCUACAGCAACGUAUUCGACUUCACACGAUGACAAAGCAACAAUGGAUUGCUUCUUUGAAGUCCAUGAGAAAGCUGUUGAUCCUAGAAAAACACAUAGCCAGUUAUGCUUUUCCUUUCAUCUUUGUCACCUCCCCAAUCACUAUCUGAAUAACCAAAUAAUUUUGCAUCUUCACCAAAAUUAUAAAAUAGACCAUAGUUUAGAGUACCUCUUAUGUACCUCAAAAUUCUCUUGGCGGCCAGCCAAUGAGACUCCCUUGGUGUUUCCAUGUAUCGACUCACGAGUCCAACAUCAUAAACUAUAUCAAGUCUUGUGAUUGUAAGGUACCUUAGGCUUCUAACCAAGCUUUUGUACACGGUUGAGUUUACAAACUCACCUUCUCCUUCCUUGGACAGCUUCAAUCCAGUUGCAACUGGAGUGUUGACAAUAUUGCACUUGUCCAUAUUGAAUUUCUCCAAUAUAUCUCUCAUGUACUUUUGUUGAGAGAUGUAGAUACCGUCACUUUCUUGCUUCACCUCUAUGCCAAGAAAGUAUGACAUUAAUCCAUUGUCAGUCAUCUCGAAUUCACUGAACAUGGAUUGCUUGAACUCACAGAACAUUGCUUCAUUGUUUCCUGUAAACAACAAGUCAUCUACAUAGAGACAAAUAAUUAAGAACUCCCAUUUUUCACCGUUCUUCAUGUAAACUGAAUGCUCGUAUGGACAUUUCUGAAAUCCAUUUUGGUGAAGGUAGUUAUCAAUCCUUGAGUUUCGAGCUCGUGGUGCUUGCUUGAGGCCAUACAAAGCCUUCUUCAAACGAUACACCUUAUCUUCUUCUCCUUGUACUUGGAAGCCUUCCGGUUGUUCCACGUACACUUCUUCCUCAAGAACUUCAUUAAGGAAGGCUGACUUGACAUCUAAUUGAUAAAUUUUCCAUUUAUGCUAAACGGCAAGAGAGAUUAGUAAUCUUACCGUGUCAAGUCUUGCAACUGGAGCAUAGACUUCAUCAUAGUCUACUCCAUACUUCUGUUUGUAGCCCUUUGCUACAAGCCUUGAUUUGUACCGAUCCACACUCCCAUCUGCAGUGCGUUUGAUCUUGUACACCCACUUGACACCAAUAUCCUUUUGAUUUGGUGAGAGCUUUGUCAACUCCCAAGUGUCAUUUUUCUCGAUGGCAUGGAUCUCUUCUUCCAUGGCUUUCUUCCAACAAUCUUCUUCCACAGCUUCAUUGAAUGAGAGAGGCUCAUGGUUUGCAUACAAGCAGAAAAAGUUGGUUUUUUUUUUCUUCUUGUCCAUAUAUCUCGGUGAGACUUCUUAGCCUCACUAGAGUUGAGGAGCUGCUUUCUUCACUUGAUGUAGGACCACUCAUUGCAGUUCUGUGCAAUGGAGUUGUUGUGUUUGUUUGAGCAGGCUGUUGCUCAACAGGUGGUACAACUUCUGGUUCUUCAAAAUCAGUGGAGACGAUCUUCUCUUUACUGACUUCUUUGUUGUUCCACUUCCAUGCCUCUUCCUCACUGAAGAUGACAUCUCUACUAACCACUAGUUUGCCAGUUAGUGGGUUGUAGAGCUUGUAUGCCCACAAACACACACUUCUCACUUCAAUCAUCGAGUUUCCUUCUCUUGGCUUCUGGAACUUGAGCAUAUGCAACACACCCAAAAACUCUUAGGUGUGCAACAUUCGGCUUGUAUCCACUCCAAGUCUCUUGUGGUGUCAUCCUCUUAACACUCUUUGUUGGACAUCGAUUCAACAAAUAAAUCGAACAAGCUACAGCUUCUGCCCACAAUUCUUUUGGCAAAGUCUUUUCUUUAAGCAUGGACCUUGUCAUGUCAAGGAUGGUUCAAUUCUUUCUUUCGGCUAUCCCAUUUUGCUGUGGGGUAUAGGCAGCAGUUAGUUGAUGCCUAAUUCCUUGCUUAUUGCAGUAUGCUUGGAAAACAUUGGAGGUGUACUCUCCACCUCUAUCUGAUCUCACAGCCACACAUUUGUGGUUGCUUUCAGCCUUUGUGAGUGCCUUGAACUCCUUGAAGAUUCUUAGGGCAGCCGACUUCUCCUUGAGAAAAUAAACCCAAGUCUUCCUACUAAAAUCAUCAAUGAAAGUAAUAAAAUACCUAUUACCUCUAUAAGACAUGGGAUCCAAUGGACCACAUAUAUCUGUAUGCACCAACUGCAGUGGUGCCUUUGCUCUCCAUGUAUCACCAAUAAGGAACGAUAGUCGUGCUUGCUUGCCAAGCACACAACCUUCACAUACUUGGCGUGUGGCUUCAAUCUGGGGUAGACCACGAACCAUUCCUCCACUUGACAACAACUUUAGGCCAUUGAAAUGAAGAUGGCCAAAUCAAAGAUGCCAUUUCCAUGACUCAUCUUCCAUUACACCGAUGUUGCAACUCCCAAUCUUUGUGUUCAACUUCAACGGGAACAUUCGGUUCUUUGACAUUUGAACACGUGCAAUAAGUUUUCUCCUUGCAUUUCUGAGAGUGAGAAACAUAUCCUCCAUAUGUAUAAUAUACCCUUUCUGGAGCAGUUGACCAAUGCUCAAAAUGUUGUUCUUCAUACCUGGUAUGUAGUAGGUAUCAGAGAUGUAUUCUUCUCUACCAUCAUUCUGGAUGAUCUUGAUCUUCCCUUUGCCUUCAACUGGCAACUUUGAGGAGUCACCAAGACUCACAGAUCCAUAAUGCCCAUCUUUGAGUUCGGCAAAAAACUCUUUCUUUCCACACAUGUGGUUGCUUGCAUCAGAGUCCAAAUACCAAACAUCUUGUUGGCUACUGAUACCAUGGUGUUCUAGUAAGACUGUAAAUUCCUCACCAGCAUUUCCACUUGAUUCUGCAAUGUUGACAUGCUCACCAUUUUUAUAUGAACAUUCAUUGGCAUAAUGUCUAUAUUGCUUGCAACUGUGACACUGGAUAUGCGCUUUUCCUCGAGUAGAUCUCCAUUCUUGAGAUUGACCUCGGUUUUGUGCAUAGCCUUAACCUCUUCCUUGGGCUCAUCCUUGGCUACGGUUAGAUGAACUCCCACGACGUGAGUUCCACUGCCCACGACCUCCAUUUGGUUUGUCAAUAUUCAACUUUGACUCCAAAGCUUGCUCUAGCGUUGUGGGGCUUGCAUUCUUCUGAAUGAGUUGCUCGUGAACUAGGAGGGAUCCUAGUAGCUCCUCUACGCUCAUCGCCUCCAAAUCCUUGGAUUCAUCAAUGGCAGUCACCAUAUGCUCAAACUUAGAUGUGAGUGAUCAAAGUAUCUUCUCCACAACUUGUACUUCAUCGAGUCUCUCGCCAUUUCUCCUCAUUUGAUUUACUAUCACAAUGAGCCUUGAGUGAUAGUCGGAGAUGCUCUCCCCUUCAUUCAUAUGAGCAGUUUCAAAAUCUGCUCGAAGUAAUUGUAACCUCACUUUUUUGACUCGAUCUACUCCUUUGUAGAUUGUACUGAGUGUGUCCCAUACUUGCUUGCUUGUUGUUGCUUCUGCAACUUUCUGGAACGUUGAAUCUUCCAGACCCUGGUAUAGAAGAUACAGCGCCUUCUGGUCAUUCUUUCGUAAGUCCUUGAGAGUGUUCCUUUGUUCUGCAGUAUAUGCGGCUUCUUGCUCGGUAGUGGGUACAACAUACCCACUACUGACUAUUUCCCAUAGCUCUUGUGAUCCAAACAAUGCUUUGAAUUGGAUGCACCAUCUUUCAUAAUUUUCUUUCUUCAAUGUGGGAACCUGGAGCUGCACUAAGUUGGACGCCAUAACUGCUGCACUUGCCAGAAUGGUAUUCUGGCUCUGAUACCAAUUGUUGGUAUUCACAAGAGUUUACUAACUCAAUACCAAAAUAUGUGGGUGAUAAGUUUACAAACUCUAUCACACCUCUCACCUUGCACUCUCAAUAAAAUUGGACAAACGAAAGGGAAAGAAGUAACAAGCUUGGUGAUAACAAACACUAUGAAAUAUUAGAAGAGUUUACAACUCUUAAAGCUUACAAGCUGAAAAUGAGAAUGGGAAUUGGAUUGAUGUUCUAAAGCCUAGCAAGAAGGCCUAUUUAUACAAAACAUAAAUUGAUAAACAAUACAACAACAUGCAAUGAAUGAUGGUGUUUACCAUCUUUACACCCUUUCAAACACAUGCAGCAACUUUGGAUAGUUGGCACACACAUGCAUUGCAUUAUUCCAGGUUGGAAUCACAACCUUUCGGCUAGCACACAGCAGCUCACAUCUCUGCUGUCUUUCAACACACUUUCAGCUAGCACAUGGAGGAAACUUUAGUCUUUGUAGUUGCAACAAGUGUGAAUACAACAUGUAAAGAAACUAACAGCUAACAGCUGCCAUUUACAACCUGUUUUGAUUUGAAUUUCCAACAGUUGCAGCACAAUAAUAUGAGAAAUCUUGCCAUACAACACUACCAAUUUUAAAGAUCAUACCAAUUUUAAAGAUCAUAACAUGCAGAGAGACAGUGACAUGAUAAUCUUCCAAACAACAAUGGGGUUUAAGGAAUGCAUUUUAGAAUGUUGAUUCCAAGUUGAGCAUAUAGUGAGAAGAAGCUAUCCACAAAAUGUUAACCACCACGUGAUAUUGGAAGAUGGUUUUGACGUAUUGGGUGAUCCAGUAACUAAAGCAAGUUAGAAUCUAAGUUUAAAUCCCUAUCAGCACUAAAGCAUUAUCUUUCAACAUAACUCAUGACUCAAGCUAAUAAAUUUAACAACUACUCUCAGCUCUAAAUCUUAAGAAUAAUCAGAAAUCCAACAACCUUAAAAUAUUUGACCCUCCCCACAACAUAGAAUUGAUGGUUUCCAGACGCAGUAUCAAAUUUAAAAUAGUAUUGCACCAGUAAACCAUUGACUGAUGUACACACAACAUAAAUGGGUGUGCUUGUGAGUGUGACAUAACAUUGAUCUAAGUAAACCUCAUAAACCAAAAUCAAAACCAGUAAACCAUUGCUCCAAUUUUCUCAAAACACAAAAAAUAUUCCUGUAUUUUGCUCUCAUAAAACCCCACACUAAUCUCAAUCUCAUUUAAAACUAUCCUAAGCAGAUAGCCUUGUUGAAAUUUAUUUGGAGAAAUUGAUCAAUUUCGAAUGGGUGGCCUUAUGAGUGUGUGACAUAACAUUGAUCUAAGAAAAUCAAAACUAAUUUAGAAAACACCAAAUAAUGUGGAACUGGAAAUGAUAAUGAGGGGCAGGCAACCCAGCUCAAAAGGAAUAGGCCUUUACAUUCCUUUUCAAUUUCUUUAACUAAAUAAUUGCAAAUGCAUAUUAAAUAUUCAGUGGUAUUUAAAUCACAGGUGUAUACGAAAUUCUAAUGAUCAUAACAAUAUAUCUUCGACCAAAACAAUACAUCAUUUCGUCUCAAAAAACAAUACAUUAUUGGUCAUAACAAAGGUUUUAAAUUCUAAUAAAAACUUAUAUCAAAAUUCGAUUCAAGCAGUGCAUUAAACAAUAACGACAGCACAACAGUACACAAAUGCUCUCAUAAAUGAAUUAAAGAAUUCUAGAUGUUGUGAUGCCUAACUUAGGAUAAGGUCUUGGAGUGGGACUAAUCAACAAAAUAAAUGAUCAAUGUUUAGAGGAGCUUACAUGGAUCUCACAUCACAAAAAUUAGAGCAUGCACCAAAAUCCACAACAAAUAUCACAAAAAUUAGAGAAUGCCCCAAAAUUUGAGGCCCAAUUCUCUAUUUCACAGAGGAGAAAAACCAAAAAUAAGGGUAACAAAAUCACAAUUCUCUGGUAAUAAAAAUUCAACAAUACAUUAACAAAAUUACUGUAACUGAAUAUACCUCAAAAAGCCAAUGGCCCAAUUGCUCCCUCCAACGAUCCAAAUUUCUGAAAUUCACAAACACAGCAAAUCCAUUAGCAAUUUGACAUGAUUAGUACAAUCAAAAUUCAUAGGAACAAACAAACUUUGCGAGCUAAUUAAAUAUUCACACACACUGCACUCACACACACUGCAUACACACACAAACUGAUUAUAGACACAAUGCACAACAUUCACACACACAGUCACAUAUACACUCACACGCACACCCGCACAUACUGUGUCAUACGUACACACACACAAUUCACACAUACACCCAGUGGCGGAUCCAGGAAUCUUACCCCAAGAGGUCGCAGUGUAAAAGUUCAAAUAAAAAUUUAGGAUGGAAAAACAUAUUGAAAAUGAAAUCAUAGUACUUUCAUUCAUAAUUCAUAAUGGAAACAAUAUUACAAACUAUAAUUGUCCACGACGAGGUUUCAUAUUUUGAAAACGAAGCAUUAUAGCUUCAUUUUCAAUACAAGCAAAAAUAUCUCUCUCAAUAUAAACAAGCAAGCUAUCACUCAACCAUUGAUCUCCCAUUUUGUUCCUAAGUAGACCCUUAACAAUAUUCAUGACAGAAAAUGCUCUCUCCACUGAAGCAGUUGCAACUGGUAAAACUAAAGACAAUGUAAUGAGCAAAUAUACAUAAUUGAAUACUUGAUGCAUCCUUGUCUCCACCAUUUUUUUUGCAAGAUCACCAAUCCCUUCCAAUUGAGAGAAAUCACUACUGGAACACACAUAAUGAAUAUAAAUUUCAAGUUGAUCUUCAAGUGCCAAACGAUCUUCAUCCGAAAAGUCUUGAGGAUAAAAUUGAGCAAGACAAAGUAACUUUGGUUUAUCAAAAGCUACAAAUGAAUCUUUCGGACUCAAACAUGCCAUACAAAUAAGCAACUCGGUAUUUUACCUCAUUAAAGCGAUCCUCUAACUCCGUAAUUUGCUCAUCAAUGACAUAAAUAAAGAGCUCCACACGAUAAUGAUGACGAUUUGUCUUUAUUGGAGCAUAACGCCUUGACCUCCCUGGAAGUAUAAAUGCCUCUUCCAUGUUAGGAACAUCAAUAUGAUGUUUUUCACAAAAAGAAGAUACUUCAUCAACCAAUGCAUCGAACCCAUUAUUCCUCAUCCAAUAUAGCUUUUCCUUGCAUGAUUUCACUAAAGCCAUUGCAUUCACAAUUUCUUGAUCUUUCCUUUGCAAUGCUUGUGACAAAUCAUUUGUGAGUCCCAAUAUGACUUUCAUCAAGAAAAGGUGAAACACAAACUCAAAAGUAAGUAUCACUCUCAUUAACUUAUUUGCUUCACCCGCACUUUCAUUGGGAUUAUCAUCAAUAACCAUUUGAAGCACAUGAACCACGGAUGAAAACAUAGAAAUGAUGCUAAUCAAGGUACCAUAGAGAGUUCCAUCGUGUGUCACCGGCACGUUUGAGACUUGUUUCUUGAUUUAAGCCUCGCCCCGUUAUAAGACAAUCAUUUUCAAAAGCUAUCACAAGCUCUUCUUGAAGUUGCCCUCUAAGUGAAUCACGCCGCUUACAAGAUGCUCCAACAUAAUUAACCACACUAUUAGCCGUUGCAAAAAAAGAGGCAAUGUCUAUAUUCUUCUUUGCUACGGCAACAAGAGCUAGUUGAAGUUGAUGAGCAAAGCAAUGAACAUAAUAUGCACAAGGUUGUUCUCUCAAUAUCUUUGUUUUAAGGCCAUUCAACUCACCUCUUAUAUUGCUAACACCAUCAUAACCUUGUCCUCGUAGCUUGGAAAUGCUCAAACCGUUGCGAGAAAACAAUGUGUCAAUAGCAUCCUUUAGUGAACUUGAAGUAGUGUCGGUAACAUGUUGGAUACCCACAAAUCUUUCAAUUACAUGCCCGUUGUCAUCCACAUAACGCAACACCAUAGCCAUUUGCUCUUUCACAGACACAUCACGUGCUUCAUCCACCAAUAUUGAAAAGAAUCUAUCUUUUAGACCAUCCAUGAUAGCAUCAAGUGUUUCAAGGGCACAUGAAUUCACAAUUUCUUUUUGAAUGGAAGGAGCUAGUAAUUUGAGAUUCCCCGGAGCAUUUUCCAUCACAACUUCUCUAACUUUAUCAUUAUUAUCUGCAAGGAAUUGCAAUAACUCCAAGUAAUUUCCCCUAUUGCUUGAAGUGGCACUUUCAUCAUGGCCACGAAAAGGAAGAGCUUGUCGCAAUAAAAACUUAGUGCACUUGAUUGAAGCAAUCAAGCAUGUGCGAUAAGCCUUACGAGCUUGGUCAGAGUGUUUGCUCACUGCCGUUUCAAUAUGUGUAGCUUGAUUCAUCAAAUUUGUAGCAGCUUCUCUAGCCUUAUUAUGAACACUCCCAACCGGUCCAACAUGCAUCUUAAAUCUUUCUCUCCCUUUCUUCCAAUUCUUAAAUCCAUCUCCAGUGAAAGCUUCACUACCCACUUGUUCAAAAUUGGUUUUAAAGAGAUAGCAAUAGAGACAAAAUGCCGCAUCUUUAGAUACACUAUACUCCAACCAAUCAAACUCAUCAAACCAUUGGGGAAUGAAGCGUCGAUUAAUUCCCGACAUAUUAGUUAUUGGGAAAUUAUGACCUCUAGGUUGACAAGGUCCUUUUUGUAGAUAUAAUCUUCGGACCUCAUCUCUCAUAUUAGCAUCAUAAUCUAUUAUUCGAGUUCUUAAUCCAGGAUCCGCUUGAAGAUUACCCAAAACAUCAUCUAACUGACUUUGUCUUGAACUUGGAGUUCUUGAACUACCAACAGUAUUUGAACUAUCAACAUUAUUCGAACUACCCGAACCCGAUGAUGACUUUCUCUUAAAAAACCGUUCCAUAAUAAUGCUACAUAUACAAAAUAUUCAAAAUAAAUACUCACAAUAUAAACAAACCAUAAACAUAAUCAAAAUAAAUAUGAAUUGGAUUUCAAUUAAAUUAAAUAUCUCAUCUUGCAUUCUACAUAUACAAAAUAAUGAAAAUAAAAACUCACAAUAUAAACAAACCAUCAAUAUAAUCAAAAUAAAUAUGAAUUGAAUUUCAAUUAAAUUAAAUAUAUUCUACAUAUACAAAAAUAUUCAAAAUAAAUACUCACAAUAUAAACAAACCAUAAACAUAAUCAAAAUAAAUAUGAAUUGGAUUUCAAUUAAAUUAAAUAUCUCAUCUUGCAUUCUACAUAUACAAAAUAAUGAAAAUAAAAAAUCACAAUAUAAACAAACCAUCAAUAUAAAAACAAACCAUCAAUAAAAAACAAACCAAUAAAAACUCACAAUAUAAACAAACCAUCAAUAAAAACUCACAAUAAAAACUCACAAAAUAAAUAUGAAUUGAAUUUCAAUUAAUUAAAUAUAUUCUAUAUAUACAAAAUAUUCAAAAUAAAUACUCACAAUAUAAACAAAGGGAGGAGAUGGAGUUGGAGCCGCCAACAGGGGAGCAGCAAGGGAGGAGAUGGAGUUGAGGGUUUGGGGGCAGCAGCAGCAAGGGAGGAGAGGAGUUGAGGGUUUGGGGGGAUUGAGUUAGGGUUGGAGGAUGAGAAAACAAAAGAAAUUGGGGCUAUUGAUUGUAUAGGAGUCGGGUAGGAAGGCUGGGACUGGGGGGGACACGGUGGGAAUUUCUUUUUUUUUUUUUUGUUCGGCCUGGCCCAAAACGACGCCGUUUUGGCCAGGUCAUUUAAAAAAUUUUCCUGGGCCAAAACGACGCCGUUUUGCCCGUCUGUUUUGAAAAAAAAGAAGCGCGCGCGAGCGCUGCUUCUUCUUCCUCUUCCUGCCGAGUCUUCGUUCAGGCUUUUUGUCGAACAGUUGGCGUGCGAGUCCGACCCCGACGACCCCAGCUCCAAGAGGUCGCAUAUGGGAGCUUCAAGGUUGUUUCCAUAGUUUCCAAGGGGUCGUGCGACCCCGACGACCCCACUGUGGAUCCGCCACUGCAUACACCGCCAUGAUAAACCACACUGCAUACACUUACACACUCACACAUUCCCACAUACAAUCCACGUGUAUUACUUUGCACACAAAAUCUUUAUCACACAUACACUAUCAUGAAAAACCAUUUUGCAGAUUUGACAUCCAUUAUAGCACAAAUUAGGUUAUGUUCGUAUCUCUUCAAUAAUAAUGUAUACAUUUCCACUUUAGCACAAUUUUGACAUCCAUUCUAGCACGUUACAAAAACUAUUAUCAACAUUUGUGUAUUAAGAGAUAAACUAUAUUCUUAAUCUGGUAUCAAAAUGGUGUUAAUUUGGGCAAAAACAUUUGUGUAUCGUAUAGUUUUUUUUAGCAAAAAUUAACUAUCCAUUCAUUUUAGUAUUUGUAUUAUCUACAGGAAACACAAUACCUAACCAAUUUCAUAAUCAAAUUCAGCAAUGUAUACAUUUCCCUGGUGAUUUUAGUUUACACUACUCUUAAUAUAACAUGGUUCUUUCUUUUUAAAGUACUUUGUAUUAAUUCUUUUGUGAACAAUUACUCAAUAGCAUCUGUCAAUACUUUAAACAAAGAAGGAAUCACUCGAUUUACCCUUCUAGAUUGGGUUGAAUGGUGGCCAAGUGGCCAUUACCUUUUGGCUAUUAAACAAAAAAAAAGAAAAAAAAAAAAAAGAAGGUGAAAGACAAAAUGAUAAGGGAACAUCAUGAUGAAGAGGCAUCAUGAUUAUGUUUGUUGAAAAGAAAAAAUGAAGGUCAUGAUGAUGUUUUUGAAAUUUUUAUUGGGUGUUUUUGUAUUGAUGAAGUUAUCAUCCGAAUGUGAGAGAGGUAGUGAAGGGUGCACCAUUUUUUGUUUUAGUAGCCCAUCUUUGAGAAAGCAAAGAGAGCUGCAGAGAGCAGAAAACUGAGAGCAGAAAAGAAGAAGAAGGUGCUCUUCUUUUUGGUUAGUAAUCACCCACCAAGGUAGUUGUUGUUGUAAUAGCUUUGAGCUUUGUAUAGAGAAGAAAUUAAUCACUAUAUUUCUUUCUCUAUUUGUUUCUUUGGUGUGUGAAAGCUAUUGAUUGUAUUGGGUUAUUUGGGUUGUGAGAUUGCCAACACUUUGUAAACUUCAAUUUGGUUGAUAGUGGAUUAUUAGGUGAGCUCUUACUGCUCCGAGGACGUACUCCAAUUACAUUGACUGUUGAGGAACCUCGUUAAAAUCUUUGUGUCUUUUAUAUUUUGUUCUUGCAUUUUCAUUUGAUAAAUUUCUUGUGGGUUAACUUGAGUUUGUUCCAUAAGGUUUGGUGCUAUCCUAGCACAACAAUUGGUAUCAGAGCACUGGUUGCUCUUGGGUACUGUCUAGUUGCCAAAGAUGUCAGACGGGCAAGAUGAGAAUCCUUUUGGAAGCAGCUCCGGGUUUGCAAGAACUACGGUGCAAAAUGCAAAGUUUGAAGUGGAAAAGUUUGAUGGCACAAACAACUUCGGGAUGGGGCAAUGUGAGGUCAAAGAUGUGUUGGCUCAACAAGAUCUACUUGCCGCUUUGGGAGAGAAGCCGGAAGCUAUGUUGAAGUUGGAAUGGGAGAAAUUAAAUUUGUGGGCUUGCUCUUCAAUUCGGUUGUGCCUUGCAAAAACUCAGAAGUAUUUUGUGAUGCGGGAGACAUUAGCAAGUGUGUUGUGGCAACAAUUAGAAGACAAGUAUAUGACAAAAAGUGCAGAGAACCGGCUACACUUGAAGAAAAAGCUCUACCGCUUCCAAUACAAAGAAGGUACAAAAAUGAUUAGACACCUUGAUGCUUUUAAUAAGUUGAUUGCCGACUUGUUAAAUUUAGAUGAGGAUAUUAAGGAUGAAGAUAAGGCCUUGAUAUUGUUGAAUUCCUUGCCAGACUUUUAUGAGCAUUUUGUUACCACUAUUAUGCAUGGUAAAGAAACUGUGAAAUUUGAAGAUGUGUCAAAUGCCUUGAUAAAUUAUGAAAUGAGGCAUAGAGAAAAAAAUCAUUAUAGUACCUCUGAAGCUUUAUUUGUUAGAGGUAGAUCAUCGGAGAGGAGGUCCUCUACUAGUAGGAAAAAAUCACACUCUCGACCUAGAGGAAACUCUAAAGGUAGAAAAACCUUGGAAAUGGAUGAAUGUGCCUUUUGUCAUAAUAAGGGCCAUUGGAAGAAAGAUUCUCCUAAGUUGAAGACCAAAGGAAAAGAAAGUUCUGAAGCCAAUGUUGCUGAGGUUGAAACAGAUAUUUUUUAUUUUGCUUUAACCACUUCCUCAUCAUUUGAUUGUGCUACUAAAUGGGUGUUGGAUACGAGUUGUACUCAUCAUAUGACUCCUCACAAGGAUUGGUUUUCAAGCUUGAAAGAGUUUGAUGGUGGUGUUGUGUUCAUGGGAGGUGACAAUCCUUGUACAACAAAAGGGAUUGGUACAGUUCGUUUGAAGUUGCAUGAUGGCAUGGUUAAAGAGUUGACAGGUGUUCGGUAUGUACCGAAUUUGAAGAAAAAUCUUAUUUCUUUGGGCACUUUAGAAUCCAAGGGCUUCAGGUUUCAUUCAGAUGGGCAGACAUUGAAAGUUACUUAUGGUGCACUUGUUGUGAAGCUCCUAGAUAUGGCCAUUUGUAUUUAUUGCAGGGAAGCACUGUGACAGGUGAAGCAUCUAUAGUCUUAGAAAAUAUGGGCACAUCCGAUUCUGAUACUACUAGACUGUGGCAUAUGAGAUUAGGCCAUGCCGGUGAGAAAGCUCUACAAGGGCUUGUGAAACAAGGUCUUCUAAAAGGUGCCACAACUUGUAAGCUUGAUUUCUGUGAGCAUUGUGUCUUGGGGAAGCAAACUAGAGUGAAGUUUGGUACUGCUGUACAUUAGACGAAGGGCAUUCUUGAUUAUGUGCAUUCGGAUGUUUGGGGUCCUACAAAGACUCACUCUUUGAGUGGUAGACAUUGGUUCAUGACCUUUGUUGAUGAUUAUUCAAGAAGGUCUUGGGUCUACACUAUGAAACACAAGAGUGAGGUAUUAAACAUUUUCUUGGGUUGGAAGAAAAUGGUUGAGAACCAGACUGGGAGAAAGAUUAAGAUUUUGAGAUCGGAUAAUGGUGGUGAAUACACAUCCAACCCUUUCUUUAAAGUUUGCAAAGAGGAAGGGAUUAUGAGACAUUUUAGUGUCCGGGGAACUCCACAACAAAAUGGAGUUGCAGAAAGAUUGAAUCGAACCUUGCUUGAGAAGGUUAGAUGUAUGUUGUCUCAGUCGGGUUUAAGCAAGUCAUUUUGGGCAGAGGCAGUUAAUUAUGCAUGUCACAUCAUCAACCGGUUACCCUCAGCUGCUGUUCAGGGUAAGACACCAAUGGAGGUAUGGACUGGAAAACCUUAUUCUGAUUAUGACUAUAUCCGUAUUUUUGGUUCACCUGCUUAUUUUCAUGUGACUGAAAAUAAACUUGAUCCUAGAGCCAAAAAGGCUAUCUUUCUUGGUUUUAGUAGUGGUGUCAAAGGUUACAGGUUGUGGUGCCCAAAGAUGAAAAAACUUGUAAUCAGCAGAGAUGUGACAUUUGAUGAAUAAAGUAUGUACAAAGACUUUGAGAAGAAUGUGAAAGAUGUCCAACAGGUGGAGCUUGAGAAGUUGCCUCUGGUACUUCAAAUCCUAUUUCCGCUGAUGUCGAAGCCACUACAAGUGAAGAAGUUGGAGACCAUGAGGAUGUUGAAGAAGUUGAACUUGAAGAUUCUAUUCAAGUUGAAGAGCAAGUUUCACCUCAAGAGUCUAUUGUAAAGAACAGAGGAAAGAGACAAAUUACCAAGCCAGCUCGGUAUAGUGACUAUGUUGCUUUUGCUCUUCCUAUUAUCAUUGAUGAUAUUCCAUCCAAUUUCGAGGAAGCCAUUGAGAGUGAGGAGAAGAAGAGGUGGUGCAAUGCCAUGAGUGAUGAGAUGAAUUCUCUCUUGAAGAACAAGACUUGGGAGUUAGCUAAAUUGCCUAAGGGCAAGAAAGCUAUCGGUUGGAAAUGGGUGUAUGCCAAGAAGGAAGAUGCUGAUGAGAAAAGCAAUGUAAGAUUUAAAGCAAGAUUAGUUGCUAAAGGGUAUGCACAAAAGGAGGGCAUUGACUACAAUGAAAUCUUUUCUCCAGUUGUGAAGCACUCCUCAAUUCGCAUUAUGUUAGCUCUUGUUGCACAGUAUGAUCUUGAGCUUGUGCAACUUGAUGUGAAGAUGGCUUUCCUAUAUGGUGAUUUGAAUGAAGAGAUCUAUAUGUGUGAACCGGAUGGGUAUACAGUGAAAGGGAAUGAGAAUUUGUUUUGCAAAUUGAAUAAAUCACUUUAUGGCUUAAAGCAAUCUCCAAGGCAAUGGUAUUUGAGGUUUGAUAAAUUUAUAAGAGGCCAAAAUUAUUCUAGAAGUCAAUAUGAUCAUUGUGUGUACUUCAAGAAGUUGCAAGAUGGGUCUUUCAUUUAUUUGUUGAUAUAUGUUGAUGAUAUGUUGAUUGCCUCAAAGAAUGUCGAAGAGAUUGAGAAAUUGAAGAAGCAAAUGAAGAAUGAGUUUGAGAUGAAGGAUCUUGGUGAAGCGAAGAAAAUCCUUGGCAUGGAGAUCACUAGAGAUAGAUUUGGGGGUUGAUCAGAAGCAGGUGGAGGUACAUUGUGAUAGUCAGAGUGCCAUUUAUUUGGCUAAGUAUCAGGUUCAUCAUGCGAGGACCAAGCACAUAGAUGUGCGUUAUCACUUUGUUCGUGAAAUUGUUGGUGAAGGGGAAAUCAUUCUCCAGAAGAUUCCAACUAAAGACAACCCCGCUGAUAUGUUGAAAAUGAUGAUGGAACAUCAUGAUGAGGAGGCAUCAUGAUUAUGUUUGUUGAAAAGAAAAAAUGAAGGUCAUGAUGAUGUUUUUGAAAUUUUUAUUGGGUGCUUUUGUAUUGAUGAAGUUAUCAUCCGAAUGUAAGAGAGGUAAUGAAGUGUGCACCAUUUUCUGUUUUAGUAGCCCAUCUUUGAGAGAGCAAAGAGAGCUACAGAAAGCAAAAAACUGAGAGCAGAAAAGAAGAAGAAGGUGCUCUUCUUUUUGGUUAGUAAUCACUCACCAAGGUAGUUGUUGUUGUAAUAGCUUUGAGCUUUAUAUAGAGAAGAAAUUAAUCACUAUAUUUCUUUCUCUAUUUGUUUAUUUGGUGUGUGAAAUCUAUUGGUUGUAUUGGGUUAUUUGGGUUGUGAGAUUGCCAACACUUUGUAAACUUCCAUUUGGUUGAUAGUGGAUUAUUGGGUGAGCUCUUACUGCUUCGAGGACGUACUCCAGUUACACUGACUGUUGAGGAACCUCGUUAAAAUCUUGGUGUCUUUUAUAUUUUGUUCUUGCAUUUUCAUUUGAUAAAUUUCCUAUGGGUUAGCUUGAGUUGUUUCCAUAAGGUUUGGUGCUAUCCUAGCACAACAGAUUGCAUUUCAAGUUAUACACCAUACCUGAAUGAAUUUUCUAGAUUGCAUUUCCUAUAUGAAUUCUGUAUUUAGGCAGUAAACUGUUGGAUAUAACCAAGGUCCUAAUUCCUAAUCACUUUAAUUGAUCAAAGUGGCCAAGCAAAUCUUCUUGCAGUUUGUCUUUGAAAAAAUCCUACUUGGAGUAAAAAUAAAUAGUAGUAAGUUAUAGCAUAACCAGUAAAUUGAAUUUGACCUACAAAAAAACAAUUUGACCACUGCACAUAUAACUCCAUAAAUUACUUACCACAUCAACCUUGAGAGGUCCAACAUGUCUAAAAGUCGCAAAAACUUUUCCAUGUUCAGCUCUAAUCACCUACAAACACUGAAAAGCAGAGGAAAACAUAUAAAUUCAUUAAAAUUCUCUACCCACGGAUAAGUUAAAAAUCGAAAGCACUGACCAUUCCAAGGAAAAGAGCAGCCAUUAUUAGGAUCCAAAACUCAUUCCUUAGUCUCCUCAUCUGGGUACUCGACUCCGUAAUCUUUGCUUUAUUUCCAUUAUAUAUACACACUUUGUCAUUAUAUAUUUUUCUAGAAAAAAACCCUAAAAGUUAGACGAUUCUAAUCACUGAAAUAGAAUGAAAAUUAAACUUUUUGGAGAAAUAAAUAUUUUAAUAUGUAUAAAAAAGAAAUUAAAAGAGAAAUAAUCAAUUUUUUUCUAAUUCUUAGAACACCAUCAUCAGCCUAAUUGGCAGAAAUCAAAGUAAUUACACGCUUGACCACUUAAUCAGCUUAAUCACAGAAUAAAAUUAAGAUCCCUCAAUUCCUUCCACCAUAUUUUUGCACACAUGCAGUUCUCCCUAUAAAAAUUCCAGAAAACUCAUUAUUAGGAGAGAAAUAGAAAAGGACUUUUAGAAGUUGUCUAUGAAGCAAAGGAAUCCAACCCAAAAUGUAUGUGUGCAACUCAUUGGAAUCAAAUCAAAUCCAAUAACAAUAAUAAAUGACUUCUUACCUAUAAGUGGUAAAACCAUUUUACCAACUUAGGAAACCCCUGCCCAAAUGAUUUGUAAUUGAUAUAAUUUAAAUGGAACCAAUAUGGAAUGAAUAGUAAACAACUUAAACCACUGGACGAAGUCAAAGACUAUGUACCUGUUUUCACGUUUCAUACUGGAUUCAGUAAAUCUCUUUAAUAAGCUGCUUACUCGCAAUUGGAUAAACUUAAUUUGGAGGCUAAAAAUUAUCUGAAAAGUAGUUUCAAAUGGCAUCUGAUAACUCAAACAAACAACGGAGAACACAUUCAAGAAAAAGAAAAAGAUGACAUGAGAGUCGAAGUUACCAAGUAUGUGCAGAUGGCAAGUAAUCUACGCCUUGUGCAACAAAAAUUUAUGUGAGCCCGAGAUCCCUUGAAGUGCACCAAAACCUUUUAAAAGCACCUGGACAAUAUGAGCAACACUGCUCAGAUUACAUCUUAUACAACAAAUACAGUAGAUAUCAUAAUAUAUAGCGAAAUUGUCACAGCCCGUCCCGGAGAUGUGCAUUAUUUUAUUCUCGAUGACGUGAAAUGACGGUUUUAUCCUUAGACGUUGAGACUAUAGUGUAUGUGUGUGACAUAUUAUGAGACUUAGAGGUUAUUUUUUAUUUUUGGAUUGGUGACCCACGUGGACCACACACACACCACACUCACUCAUUCUCUUCUCUCCCGUACUCUCUCAUCUAUCUCGGACUCACUCUCUCUUUCUUCUUCCUCGUACGGACCAAGCUCGAGGUGAGCUUCCCAGUCACAGAUCGAAGAUUCUAAAGGCACCAUUGCAUUCCUCGUGCCAUUUCGAGUUGGUUGGUACCCAUUUCAGGUAAGGAUUCCUUCGAAAUCUUGAGAACCCGAAACUCAUUUUUCAUGCACUAUUCAUGUGGACGUAAAACCUUAUGUUUCAGAGGAUUUCAAGCUCACAGGGAGCUUUAGGAGGUCCUAAGGAAGCUUAGGGUAGUUCGUUGGAAGAGUUUGGAUGUCGGAAGGCCGAGAUCGAAGUUUUUCAAAGUUGACCAGAUUAUCGAGCUUCCUCAGGUAAAUUCUAGUGGAUUUCAAGGCUUAAAAAUAGUAUAACGUGAUUCUACAUGUUAUUAGCUUCAUUUUGGUAACAAUUUUAUGAACAAUGGUGAAGAAAUGAAGGAGAAUAGUAGUUUUGAAGUUUUACCCAGAAACCGGCGAAGUCAUCGGCGACCGGCAACUCGCCGGAGAAGAAAGGAGCAUAUUCCGUUAAGGUUAACGGAAUAUGCUAACGCCGUCAAUUAGAGUUAACUGUUACCGUUAGGUUUUAAUGGAAUAUUCCUUAGAAUAUUUCUAACGGCAUUGACUGACGCCGUCAGUGUGCAUGUCACGUGGCCGCGCGUGGGGGCGCGUAGGGCCGUGCCCUUGCCGGAGCGUGGCGGCGCGUGAGGGGUCAGAAAAAUAUUCUAAAAAUAUAGGGAUGAUCCUGAGGUUGUGUAGGUCACUGUGGUAUAUUCAUAUACCCAUUUUGAGCAUGGUAUGAGAAGUUAUUAGCUAGUUUUGUCCAUACGCUCUAAAAUAACAUUUUUAUAGUUAAUUCACAUAUAGGUGCGACUUAUCCCAAGGACGAGCGUAUCCAAGGGCGACUCGGGGGCUACGACCCUUUGACAUACCAGUGAGUGGGCUUUUGGUUUUCAGUAUAUAUUUAUAUACCAGAUAUUUUCCCAGAAAUAUGUGUUUAAAUGAUAGUAUGCCAUAAAUGCCAUGCAUAUAAGUCUAUAAUUCAUAUAUGAAUUGGUAUGUGAUGCUUUAUAUAUAUAAAUGUGGUGCCGUGGACGCUCAGGUAAGCUCAGGUAAGUUAUGUUUGGUUAUGUGAAUCAUCGAUGAUGUGAUAUGGGAUUGAAUAACGUUGAGCUCAUAAAACUGCACCUAGAGUGAUUAUGAAUUAGCCAAAGAUAUGGCACAUGCCUAUUUAUUAUGUCACCUCCUGCACCAUAUGCUCAUAUUGGAUCCAAUUUAGGUGCACAGUUUUGUCGUACAGACCUUAUUUAUGGUUCUGACACGUAGGUGACUAGUGAUGUAUCGCCCAUCUAUUAUGUGAGAGUAGUAUUGAGCAUGAUUAUAUUACACCCAUUAUUGUCGUACAGACCUUUGCAUUUGGUUCCGACUCUUGUGCAGUAUAUUGCCGUAUAGGUCAUUGUAGUGACUCCGGCUAGAUUGACUUUGAGCUAUGAAUUUAGCCGUACAGACUACCACAUGGGUUUCGGCUAACAUGUUAUAUUUCUAUGAAAUUAUUCUUACCUGAAUUGCUUACUCUGUUAUAUCUUGGCAUGGCAUACAUAUGAAUAUGAUUAUGUGAAGCAUGAUUUGAAUUGAUAUAAUUACAUAUAUAUUUAUGUAUAUGCUUAUAUCUUGAUUCUGGGAAAAAUUAUACUUGUUUUACAGCGAGGGGUUAGAUAUGUUGAUAAAUGAAAUGGUUUUGUAAAACAUUUGUUUUGCCCCAUUCACGUUUUCUGUUUUACGCCCUUCCAGGUUUUAGUAAGCUUGAUGUUGGUGGCUUUGAGGACUUUGGCGGUUCUGACAUAUCUAAAUAAUUGUAGGACAUCUUAUGGUACUGUAUAACUAGUACUGGUCCUACUGGACUGCACCUAGACUUUCUAUGCUCUGAUUAGGAGUGUUUACUUCUGUAUCUUACUCAUAAUACUUUCGGUUUAGUAGUGCACUCUAGUAGUUCGGUUUUUAAUUAUUCAUAUAUUUCUUAUCAUUAUUGCUUCCACACUGUGCACAUGGCUACGUCACUCUCACGUGACGGCCAACAUGCCUUGAUCUUGGUCGGGGUGUGUCAGAAAUUAUGUCGAAAAAUUUAACGAAAAAUUCAUACAUAAUUGCAAAAAAAUAAAAAUAAUAAUAAUAGUAACAAUGUGGUUAUUUGACCUCUUUCAUUAUUUAAAGCCGCCGCAGAAGAGCUCUGCCGUUUAAGAUCCUCGCACCAGAGCCCUCUUCAUGUCUGCCAUCCUUUCGUUUUUGUCUCCAUUUUAGGGCAUUCACACAAAAACUGUUAUUCACAUAUUAGCUUUCAUAGUUUCACGGAUCCAUCUUAUUUGGACUUCAAUAUAGACAGAGGUGCAUAUCUGUACCUUUGACAUUCGGCCAUGAAAAUGAAUGAAAGGGAGAGGUGGACGUGUUUUACCUUUAUUGGUCUUGGGAUUUGAGGAGUCCUUCGUGAAGGUGGAGUCGUCAAUGAUGAGUGCAGAGCCGAUCUCUCUCUAGCCUUCCCCUCAACCUCACCCCCCGGGCAACCAUACCUCCCCAUCUCUCUCUCUGCAGCAAACACGCGUCACUCUCCUAGAACCUUACCCCCAAAUCGAUCAUGACCGCACCCACCCUCUCACCUUCUCUCCCCGUAAUCCCGCACCCAAACCCCACUCUGUCCACCUGGAACCCCUCCCGUCAACCCUUUCUCUACCUGCAACCCAUCAACCCCUCUGUGAACCAUGCCUCUACCGACGUCGACAGCAACCACCCCAAAACACAUAAUGACAACCCAUCAACCCCUCUGUGAACCAUGCCUCUGCCGACAUCGACAGCAACCACCCCAAAACACAGAAUGACAAAAGUGCCUCCAAAUCUUGUCCAUUGGAUUUGGAUUGAAGCGGGCAAAAAAGUCAUUUCGACUCUUUCUGUGCAACCCAGCCCAACACAUUGGACAACCCACUUCUGAAGCCCACACCUGUCCCAAAAUAGGCCCAAAUUGGGCCCAAGGCACCCAAACCUACGGACAAUAUUACCCUCCUAACUUUUAGUAAUUACCUCAGCCCAACACAGAUUUAGUGGCAGUAGUAUGCAAAUAAAGCAAAAUCAAGGGGCAAAAAAAUUGACUAUAGCUAAGCUACAGUCAAUUUCUCCUCAAUUUUAGAAUAGAUAAUUUCAAUAGUGUAGCUAACAGUUAGCAUCAUUUUAUACAUGUUGAAGAAUCUUCUACAAUUUCAGGACUCAGAAGAAUGGAUUGCAGACAAGAAUACGUUGGAAAAGAUAGGGAAGAGAUGAAGUUACCAUUGUUCGACUUGACCACCAUAGCUAAAGCCACUAACAACUUUUCAAGCUACAACAAGCUGGGAGAAGGUGGCUUUGGACCUGUGUCCAAGGUAACAUGAAUUCAUGCAACGAAAAUUAGCUAUAUUGCUAUAAAAAAUUUAAGUUUUUUCGAAAUGAUGGUCCACAGGGUACAUUGAUAGGAGGAAACGUAAUUGCAGUAAAGAGGCUUUCAAAGAAUUCUGGACAAGGAAUAAGAGAGUUCAGAACUGAAGUUAUACUCAUAGCCAGAUUUUAGCAUCGCAAUCUUGUUAAGCUUCUUGGUUGUUGCAUUAAAAAAGAUGAAAAAUUCUACUAUAUGAAUUCAUGCCCAGCAAAAGCUUGGACUUCUAUAUUUUUGGUAUGAUCCUUCAUUUUCAACCUUAUUUACCUAGGAUUCAAUGUGCCAUUGAAAUAACAGGCUUAAAGUUUUUUCAGACCAGAAGGGACAAAAAUUGUUCGACUAGCCUAAGUGCUUCCACAUUAUCGGUGGAGUUGCCCGAGGGCUUCUUUAUCUUCACCAAGACUCUAGAUUAAGGAUUAUACAUCGAGAUCUGAAACCUAGCAAUAUUCUGCUAGAUGAUAAUAUGAACCCGAAAAUUUCAGACUUCGGCCUGGCUAAAACAUUUGGCGGUGAACAAAGUCAGGCCAACACAAAUAAAGUGGUUGGAACCUAGUAAGCAUGCUUAGACUUGCUUUGUGGUUUAUAAUUUUCAUUGUUCUGCUUUUGAAAUUCUUUCUCACUGGUCACUACAUAUUGAUCUGGCAGUGGUUAUAUGUCUCCGGAAUAUGCAACAGAUGGAAUUUUUUCGAUGAAAUCUGAUGUGUUUAGCUUUGGAGUCAUACUGCUCGAGAUGUUGAGUAGGAGAAGAACAGGGGAUUUCGUCAUCUAGAUCACGACCACAACCUUCUUGGACAUGUAAGUUUAACCAACGAGGUGAUGAUAUUUUACUUUAAAAAGAAUAGUGAAUUAGACGGUGCUCUUCGAAGCACGUCUUCUAAUGACAUGCAUUUGACAAUACCCCUUUUACAUAUUAGCCCACUAACAUAUCAUACAUGUUUCAAUUUGUUUUAAGGCAUGGAUAUGAUGGAUUCAAGAUAAACCACUAGAACUGAUCAAUAAGACGUUUUGUGGUUCGUGCAACACAUCUGAAGUGGUAAGGUGUCUUCAUGUGUGGCUGUUAUGUGCGCAAAGAGUACCUGAGGAUAGACCAAGCAUGUCAUCUGUGGUUCUGAUGUUGAGCAGUGAUGUUGCCUUGCCGCCUCCAAAGCAGCCCGGUUUUUACACUGAACAAAGUGUCCCUAAAUCACCAUCAAGGACGCUUCUUUGUUCAGAGAAUACUUUCAGCACUACGUUGGUAGAACCUCGGUAGAUCAUCAUUGCAGUGCUUGUUAGUCCUUCAAUCUACCAUCACAAAACGUGUUUGGAAGGUUGACAUGAAGCUUUUAAUCUUAGCUGGCAAACAAUGAGACGUGUGAUUAUAACUCUGCAAGAAACAUAUUUAUGAUUACAACUUUAGGAGUUCCAGAUAAUAACUGAUAUAACAGAAAUGCCACAUGACAUUAUUCUAGUGGUUAAGUUUGUUAAUAUAGUUAGAAGGGUAUUAUUGUAAUUGGGAUAUAUGGCUAUAUAAGAGAUGGUAUAGCUAUCAUUUCUUUAAGUUCUUUUGUAUACAUUUUCUCCAUUUUAAUCAAUACAAUCUUUCUGGUUUUUCUCUCUAUCAUCUUCAUCUUCCUUUGUACCAAUUCUUCAUCUUUUACAAUGUAGUUAAUAUGGUAUCAUAGCCACCAAGGCUCACGCCAUGAAUCUUGGUGGUCGAUUCCUCUUCUAUUUUUUUUUUCUUCAUUACUUUCUUUCGUUUCCGCGUAUUUGAUCGAAGAGGGAAGACUUGAGAGAAUCGACGUUGGAGAGGAGAGAUCGAAGGUCGUCGACGUCCUCUUCCAAAGCGUAAACAGUGUCUUUGAGGCUGAGGCGGCUCUGCUCCUCAGCUUGGUGAGUCAGAACCUCGGUCAAUUGGUGAUUGACAAGCUUCGUCGGCGAGGCAGCAGGAAGAGGAUCUCCACCAGCCAAUCGCCGAACUCCUUAUUGACCUUCCGUUCGAUGUGCCACCGAAUAUCUGGAAUCUUCUUCUCCAUCAUCUGCUUGAGCAUAGAAUCGCUCCCUGCCCCUGUGAUGCCAUUCGAUUUCGCUCAAGAACUGCAGUUUCAGAUUUUGUCGUUCAGUUCAUUCUGUAUUUUCUGGGUAAAUUUUUGUUUUGGGUUGUGAUCAGAGAUCAUCGGUGUUAUGAUAUCUUGGUCUUUGGAAUUGUGGCAAAUUUUUCUUCGUCUGAAGCUUGAAUCUUGCUCCUUCGGGCCAAAUUAGAAGUGGGAACUUCUUGAUUCUUGAAUUCGGGAAAGGAAAAUUUUCUAGGGAAAUGUCAGAUUCCGGGAAAGGAAAAGCAUCAGCUUCUAGGCAAGUGUUCGAUUCCGUUGAAGGAAAGUAUGAUCGUUAUGUUCCUGGGUUGAAAGAAAGUACGACGGCGGUGGCCUCUCUCAGGUGCCGAUUCUGAAUUCUGCAAGUAUAAGAUGGGUCCAGACCAACACUCUAGUUCGAUUUAGCGAAAUGAAUUCUACAUCGGUGCUUAUAAAGAUGGUUCUAUUUGGAGGACCAACAAGUUUAUGGAUAUUUGCAUAGGGCUGAUGGUUGCGCUUGCUGAUGGCGGCGACGAGCAUUGCGGCUUGAUAGCGUAUGCUUGUUGAGAAUUUUUCGAACUGUUUUUGCUUCUUGUGAUAUUUUAGUGGAAUUGGCUGUGAAACAAUUUGGGUAUUGCAAAUUUUUUUGUGGAUUGUUUGUUCAAGAUUGCAACUAUUGGGAGCUCUUCCGGUUCUGAUUCUGUGCACUCCAACUGGUUGAAGAAAUGGGUCAGUGAAUUAUGUGAUCUCUACUCUAUUCUUUGGUACAGAAGAAAGAUUAGACAUGGGUGCAAUCCUGGUGUUUGUCGAAUUACCCAACUCAAAAGUUUCAUGUGAAGGUUAUAUUUGGUUUCUUGGUUAAUAGUAUUAGUUUUCUUGUCAAUUUAAAGAAGAAAGUGUCAUUCUUUCUAUGAAUUUUGGAGUUUCAUUCUCCUAAGUUGCCGUAUGAUUUGGAGUUUCAUUCUCCUACGUUGCAGUAUGAUUUGUGUUCAUGGAGUGUCAGUCUCCUUAUUUGGUAUUUUUAGUAGAAGUUUGAGAUUUGUGUUGUGCUUUGGAGUAUCAUUCUCCUUGGCUGAUUUGGUUUGUUGGAGUGUCAUUCUCCUUGGUUAAUUUGGUUUUUUUUGGAGUGUCAUUCUCCUUGAUAGAUUUUGUAUGGCUUCUCAGUUCACAGUCGAAAAUUUGUUGGGUGUGUUAAGGAUAAAGCUGGAUUGUACUUGUGGUUUUCAUCAUGGCUUCACCAACGGCAACAGUUGUAGUCUUGUGUGAUGAUAAUGGGGUGCGCAGAGGUUUUUGGUCAGCAGUUACAUGGGGUGAGCAGAGGUUUUUGGUCAGCAGUAACAAAGGUGUCAGUGGGUGCUUUCUUGUUUGCAGCAGGUUAAUUCUUGAAGCACAGAUCAGUCUCAAAUACUGGCUAGUUCAAACUUCACUUGGAUAUUCCAAGUUUAGUUUGAGGGGGAGUAAUAACUGAUAUAACAGAAAUGCCACAUGACAUUAUUCUAGUGGUUAAGUUUGUUAAUAUAGUUAGAAGGGUAUUAUUGUAAUUGGGAUAUAUGGCUAUAUAAGAGAUGGUAUAGCUAUCAUUUCUUUAAGUUCUUUUGUAUACAUUUUCUCCAUUUUAAUCAAUACAAUCUUUCUGGUUUUUCUCUCUAUCAUCUUCAUCUUCCUUUGUACCAAUUCUUCAUCUUUUACAAUGUAGUUAAUACCAGAAGCAAAACAAAGAAACGAUUUGGGGUCGUUAGGUUGAAGAAAAUUAAGUUAUAGCUAAAGUUGUGUUUAUUAUUUAUAUACUUUAUUUUAUUAUUUCAUAAGAAUAUAAAAAUUUCAUUGAGAAGUAGAUCAUGCAUAAGUACACAGGAAGUUGGAGACGAGCCUUCCUCCAACAACACUAUAAACUCCUCGAAAGGAAUUGCCAUAUUUGGCUAAGAUCACAAAAUGUAAAGCUUUAUGGAUCGCGGUCCAUGCACUUAGGUCUAGUUCGGGUAUUUGAUCGAACCAGGCAGGCUAUUUGUAAAUGGCUGGAAUUCACACUCGAGUCUGGUUCGAGACGUUUGAUGGUUAGAUUUGAUCAAAAGAUGUAAUUUGUGAAACAAAAGUGAGUAAUUGCUUCAUGAUACUGGGGAGAGAGGUGUUUGUCAUUUAAGCUUCUUUGCCAAUCCUCUAUUGGUAGAAAAAAUUCAGUACAGGCAUUUGGACCACAUGGCCAUCUUCCUGCAAACACAAAUAUCACACUAAACUAAGGCAGUUGUACCGCAAUUUCUCUCCAUCCGAGAAGUGGUUAAGUUCAUCGGCUAGCUGUCAACUUAGUUUAUCCUUGAGACCAACUUUUCAAACCAUGGGACCCAAAGUCUUACAAAAAAAAUAAUAAAUGGUAAAGGAAAAAAACCCUUGAAAGAGAGUUAAUAUUCUUCUUCCAACUCCUGUGCAUAAAUGAUGUACAAUUUCACUUGAUUUUCUAGUAACUUAUUAUUUAAGUGACUUGAUAUUCAACUAAUCUUGCAACCUCAAUAUAGCUAGAAUAAUAGGGUCUUAAGUCUGAUUGACCAAUUACGUAAUCACUGUUUAGUAAGACUUAUUAUGGUGGGACAUGAAAUAUAUAAUUGUGGUUAUGAGUAUUUCUCAUGUGAUAAUAGGGUUGAUUGAGUGAUAUCCUAGCAACUAUAUAGUUUGGAGAGAGUAGAAGACAUUCUUAUACAUGCGCCGAUUCCUCUCUACAUAUAAGUUAAUUGUAAUUCGUUUAUUGAAUUAUUGGUUUAUUAAAUCUGUGAUCCUAAUGUCUUAGUUAUUGUGAUUUCAGAAUAUAUCUUACACAAUCUUCAAUUAACACACAAUAUUUGUUUUAAUUAUUUUUAAGGCAUGGACAUUAUGGAUUCAAGAUAAAUAGCUUGAACUGAUCGAUAAGACGCUUUCAGAUUCGUGCAAACAAAUCUGAAGCUGUAAGGUGUCUGCAUGUGGGGCUGUUAUGUGUGCAAAGAGUACCUGAACGAAGUGUCCCAAAUCACAAUCAAGGAUACAAUUAACAAGAAAAUGUUUGAAUUGUGAAUAAUGUAAGAUAAAAUAUAUAAUGGAGAAGGAAAGUAGUUCAUGCUUAAACAACAUGUAUAGGAGGUUGGAGAAGCAAGACGAACAUUUAUCCAACAGCAAUGAAAUAUGGAGGUUCACCAAACCUGUCACUUUGUAACCCAAAGCAUGCAAGCCGGUGAGCAACUUCGUUGGCUUUUGGCAACAGAUAUGGAUAAAAUCUUCUCCAGUGAUCCCAAAUGACGUCGAGGUAAGACAAAUAAGAACCCAUUGAUGCGUCCAUAGAAAGAUGAAUAAGAACCCAAAUGACGUAGAGCUAAGACGAUCUAAAAGUAAAAGAGUAACACAAACACUGCUAAAUUUUUACACUUCAACUGUUUGAGUAAUUGAUGAACUUAAAUUUUAUACUUAAUCUAAAUAAAAAAGUUGACAAAACUAAUAAAGUUCUUAAAUUGUUAUAAUUAUUAAAAUAUGACCGAAGUGGAACAUAUCAACCUGAACGAGAUAUUUUUCUUGUACCUGAAACAUCGACAUUGAAAAAUAUACCUUAAAUGGAACAUAUCAAAUUUAUUGUCCACUUGUUUAUAAUAUGUGUUGUACCAUGGUUGUGUGGGAAAAUGCAUCUUAAUUUAUCAUGGUUGUGGGAAAAUGCCUCUCGUAUUUUAUUUUGACCUAAUUUUCACAAGUUGAGUACCGUUAUGUGUAUCCUCUGUUUGUUUUGUUUAGGUAUACAAUUUGUAGGUGUGGAAUUUGGACUGAUAUAUGCUGGCUUUGUUUUUGGGGUUGCCUCAGUUCAUAAUUAUGGUUGCUAGUUGCCUUAAUUCAUGGUACCUCGGUGUACUAUUAACCUCUAAUGCUUUUCUUGGUUACUUGCUGCCUCAAUACAUUGUUGCCUUUGUUUUUUUUCGCAAUUUUCCCCAAUUUGUUGCUCAGUUAUCCUGAUACCGGGAUUUAGGGUUAUCUCAGUAUAUUGUUGCUACAGUUUAUGGUUUUCUUGGGUUAUCUUGAUACAUUGAGUCAUUGUUGCCUUGGUAUAUUUUUGUGGAAGUCAAUAGUUGCCUCAAGUAUUUUGAUGCCUCAUCCAUGGUUGCCUCGGUUGUAUAGAUGCCUCAAAUAGUGCUUGUCUCUGUUUAUUGUUGGUUUCAGUUAUGGUUUCCUCAGUUGUAUUGAUGCCUCGAUUUAUUGUUGAUUUCUAUUAUAGUUGCCUCAGUGCUUCGAUUAGUGUAACACUUGGAUAUAUAUAUAUAUAAAUUAUAGGAGUAAGAUUAUUUUAGUUAAAAAAAAAAAACAAAGAAACAAAUAAGGAUGAGCUAACGUGUAGCCAUCCCCCAUUUUUCUUCUUCUUCCCAACCAUCACACGGUGGGUGAGCCAAGGAAUCAGAUUCUGUCCAUAAAUGUUUGGGGUGAUGUGGGUAGUCUAGGGGGUGUGAGUAAGCAUUCUAAAUCAGGAGAGGCAAUGAUAGGCUUAGAGGGAGUAUUUCCAACUCUCACUGAAGAAUUAGAGGAGAGUGAGAGGUUUUGGAAAGGGAAAAGUAGGAAAUCGGAAGAGGGAAGCUGAGAGGGUGCUGGUGUGUUCUUCAAUUGGUACAAAAGGUUAGCUUAAAUUUGUUAAAUUUCUAUUUUCUUACCUCUGCAACCUUGAUUUCUAGAAAACAGCAGUUUCGUGAACCUCACUUUGGCUCUUGUUUCUUCUCAAUCCAUUUCAUCUUCUUAAAGAGUCUUCUUAUAUAUUUGAAAUUAGAUAUGACAAGGAUCAAAGCCCAAUUUAUUUCAUCGUUUUUGGUUGAGAUCUUCUAUGGAAAAAUAUGAUUUGAAAAUGUGAAAAAAAUCUGGAAAUCUUCAGAUUUUCUGCAGAAAAACUGGUUGUGAACUCAACUUUGGAACUUGAUUAUUUUCUUCUCUUAAAUCCAUUUCGAGAAACUCUUGUAGAUUAGAAACUAGGUUUGUUAAGCUUUAAAAUCCAAGUAAUUUCAUCCUUUUACAUGGAUUUUUGAGGGAUGAAAAUAGGGUCACAAUAUGGGGACUUAAGCUUGGUUUUUCACGGGGUUGUGAUGGGUAUAUUUGGGUAAAUCUUUUGUUAGGCUGAAAUAGAAUUUUCAUUCCAGUUUUAUGCUAACUUUUACUAUUAUUUAUGUGAUGUUAGGCCUGGGAGUGACUACGGACACUUCAGAGGCUUAGAGAGGUAUUAUAGUUAGCUGGACAAGAGGUAGGGGCUCUAUUUCCCGAUGAUAGAUCUAUAUCAUGGUUAAUCUUUGUGAUAUUAGUAAUUAUAUCUAAUACAGUAGUAAUGAAAUGCUUGGGUGAAAUUGAAUCAAUUGAUUGUCUUGGUUGUUAGGGUUGAUGGUUUCUUUUUCGGUGUAUUAUAUAUAUUGACUAUGUUAAAUGUUGUUAUGUUUUGAUGAAUGGUUGAGUUAUAUAAAAUUGUUGGACUGACUAUGUUGAGGUUUACAAUUGUGUUUGUUAAAUUGAAAUGCUCAGGUUGCAUUAUAUGUUAUAGAGUUAAGUGUUGGGUUGUGUAAACUUGGUUAAGCAAAUUGUUGAAAACUUGUAUAUGUUCAAGCGUAGGGUGAAGGGCUUGAACGUAUAGUUGGGCGUCGGGAGAAAGGCCCAUGUUAAUGAAACUGAAACUACUAAUAAAAUUCGGGGUUAAGGGAGGAAUGGGAGUUAAUUUAUAUUUUAUGGUAUUCGGAACCAAGUGGUAUAAGCAUGGUAUGGGACGUGCAGGUUUGGAUGCCAUAAAUAUAAGUUAGCGGGAUUAGAAGGGAGUGAGUUCAUGUGUACUUCUUUGUCAUAUCAUUUGUAUUUUACCGGAUUAUUUGAUGCGUGGUACUUUGAUUAACUAUGAUAAAUGAGCUUGAAGGACAUAUGGUUCCUACUGGGCAUGAAAUGCUCACACCCUAAUAGGGUGACCUAUUAGCUAUUGCAGGUACCAUUAUGGAAGAACAUGAGGAUGACCUGUCUCUAAAUGAAUAGUCAUAUCAUAUGUGUGCUGGUUUCCUAGUUGUGCUUAAAAUAAAGCGUCCUAGUAUCUGAAGAGUGUGUUGUAAGAGUUGAUGUUAUACCCACCCUUAAUUUAGAUUGUAUUUUCACUAAGUUUGAUUUUAUCUUGUUUUUAAGAUUGUUUUUGGGUCUUAAUAGGUGUGCCAAGGGGCCCACCUUUGUUUGUUGUCCCCCCGAGUCCAAGCCCUUCAUCUCUCUCUCUCGGUCUCUCUUUCCCUCCCUCACUCUCUCUUCCUUUUUCCUCUUUUUCCCUCGAGGCUCUCUCUCUCUAUUCUCUCCUCUUCCCGUCGAAUACGCACACACACUCAGUCACCAACCACAACCCGUACCACCUGAGCGUGGUGACGUUGAAAUCAGGACCUGAAGGAGUGAUACUCCAACAGUGGCAGUGCCACUGUGCAUCUUCGUCCCUAAACAAACUCCGGCGAGUUUGAUAUGGGUAAGCUCCGAUAACACUCUAAACCUCCCCUUUUUUAUCCUCAUAAUUCAUUUCUGAUUGUAUCUAUGUGUUUUGGUCGUCGAAACUAGGAAGAAACACAUCGGGGAGACUUCCCCGGAUUCCUGGGAGGAAUCCGUCACUUUCGAGGCACUUUUUGGCCAAACCAUGGUGAGUUGGCCGGCGUAAAAGGUAUCAAUCUCUUCGUCACUGAGUACUACAACUUUCCUUUUUGUUUCACCCAAUUUCGUUGAGUAUUGAAGACGUUAUAUCCAUUUGAAUCUUACCCAAUUUCCGGCGACCUCAGUGGUUUCGAGGAGUUUUCUGGCCAAACAACGGUGAGUUAGACGUCAUGUGAGGUACCAUUCUCUUCCUCUCUUUGAGAACUACAACUUUUGUUUUUGAAUCACUCAAUUUCGUUGAGUUUUGAUAAAGUUAUGGUCGUUUAAAGUUGGUGUGGAUUUCUGGCCGAAUUUUGGCCUUCUUCAUCCUUGGGUCCGGUGACCCACCAAACCCAGGCCCUUUGGGCCUUUCUUGCCGAGCCCAACCCAAAACCCAUUUCAGUUUUAUUAUUUAUUUUAUUAAUUGUUUUAAGUUAAAGGCCUUGGGGCCAAAUUAGCUAAGGCCCUAAACCUUUUUAUCUAGAAACCCAAAACCUUUAGGCCUAAGGCCUUCGGGCCUUUUGAACCAGGGCCCUAAGCCCUCUCCUCUAAACCUAGCCCACCUAAUUAGCUAAACCCAAACCUUUUAUGUGGAAUAUUCUAAGGAUAUUUUGUUGACAUUUCACGAAAUUUAUCCAAGACCCUUCUUAGGGUAAUUCGACGUUCUAAAUCCGUUUCCAAUGUCCGUUUUCCCAAAUUCAAUUUCUAUUAUAAAGUUUUAUUAAUUUGGCCCUUUAUGUGCUUAGGGGCAAUUAUAGUGGCAUUUCUGUCUUCGCUAGUUGCGUGGCUCUUCGGCGGCGAAGUACUGUGAGUGGACCCCUUCUAAAAAUGCAUGUUUUAAUUAUAGAAAUGCAUACAUGAAAAGCAUGAUUUGAUGAUUACGUUUUAUGAAACGUUUUGUGAGAUAACAUGUUUAUUGAAGUUAUUUGAAUUAUUACUAUUUUUCCUAUAACCCAUGUUCUUAUAGAAUAUCCGAUGGAUGACGAUAUGAUAUUUAGAACAUGUUUCGAACACCUCUUUAUGGUAUAGAUGAUGGAUGACUUUAUACUAUGAAGUUGGUUUUCAAUAUAUAUAUGUUCAAUGGUUUUGUAUUUACCUAGUGGUCCUUUCCGCUACAGGACGAAGGGAUAGAUUCAGGUCCGUCCUGAGUGACGGUUUGGUGUUGGCAUAUGGCAUGGAGUGUGUUUGCUCUGGCUAUUUAGCACAGGGACGGGGAGCCAGCAUGGGGCCUGAAGUGUAUUUUCCUCUGACUGUCUGCUCAGAGACGGGGAGCCGGCAUGGAGCCUGAGAGUUAUCGGACAAUUCACUAGUGAUUAUUAUAUAUACAAGUUAUGGUUUGAGACUUUCACGGCAUGCUAGGUUUCGGAAAACUUAUGUCUAUCAUGAUAUAUAUGUGUUUUAUAAAACCUAGGGGUUAGUAUGUUGAUAACUGUUUUAUUUUAUAUAUAUAUAUAUAUAUAUAUAUAUAUAUCAACUUGGUCCACUCAUGUUUGUUUUGCGCCCCCUUCAGGAUUUAGAAUCGAGGUAUACAAUCCCGACGUCCAGGCAUUUCCGCAUCGGCAUCUUCGAGUCCUCUCGGUGUAGGAUCCAUCCUUUGUUUCAUUCAAUUUUAUAUUAUUUCUUUUAGUGUUAUAGUUAGUUGUAUGCUCUGAACAUGUUCCUUAAAGGCACAUUAUUCAUUCUCUUAUAUUUACAAGUCUAAGUGAACCUUUAGAUGGUUUUGGUUCUAUCAUACUUUCGUUGUAAUAUUUUAAAUUUUUUUUUUAAUUCUAUUCACGUCCUAAUUCGAUUAUCAUUCUUAUUUUCGAAUUUGGGGUGUGACAAGUAGUGAUUGCCUCAGUUUAUUGUUGGUUUUGGUUAUGGUUGCCUCAGUUUUUUGUUGGUUUCAGUUAUGGUUGGCUGGUUGUAUCGAUGCCUCGAUUAGUGGUUGCCUUGUUUUAUUAUUUGUUUCGGUUAUGGUUGCCUUGGUUGUAUCGAUGCCUUGAUUAGUGGUUGCAUUGGUUUAUUGUUGGUUUCGGUUAUGGUUGUCUCGGUUGUAUUGAUGCCUCGAUUAGUGGUUGUUUUGGUUUAUUGUUGGCUUCAGUUAUGAUUGCCUCAGUUGUAUUGAUGCCUCGAUUAGUUGUUGCCUCUGGUGAGAAUGAAUCUCACAUUGAUAGGGGGAGAAACUUUGCAAAGACUUAUAAGAGGUUGGGUUACUCCUUAUAAUGCCAAUUUGUUUUAUGGUAGAACCUCAACUUCUUCAUGGUAUCAGAGCAGGUUGUCACAUGUGUGAAGUCAAAUGCCCACACUCGCACAUGCGCUCCACGUCACCCUGUUGUAUUGUCCAUGUGUUAGGUUUGAAAAUUCACCACACAUGAGGGGGCAUGUUGUAAAUGAAUCUCACAUUGAUGGGAGAAGACACCUUGUAAAGGUUUCUAAAAGGUUGGGCUACUCCCUAUAUUACCAAUUGGUUUUAUGGUGGAACCUCAACUUCUUCAGCCUCGAUGCAUUGUUGGUUUCAAUUAUGGUUGACUCGGUUUAUUGUUCGUUUUGGUUAUUGUUGCCUCGGCUGUAUUGAUGCCUCAUCAUUAUUGCUUCAGUUAAUUGUUGCCUCACUUUAUUCUUGAAUAGUAUUGUUUCAUUGGUUUAUUGUUGCCUCAAAUUUUCAAGUGUGUUGUUACCUUGGUUCAUGAUUGCCUCACAGUUAUCUUAUGCAUUGCCUCAUUUUCCUUGUUGUUUGGAUAUCCCGACUCAUACUGUCAUAAUCAUUGGACGCAUUGUUACCCAUAGUCGACUUCGUAUAAAUUUUUGCCACUGAUAUUUGAUGACUAUUCAUGGUUGUCUUGAACUCUCAGUGUGCUGGUGUAUUGUCGUAUUGGUUAACUGUUGGCUCAAUAUAUAGUUCUCAUCACUCAAACUUUCGACGGUUAUUUGAUGUUUUGAUACAUGUUUGUCUCGGUUUUUUUUUAUUUCUUGAAUAAUAGUUGCCCUAAGUUUAUUCCUGGUUACACUUUUACAUAUUAGGCCACUAACAUUUCAUACAUAUUUCAAUUUGUUUUAAGGCAUGGAUACUAUGGAUUCAAGAUAAACCACUAGAACUGAUCGAUAAGACGUUUUGUGAUUCGUGCAACAUAUCUGAAGUGAUAAGGUGUCUUCAUGUGCGGCUGUUAUGUGUGCAAAGAGUACCUGAGGAUAGACCAAGCAUGUCAUCUGUGGUUCUGAUGUUGAGCAGUGAUGUUGCCUUGCCACCUCCAAAGCAGCAUGGUUUCUACACUGAACGAAGUGUCCCUGAAUCACCAUCAAGGACGCUUCUAUGUUCAGAGAAUACUUUCAGCACUACGUUGAUAGAACCUCGGUAGAUCAUCAUUGCGGUGCUUGUUAUUCCUUCAAUCUACCAUCACAAAAUGUUUUUGGUAGGUUGACGUGAAGCUUAUAGCCUUGGCUGGGAAACAAUGAGACCUGCGACUGUAACUCUGCAAGAAAAAUAUUUAUGAUUACCAGUUUAUCAGUUCCUAAAUCAGAACAAAGAAAGGACUUGGGGUUGUUAGGUGGUUGAAGAAAUUUAAGUUAUAGCUAUAGUUGUGUUUAUUAUUUUUUGAUUUUAUUUUAUUAUUUCAUGAUAAGAUAAAAUUUAUUGAGAAGGAAAAUAGAUCCUGCACUUAGGUCUGGUUCGGGUAUUUGAUCAAGUCGCCGGAAUUAACACUCUAAGCCUGGUUCGAGAUAGGUGCUUGUCAUUUAAGUUUCUUUGGCAAUCCUCUAUUGGUAGAAAAACUUCAGUGCAGGCAUUUGGACCACGUGACCAUCUUCCCGCAAACACAAACAUCACACUAAAAUGAGGCAGCCGUACUGAAGUUUUUCUCCACCGUCUAUUUGAGCAUUGUCAACGCCUGUUCGGUCUGCCCAUUAUUCAAGCACCCACCAAUAACAACAUUCCAUGAAGCACCAUCCAAUUUAACAUCUAUCCUUCUCAUCCUACAAAUUAAAGUUACACCUUUUUUUUUUUUUUUUUUUUUUUUAUCUUUUGAAGCAAGCAAAAAAUGUAUUAAAAGGAAAACCCCCGAGAACAACUGAAGAGCAUGAAGAGCAAAUGAAGGAAUACGGGGUGAUCCCAAAUAUGACAAUCAGUAAUAAGAAGGCCUUGGUGAGCGAAGACAUCCACCACAAAGUUAGCCUCUCUAAAAAUAUGUUUCCAAUCAAUGCAAGCAAAUUUGGUCGCCAUCCACUUGAUAUCUUCAAUAAUAGGAACCAUAUUCCACAGCGUCGCACCCCGGUCCAACACUGACUGAAUGACCAACUUAGAGUCUCGUUCUACCAUAAUCUUUGUAUAGCCCUUCCUUUGAGCAUAAAGAAGGCCCUCUUUGAGAGCCCUAGCCUCCACUUUAGAAAUAGUGGCACCAUCAAUAUUUAAAGUUCCACCGCCGAUGAGCUGCCCAAUAUGAUUCCUUAAGACAAAUCCCGCCGCAGCCUUGUCCCCAGCCACUGAGCCAUCAAAAUUUAGCUUAACAUAUGUCACGCCCCGAACCCAACAUACGUCCAGGAUCGACGCGUGACGUUAUCCAGCAUCCGUAUAUCUAACAAAUCCCACCUCCGAUAUAUUUACAAGGCAUAACUCAAGAUCCAACUGCGUAAUAAUUUUUUUUUCGUAAGCUUUAUGACUGCAUCUAACCUCCUCGUUAGACUACCUACGUACCCUAAUCAGGGAUCAAACCAUUCGUAGUUCAUCAAUCACUACCCAUCUACAUUUACCAAUGUACAUUCCAGCCGAAAGAUAUAACAUUCCUCAAUCAAUCAUUAGAACUUGACAAGUAUGGAAGUACUAGAUUCAAGGCUACAUAACAAUCCAAUAUGACAAUCAAGGUUUCCAUUCCACCCAUCAUAUAAGUCACUAUGUUUCAACAUGAAACCUUAAUCCACCACAUGUAAUGUAUCCAAGAACCAACAAAGCACAAUAUUAUUCUCAAGCCAUUUCGAGUAACGAGACUAAUCAUAAUAAUAACAAUCAUAUCCCACAUCAUUCCGCAAUCGUUCUACUUAAUCAAUCCUAAAAUCAUAGAUGCAUGAUAUCUACAAUUACUAUGCUAUUCAAUCAAUAAGGUCCCAUAUCAAUUCACAAAUUUUAAUAAAGGAUCCCUACAUAAUUCCCCACCUGGAUUUCAAGUACUAACAUGAUAAGUCUAAUCUAUACACAAUGUCUACUGUGAACAAUUCAUAUUCACUCGACUCUAAGGUCAGACUACCUUUACGGAAAUGAGCAAGAGUAGGGAUUCUAUACCACUCAACAAAAUCCAACCAAAAUACUAAGCGACCUCUUGUAAUCUCUUCAGACUUGACAUAUGUACAAUCAGUGCCUACAACAUGGGAAUGGUAUUGGCAUCAAGAAUUCAGAUAAGCUACAAAGAUCAGGUGAGUGACAAUAAUACAAGGAUGUGAUAAUAAUGAUAAAGCCAACCAUUAAUAACAGUUUACAUCUCUUUAAUAUAAAUCAUUCAUAAAGAAUCAAUACCAAGCCUUUGCAACUCCGAAUGAGUCACCCAGACAUCCAACGGUUCGUCUGAAACAAAUCACAACAGCUCACAAUCAUAAUCUCAUACAACACAAUGAAAAGUAGGGUUAGGGUGACACAGUUCAGUCGAAGUCUACAUCUCCGAAGCUAUCUCAAUCCAAAAUUUAUAACCCCAAGGUGAACACGAUCCUAGACCAUCUCUCAACGGAAUCGCGAAGUAGAAGGGGUUCCGGACCACUCAACUAAACCGAGCAUAAGUCCAACAAAUAUAGCAAUGCUCAAAGAAGAAAACAUGAAACAAGUACUCAAAAUACAAAAGCUCAAUGAAACAAGAAAUGAAAUAAUGAUACGAUAUGUGAAAUAAGUCUCGAAGUAACAAACCCCAUGACAAUGGGUUCAUAGUCCACUCAUAACCCUCACAUUUCAUCACAUCAGGCCAAUCAUGCAAAUCAAAUCUCAUUUCAAAUAUGCACAUCAAAUUACUUUCCAUCGAACAAUUCAUCAAGCACUUCAAAUCACAUUUCAUAGAUAUCAUCCAUACACAAGUCAAAUCACGACUAAUAAACAUAGAUCAAUGACUAAUCACAUUUCAAUAGAUUCACAUUAUAUAAUCAAGUGAUAUCCACUCAAAAUAUAAUCGCCUAUCGAAUGUACCAAGUACAACUAAUCCUUAUCACCCCCAGAAUGCGUAAGGUCCCCAAUCGCGGAUAUACCAAGCGGGAUCAUAUAUACUUUCUCUUAAAACCAAUUCCCUUCUUUGAACAUAUUAACCUAAUCUGUGCAAGUAGUAUUGGCCUAUUGGGAAAUUAGAAAUCCAUGAGUGAAUCAUAAUUCUCAAACCAUUUAAAUCAAGUGUAUGUUAUGAACAGAUUAUCACUUUGAUUCAAAAGGAACUAUAAAUGGCAUAGUCAUUUCAACUUUUAUACCAAAGCAGCCCCUUUAGCUUUUGUGUAUAUAAUAGAUAAAAGCAAGCAUCUGCAUAAUACUAGUCUUGAAAAAAAAACGUGGCUAAUAUAUGACAUGCAAUUGACUCCACCCAAUUAAUUAUGUUAUACAAAUAUCCCUUUCAGGUAUUAUACCAAAAUAGGGUUUAGGCAGUUGUGUAUAAAACUAGCUUUGUAUCAUAUAUCAUAUAAAAAACUUGCACAUACAACAACUGCAUAUAAAACUAAUUUCCCAUAAUAGCAUCCAAUAAUGACCAUAAAAGAAAUUUAGAGUAUCAGAGAAUAAUUACCAAAGCUUUCCACCCAUUGGAUAACACAAAUGAAAUCAUGUUUAUUUCAUGAUUCAAACCCACCUUCUGAGACCCUCUUCUUUCUUUUCUCAUCCCUGCCUUCUCUGUUACCCUCUCUCCUUCCUUUCAGUUCUUGUUGUCCCGUGUCUCCACUUAUACAAUUGGAUUUAAGCUGGGGUGGUAGAGUUGGUUUAUACCAUAGGGAGAUGAGGUUCAUAGAUAGAGGAAAGCAAGAUGUCAUGGUGAUCAAUCGUGAGAUGAAUUUGAAAGAGGUGGUGGGAAGUGACGACCUCCUUCCCUCUCCAACCCCCUUCUAAAAAAAAUGAGAUACAGAGGGAGGAGAGGGUGCUCUAGAGUCUUCCCCCUUCUCUCUCUAAUUUUUUUUUGCCCAAUUCCACUUAUAAUAUCCGGUCCCUUUAAUCCCAAUAAAUGUUGGGCCUUUUAGCCAUAAGUUGAAAUUAAAAUAAUUCCCACAAUUUAUAGUUUCACAAUUUCAAACGUCUGUAACUAUACCGUUAUAACUCGGACUCGCAAACGCCCUUUGCCUAUGGGCUCGUGGCUUCGAGACUUAUUCGAAAACAUUACUUGUGACCUCAAAAGGUCAACGAAUUUUAAAUAAUUAUUUUCCAAACUUCACUCUUCGUAACUAGUUUAAUUAAAAUCUAAAUCCAAACGAUUUAAAAUAAAUUCUCUAGAAAUAAUAUAAAAUCUCAAUAGUACAAAUACGUAGAUUAUACCAAUGAAAUCCAGGAACGGGAUUUCACAACAUAACUUUGAUCCGGAGGGUGCCAUUUAAUAAUCCUGGAAAUAUCUUCAGUAUUUCUAUUUAAACCCUUACAAUUGGCUUUAAGAUAUCGCUUACCCAUGGACAUAGCUGACCCAUAGACAUAGCCAGCAAAAGUUACACCCUUUUUUGGUAUCUCUGUUCGAAAAAUACGCAGUUAGAAGUACAUUCCAGGACACGAAAUCUCGUUUAGACAUCAUAUCAAAUACCAACUGAGCUUGUUUAAUGCUCAGACAACUAGCAUAGAUAUUUACAAGGGCGCUGCUAACGAAAACAUUCUCUUCCAUUCCAUGUCUGACCACAAACCCAUGAAUCAGACUUCCCAAAUUCAAAUCUUUCAACUCCGAGCAAGCAGGUAGGAUUGAAGAAACUGUUACCACAUUGGGUCUCACUCCAUUCAACCCCAUCUCGUGAAAUGCCUCCAAACCUUGUCUAGGCAUCCCACAGUUAACAUAACAAGAACAAAAAGAGGUCCAAGAUACCACAUCUUUCACAGCCAUGGCAUCGAAAACCAGUCUCGCCAGAUCAACAUAUUUACAUUUUCCAAACAUAUCGACCAUUGCAUUGCCCAAAGAGACAUCCAAAUGAAACCCAAAUCCAAUUGCAUCAUCGUGAAGCUGUUUAGCAUUUCAAAUAUCACCAAGAGCAGCACACGCCUUAGCAACUGACAAAAGCAGAAGAUUAUCGGGCACAACGGGCCGAAAUCUGAGCGAAGCGUAAAGAUUUAUGGAUUCCUUGAGGAACCCAUGUCGUGUGUAGCCUGAUAUGAGCAUGGUCCACGCACGCAGGUCUUGUUCGGGAAUUUGAUCGAACAGGCGGCGUACACAUUGCAAAUCGCUGGAAUCACAGUAGAUUUUCAAGAAGCUAAGGCUCAGGCUCAGGUGAGGCGGGACGUUGGUGUGUAGUUUUGAAAGCAUGUCGUCUAUAUAUAUAAAGGGAGAGGGCCAGUUUCGUGAAACAUUUGAAAAUACCAAGAAAGCCCCUUUGUUUUCUUCAUAAUCCAAAUUCAGAAAAAUCGUAAAAUGAGGACAAAUUGAUAAAAACACCAUAACUGAACAGAAAACAAAUAAAUAAAAAAAAAUCUAUAACAGAUGUGCUUAACCAUUAACCCUCACAAACUGCUGGGCAGUUUAAAAACAGAAAUUACGAAAAGAAAAAAAGAAAAAAGAUAUCUUUACCAUAUAUGUAAAAAAGAAAUAUAAAAAAGGUUACAGUAGAUAGAAAAUAUAAAAAUAAAAAUAAAGCAAAUCCAAAAAAUAUUGGAAAGGAAAACAGAAAAUUAAAAAAAAGAAGAAAAACAACCCGCAUACCUCUCAAACUGCUAAGUAGAGUAAUGGGCAGUUUUCUCCCCCAAAGAUUUCCACGCUAUGAGUUUGGUGGGAGGUUGAAUACUAACCACCUGCAUACCACCAGUAUUUAGAGAUGAGUAAUCGGAAGGAGGCUAAUUUUGGUUUUCAGGAGUUUGCUGUGCGGUUUCAGUUCAUUCCAAACAAAAAAGGAUCGACAAACUCAGUGACAGAAAUUAGUAAAACAUUUGAGCUUUCAGAACAAAGGCAUGUCCGAAAAUCGAAAAAUUUCAUCGGCGUGAUGAUGGUGGCGGGCAGAGCAAAGGGCAAAUAAUAAGGAUUUUUGUCGAGAGGGUUAUCGCAUUGCGCUAAUGGUUUCUCUGAGUUCCGACCUCAAUGACCUUUUUUCUUUUCUUCAGUAAUCACUUACUGUACUAUACAUGCUAAUUAAAAAAAUUAUUUGUUUUUAUUCUUAGGAUAUUUACAAGAAUACUCACAAGAAAUGAAGAAGGAACUACCUAUUGAUAAGAUUCCAAAUAGACGUGUUUCUAUUUUUACACCUGGUUGGGAGAUAUCCGUUGGAGUAAAAACUACUGAUCUAAGCCAACUGAUUCUCAAAGAGUGGAAAAAAAAGAAGCAUGAGCAGUAUGUAUUCUAAAUUUUUUAUUAAAUUUGUUAUAAGAAAUCUAACAUUAUAUAUACUUUUAAUAUAUAGGUGGCGUAUGAAAAAGGCGGUAGAAGAAUUAAAACCUUCAACAACUCCUCACAUCAUACGCAUUUGGAAUAAAGUCCAAAAAAUUAGGUACAACACCAUUUCUUACCUAUUUACGUUUAAUUGCAUUCUCCAUAUCAUUCUACAAAUUAAUUAUCAAAUUUAAAAAAAAUUUAGAAAACAAUUUAUGGGUGCAGAAAAAAGAUUAAUAGUGAUCAAACAACUUUUCUAAAUACGGUAACUCUUCUCUUAUUUUCAUAUGAAUGUAUACUAUGAAUUCAAAUUGCAUUCAAUUUUCAAAUAGAAAUAAAAUUGCAUUUUUCUAUCAGUUUUACAAGCAUCACACCCGUCUCAAAGUACAAAGGUUGAAGUACAAGAUUAAGGUAACAUUUCUUACUAUUUAAUUUUGUAAACAUGAUUACAAUUAGUUACUUCAAACUUGACAAUUUAUUUAUCUUUCAGUAUUCUAAAAGUAACUGGAGUAAAAGUAUUGCUAUGGGAAAAUUAUCGAAGUUAAAGGUAUUUAGGUUAAAUUGCUUACAAUCUUUAUAUUUGGGAUUGUGCAUUAUAAUGCAUUAUUCACAUCUUAAUCAAUUAGACUUCUUAAUUUAUCAUCAUUGCUUGCAGAUUAACCAUGAAAAUCUAAAGCAUCAAGUGCAAGCAAACGGAUGGCAAGCAUGGCGGAAGGACGAAAAACUUGACAACUAGAUAUUCAAUAUUCGUGAAAUCAAGAAUGUCUUUAUUCGUGAAGUCAAGCAUUAACUAGAUAUUCAUUAUGUAAAACUAAAUUAUUGCUCCUAUCAGUUGUGUCCAUUCUUGAUUUGAUGAAAUCCACUUUAUUUAUUUUUCUUCGUAUUCCUACACAAACCCAAAAAAGAAAGAGAACGCAAUAUUUUUUUUUUUGACAAAAGAAAAGAUAACAUGGGGAAAAAAUAUAUGCAAUAACAGUAACUUGCAUAUUAAUAUCAAUACAGAGAAGAGCUACUUAAUGUUUUUAUCUACUCUUUUUUUAUUUACAUCUACUUACCAUUGUUCAUGAACUUUAGAUAGGAACUUGCAUCCAAAUAUCUCAUGUUGUUUGACAAUUGCAUGAAUAACAUUUAAAACAUUACUUUACGCAAAGUGAAAACAAAAAACUUGACAACAUUUUAGGACAUGCCUGAUAAAGAAAAAGUUCAUCUUUGCACAAUACAAUUAAAAUAUAUCUUGACAAUUACAAUGAAAAAGAAUAACACAAUACACUUUUAGGGCCGCGUAGCGCCCGUGAUGCAAAAAUGCCUCUCGCACGCACGCUAGUGCGUGCGGAGAGGCUAAUAUAUUGUUUAAAUGGCUUUUGCAUCUUGUAAUAUGCAGGGACAAGCUUCGAGUUUUGCAAGUGCUUUUGAAAAGCAGUUGAGAAGUACCGUUUCUUGGCGCCAGGGCAUGUAAUAGCGGACGAUGUGUCUAGGCUUGAAACGACAUGCCCCGUAUGUUUAUUAGCUUUAUUUUAGGCAUGGAACAUUCCACCUCGUUGCAUUUUAUUUUUGUUCUUUUUCUAUUUUGUAAGACUUUGUAAUGGCUAAAGCUUAAUGAACUUGAGAUUGGGAUGCUUUCCUUUUCGUCCUGCAAUAUUUGCAUCAUGAUUCGAAUAAUUUAUUUUUUAGUUUAUUUAUUUGAAAAUCAUCUUUAUAAAAAAUUAAUUAAAUAAAAAAUAGUUUGGUUGUCCAAUUAAUAUUGUUGACCACAGCAAAUGCCCUAGUAGUAAGGGAAUUACAGCAAAUGCCCUAGUAGUAAGGGAAUUACAGCAAAUGCCCUAGUAGUAAGGGUCAGGUGAGGCGGGAAGUUGGUGGGUAGCUUUGAAAGCAUGUGAUAUUAUUGUUUUAAUGGCUUUUGCAUCUUGGAAUCUGCAGGGAGCACUACAAGAAAAAUGGGCUAAGAACACAAUUCAUUUGUGCCCUUUUCAUUAUCAUUGAGCACAAAUACAUAUAUGUGCUUUUUAAAUAUCAAUGAGCACCAAAACCAUCUCAAAUGUGCCCUCUAAACAAAGGGCACAUUGGUUGGUGUCCUGCAUUUGUGCCCAUUAAAAUGUUUGCACCAAAAUUUGUGUCACUGUUUAUAAAUAUCAGUAAUCAUAAUUUUUUAUUAAUUUACGUACACACAUAAAUAAUUUUUGUGCCCUUUGAUUUAGUAUAUUUAAAUUAUUUAAUUUUAUACACAUAAGUAUCUUGUCUUACUUCAACAAUCUGAAGACAAAAUCUUAUUUUAAUAUAUUUUUAUUGAUCAAAACCCACCAUACACUCCCUUUCUUUGACUUUACUGUCUCAUCUCUCUCUCCGUCUCUCUCAUUUCUCUUUUCCUGUCUCCCAUCUUUCCUUCUCUUUUACUUUCCUUAUCUCUCUCUUUCAUCUCUGCUUCCCCAGAUUAAGUCCAACCACCCUAUAUAUAUUUUUAUAGAUGUAUGAUUUGGUUAUUCAUUUUUGUAUGAUUAUGUGGAACUCGUUGGAAAACAAAUAAGAUGGUGGGUAAUUUCGUCUUUUGUGGGGCUUUCGAGUUCAAGACACUUGGUGGUAAAUAUUAUAUUUUAUUUAAAUACACUGUCACAGUUUCAACCACGAGCUAUGGCCGUUGUCUAAUAUGAUGCAACCACGGAUUGUGCCCAUGAUAGAUUGAAAUCUAACACCACGUGACCACAAACAAUGCCCGUUAUAAAACAAUUCCCAAAAAUUUAAAAAAAAAAAUAUUCAAUAAAAAUUAUAAAUAUAUAAUAUUUAUAUACAAAUUGCAUAUUUACUGCAAUAUAAUGAUUACGUAAAAAACCACAUAUUCAAAAUACAAAUAUUACAAGUUGUACACUAAAACUAACAACAAAACCAAUGAGUUAUACUAAGUGCCAAAUAUACCUCUAAUAACAAAGACAUUGUUAAUUGAAGACUACACAUUUCUUUGAACACUUUCGAACAAAAGACUUGAGAGUGAAAUACUGCCUCUAAUGCUUGAGCUUCAGAAAUUGGUGCCUCUCUCUAUCCAUCUGUAUAGACAUAAGCAUAUGGAUGAAAAUAGUGAAUAGAUAAACAAAACUUGAAGCUAAAUUAACAAGUAAAAAUUUAAAUAGACGAAUCUCUAAUGGUGCACACAUGACGCCAAAAAAUUAAUCAAUAAAAACUUGAACAUUUAUACAGAACUAACCUCAACAAGAUUAUGUAGUGCAAAAUUAGCAUUGCAUUACAGAGAAUGGAUCAAAUGUAGCCAAGAACUUAAAUUACAAUCAUCAAAUUUCUAAGAUAUUCUUCCUAUCCGCUCCACCUCUAAAGCUAGCAUUUCUUCAUUGCUCCGUUCCAUCUCCCAAUUGACCGAAGUCACUAGCUCAUGAUCAAUCGCUUACACAUUCAGGUUAUCUUAUGCACAUAGACCAAACACAAUAUAUAAUUACUUGAUUAAAAAAAUGGAAGAAUUGAAAUUUAUAAACAUUAAAACAAUAAAAUAAAAAAGAUGAAGCUUAAUUACCCCAAGUGAAAAGCAACCCAUUUGAUGCAGCAGAGGCGGUGUGCUCCUGGUCGCAAGCAAUGUCCAACCACUGCCAAUUAGUCCUCGCCGUGCACCCAAAAAGCUCCAGAGAACUGCUUCGGGAUCCUCAACCACUGCUCCUUCCCAUUCCGACCGGUCUGCUCAAACUUGCAAUAUCCCCACACGUAAAUCGCCAUCUUCAUCGGAAUGCUCACCGGCCGGUUGCGACCCAGAAGCUCAUCAAUGUCAAUUUCCAUAAAUUCCCUUCACAUACUGAACCACAAAGUUGCAAGUCAACAAAUUUGACAAAAAAAUUAACAAAUCUUAAUCCAAUUGAAGGAGAAAGUUGGGAGCUUCACAAAAUGGGUUCUCUAUUUGGUUACCUGGGAAAUGGAAUAGUGGUGAACUGGGAAUUUGUCGGCAGCCAAACAGAGGAGAGAGAGAGAGAGAGAGAGAGAGAGAGUGGCGGAGAUACCUGAGGACUCAAAGUGGACGAGGAAGAAAACUGAAAAAUGGUUGUCGUUGGUGAAAUGUUAAGAGAGAGAGAGAGAGAGAGAUCUCCUGAGGACUCAAAGUGGACGAGGAAGAAAACUGAAAAAUGGUUGUUGUUGGUGAAAUGUUAAGAGAGAGAGAGAGAGAGAGAGAGAGAGGAGAGUGACAAAGGUCGGUUUAAUUUCUCACGAUUUGAGGAGGGGGAGUUUUGCAGUUACUAGCUGAUGGGAUGAGAUAAACCAAUAAAUGAAAUUUGAACCUCCUUUAUAUUUUGAAAAGCAUGUGGGAGUGUUGUGAAAUUUUCAAAUUUAAAAGAUGUUUGAAGUUUUACAAAAUUCUUGUCCCACCUCCUCUAGAUUUUUUAGUUAAGUGUGUGUGAUUCCAUCACAUAUUAUGUCUGUGAUAGAUAACAAAAAGACGAUGUGGAUGUUAAUAAUAUUAACCACAAGCAUUGUCCGUGAUGGUUUUAGUAUAUUUAUAACGUUCAAUUUUGCGCGUGGUCAUUUGCUGUUAUUUUACAACGAGCUAAGAUUUGUCUGUGAUAAAAAAAUUGUUAUUACUAUGUGCUUAUUAUGCCCAUGGUAAAUUUGUACUUUUUAUAACACGCUCAUAAAGUCCGUGGUAAAAUUGUCGUGGUUGAUGAACUAUUAUGUUGUAGCUUAUCGUAAUGAACGCGUUGUCACAAAUGGAUAUGAAUUCGAAGUUAAAACAAUAAGUUACGAAUUUUUAAAGUUAGAAGGCAAAAUGGUAAUUUUGGGACUGAGAGUAUUUUAGAAGCCAAAGGCUUCUCCCAUUUUACUUUCCCAGCAGGCAGCUGCACCACCCACGUGGGUCUUCACCCUUCCCAUGUAUAUAUAAUUAUUUGUUGAGUAUUAAUCCAACAGUCUUUUCGUCUCCCUCAUGGUUAUGUAUAUAAUUAUUUUAUUAAUUUUCUAAUGGGUUUUUGUGUCCCAUGGGACCCACCCACGUGCGUCUUCACCCUUCCCCGUGCUUCUACUCCUCUCUGCACGCCAUCACUCUUUCCGUCUCACUCAUUCACGCAAUCAUCUCUCUCUUUCUCUCUCGACUUCUUCAGACUUUUCUCUGUCAUCUCCCUCACCAUCUCUGUGUGCUCACUACACAAAAAAAUGCAGCAUCCAUCUCUAUCUAACUAGCCACUCCGAUGAACCUUGCCACCACCCAAACACUACACUGCCACCCUUGCUCUCUCACAAUCUUUCUAUCUCUCCCUCUCAGUUUCUUCCUUGACACAGAGAAGCACAUAAGCAAUGACGACAAUGGAGUUGGCAAUCUCCGGUGAGGCAACCACCAGCAUCACCUUCCUCUCCUCACUGGAGACUCCCCAUUACCUUUUGCUUUCUGGAAAUCGAAACCGAUGCGACGAAAUGACAAGCUCCAUUGUGGCUUGACUCCCCGGCGAGAUUUUCCGUCGAAUCCUGUAUGGGUGAGUCUCGAAAACACCUUAGUUAGGUUCUUUAAGUUGUUUAGAGACGUUUUUGUGCACUGCAUGCCUGAUUUGGUUAAGUUUGGAAGCAGUUUCAACUCAAGGGACAAAUUCCCCAGAUUUCCAGUGAGGGCUAUGAUUUUCAGGCUGAUUUUAGGCUAUCACCGGCCACCUAAUGGCCCUGAAGAAGGUAAAUUUUGAAUACUUACCUUUGUAGCUUUGUUUUAGCUUUGAAUUGUUGAAAAUGGUUGUGUUUUAGACCAAAAUAGACUUUGAAACCCCUGGCGUGGUUGCAGGUCGCAUUGUUGCUGCUUGUGGUACUGUUGUGGAUGGCACGUGGAGCACAGGCACCUCCACUGGAAGGAUGACUGCCUUUCAAGGAUGAAUAUACAUUUUCAAAUGUUUGUUUCAGAUUGUAGGGUAUUUCGAAUUUGUUAUUUUUAUUUUAUUUUUUUUUAAUUUAAUUGAUAGGGCACAAUUACAAAAAUUGUGGUAACAUGAAUCUGAAAUGGCAUCUGACACAAGUGUCAGAACAGGGCACAAUAAAAACCUUAUUUGUGCUCAACUCUUUGAGCACACAUAGCCUUAUCGUGCCCUCUAAUCAAUGGUGACGCCCAUAGAGGGCACAUACUUAAAUAUAGUAGUUGCAUUGUUGCUAUUGGUCUAUGGGCACAAUUGUUGGUGCUCUUUGGUCUUAAAUGGCACAUAUAAUUUAUUGUGUGCAGUGCCCAUAUUUUUUUGUAGUGGAGAAGCUUCUAGUUAGCAAGUGAUUUUGAAAAGCAGUUGAGAAGUACCGUUUCUUCGUGCCAGGACAGGUAAUAAGCGACAAUGACUCUCUGUAGGCAUGAAACGACAUGCUCCGUGUGUUUAUUAGCUUUAUUUCAGGCAGGGAACGAUAUUCCAUCCGAAUGCAUUUUAUAUUGAUUUGUUUGUUCUUUUCCUUUUUUGUAAGACUUUGUAAUAGCCAAAUAAAAAAUAGUUUGUUUUUUCGUUUACCUUGUUAAAAUUUCAGUGUAUAAUAAAUAUUAUAGUUCGUUUAUUUAUUAGAUAAUUGUUAAAUAACUAAACGAUCUUAGAGUUUGUUGAGUUUUAGCAAAUGAGAAAUGCCAAAAAUACUUUUAAAAGUGGAACUCUUCAUAGAAUUUAAAGAAAACUAAUGAAAAUAACUUGAAAAACCUCAUAUUUUUUAGACAAUGUUAUAUAAUAUUGGCAUGAGAAUUAAAAAGUGACUUAAAAAAUCAUUGCGCAACAUUGCAGGAUGAAAAAAGAGUGACUACUAUAGAAUAAAAAUUCAAAUACAAAGAUUGCCAGCAUUCAUUUUUAAAAAUUUGAACACGUUUCUCUUUGAGAUUUGAACGCGUAACCUCCCAAAUAAAAUGAAAACAAGAUGCAAUCAAAUAAUGAUUUGCAUAACCCUAUGGAUGGUCAUUUACUUAUGACACGUAAAAGUUUGACAUGUGUACAAAUAUAUUAUUUAUUUAUUUUCUCAAAUACAGACACAUUUUUUUUCAUUCAAUUACAAACACAUUUAAUGAAUAAACUUGGUACAAAAAGUUGGUUCCCUUCACCCAAUGAUUUGAUUUUCUCGCUAAUACUUGCCAUCAUAUUUGAGGUAGGUUUUAUUAGCUAAUGCUUGAAUUCCAUAUAAGAUUUGACAUGCUUGAUGGGUAUUUUGUUUCUUUUGAAGAUGAAAGUUUUGCUUUUGUUUGUCUCCCUUAAAAUUCGAGGACUAAAAAUUUAACGGUAAUUUCCGCUAACUGAUAUCAAGUGAAUUAUUGUUUCAUGACAGCUGGGAGAGAGGCAUUUAUCAUAUGAAUUUCUUUGGCAAUCCACCAUUGGACAAGUGAUCACUGUUAUUAUCAGCUGUCAAUUUAGUUGGGUCUUGGGUUAAUUAAGAUACCCAAGUCCUUUGAUUUUUCUUUGGGUCAAUGGUCCAUCUUCUCUGCAUGAUUUUUGUAUUAAUUUCUUUGGACAAAGUGUACAAUCUCAGAACAACCAUGCAAUCAUGCAAAGCCUUGAGAAGCUUUUUUAUGUGCUUGUUCUUCUUAUUCUCCCUUCUAAGAAUCUCAGCUGCAACUGCACUGGGCACAAUCACUCCGAGUCAAUAUAUAAGAGAUGGUGAAACUCUGGUUUCAGUAGGUGGAAGCUAUGAACUGGGAUUCUUCAGCCCUGGUAAAUCAAAAAGCCGGUACUUGGGAAUAUGGUACAAUUUUUCUACUGAUGCAAUUGUGUGGGUAGCCAACAGAGAAACACCACUUGGUGAUUAUUCGGGACUUCUGAAGCUCACCAAGCAAGGAGUUCUGGUCCUCCUCAAUAGCUCAAACAGCAUUGUGUGGUCAUCGAAGGCUUCAAGAAUCGUGGGGAAUCCAGUGUCGCAACUCUUGGAUUCUGGAAAUCUUGUGGUGCAAGAUGCAAACGAAACUAACCCGGAUGACUUCUUGUGGCAGAGUUUUGAUUAUCCUUGUGACACACACCUACCGAAAAUGAAGAUUGGUUGGGACUUGGUUACUGGUUUAGAUAGAUCUCUCUCGUCUUGGAAGAGCACAGAAGAUCCUGCUCCAGGAGAGUUUUUGAUACGAAUGGAUUAUCGUGGCUUACCACAACUUCUUCUUAUGAAAGGAGCUAAGAUACUGGCUAGACCAGGGUCAUGGAAUGGCCUUUAUUUGACAGGACUAGGAUAUCGUUUUAGAGAACCAAAUCCAAUAUCUGCUUUUGAAUUUGUGUUGAACAAGGACGAGGUCUAUUUUCAGUACAGCCUCCGAAGCACGUCAGUGUUCUCGAGAACUGUAUUGAGCCCAUCAGGGGUCGUAGAGCAGUUCACAUGGGUGCACCAAAAACAGAGUUGGGAUCUUCCCGUUACAUUCCUAGCAGAUCGGUGUCAAAGUUAUGCCUUGUGCGGUCCAUUUUCUAGUUGCAGUAUCAAUAACUUUACACUCCGAUAUGUGCAUGCUUUAAGGGAUUUGUACCAAAAUCUUUGAAAGAUUGGAAUUCGGGAUAUUGGUCUGAUGGAUGUGUUCGAAGGACUCCGUUGGCCUGCAGCGAUGGAGAUGGCUUCAUAAAGUACAGUGGGAUGAAAUUGCCAGACACAUCAACCUCGUGGUUUGAUAAAAGCACGAGCCUUAAGGAAUGCAAGGGAUUAUGUUUGGGAAACUGCUCAUGUACUGCGUGUGCAAAUCUGGACAUCAGGGAGGGAGGAAGUGGCUGCGUGCUUUGGUUUGAUAACCUCACCGACAUAAAAGAAUUCACUCCCAACGGUGGUCAAGACCUCUAUAUACGGGUGGCAGCUUCAGAACUAGGUACGUCUUCGACCUUUAUCUGCAGUAUGCAAAGUAGGGUUUAAAUAAGUUAGUGUUAAAAUCACAGUUACUGCAACACGACGAGAUCACAUGAAAAGUCUGUUUUAAAACGGAGAUUUCAGAUCAUGCUAAGAAAAAGAGCAAUUUCAACAAGAGACGGCUACUAGCAAUUCUCCUCAGCUCUGCAGUUUUUCUCAUGGGAUUGCUUGUUGGAAUGAUAUUGUACGUACAGAAGAAGAAACUCAGAAAUGAAGGUAACUAUUUUCGGACACAUUAAAAAUGCAUUAGAUAAGGUAGUUAGUAUUUAACUAGCGAUGGUGCCCGCACGAUGCUGCGAGUUUUUAAACCAUAUAAAACAUAUCAAAAGUUCCACGUAUAUGUACGAUAUGCAAUAUUUAUGCAUGUGAUUCAUGUCUUCUUAACCAUUAACAAAACAAACUGAAAAAAUGAAAGUAAAAAACUACACUUAAGUAUAAAUCAAUGUAUUAAAAGCGUGAGGCGUGGGCGAGGCUUCCGAGGGAUAGCCUAGCCUAGCCUAGGCGUGAGGAGUGAGGCAAAGCCUCACGGGACCUAAAUUUUUUAAUAUAUACACUGAGUGUACACAUAUAUUAUAUUAAAAAAAGAUUAUUAAUCAAUAAUCACACUGAGUACACACAUAUAUAUACAUAUUAUAUAUAUAUAUAUGUAAUAGAGGAUGAAAAGCACAAUGAACACACAUAUAACAAUGCACGUAGACAGCACACACAUCCAUUAUAUAAAAAAAUAAAAAUCAGAAAAAUAAGGUGGAGAGGCGAUAAUGCAAGUAAGAGAUAUGAGGCAGUUAUGGGUUUGGGAGUUAAAAAAAAAAAAAAUCCCCUAAGGCGUGCCUAGGCAGCUCCGACGACGCCUUCCGCCCACUCCAGCAAAACAGUGGCGUUAGCCUUCGCGCACAGCCUCAAAGGCACCCUAGGCACGCCCUGAGGCUAGUUUUUUAAAACAUUGGUAUAAAUAUACAUGCGGUUUGCAAAUUCAUUUCUAAGUUCUACAACUGCCACUUAUUCCAAAACAACUACUUACUCAUCCUCUCCUUCCUCUUCCUCUCCCUUCAUAAUCCCUGUCAUUGUCUUUUUGGAUUUUGGCAGCUAAACAUGCUCAUUUUAAUAGUCUCUGCAUCCACAUCAUGAGGACCUUUUUGUACCUGAAGUUGCAGCACAAUAAUAUGAGAAAUCUUGCAAUACAACACUACCAAUUUUAAAGAUCAUAACAUGCAGAGAGACAGUGACAUGAUAAUCUUCCAAACAAACAAUGGGGUUUAAGGAAUGCAUUUCAGAAUACUACAUACCAAAAAUGUUGAUUCCAAGUUGAGCAUAUAGAGAGAAGAAGCUAUCCACAAAGUGUUAACCACCACGUGAUAUUGAAAGAUGGUUUUGACGUAUUGGGUGAUCCAGUAACUAUGCAAGUUAGAAUAAUCUAAGUUUAAAUCCCUAUUAGCACUAAAGCAUUAUCUUUCUGUAUAACUCAUGACUCAAGCUAAUAAAUUUAACAACUACUCUCAGCUCUAAAUCUUAAGAAUAAUCAGAAAUCCAACAACCUUAAAGAUAUUUGACCCUCCCCACAACAUAGAAUUGACGGUUUCCAGACGCAGUAUCAAAUUUAAAAUAGUAUCGCACUAGUAAACCAUUGACUGAUGUACACACACAUAAAUGGGUGGGCUUGUGAGUGUGACAUAACAUUGAUCUAAGUAAACCUCAUAAACCAAAAUCAAAACCAGUAAACCAUUGCUCCAAUUUUCUCAAAACACAAAAAAUAUUCCUGUACUUUGCUCUCAUAAAACCCCACACUAAUCUCAUCUCAUUUAAAACUAUCCUAAUCAGAUAGCCUUAUUGAAAUUUAUUUGGAGAAAUUGAUCAAUUUUCGAAUGGGUGGCCUUAUGAGUGUGUGACAUAACAUUGACCUAAGAAAAAAACCAAAAUCAAAACUAAUUUAGAAAACACCAAAUCAUGUGGCACUGGAAAUGAUAACGAGGGGCAGGCAACCCAGCUCGAAAGGAAUAGGCCUUUACAUUCCUUUUCAAUUUCUUUACCAAAAUAAUUGCAAAUGCAUAUUAAAUAUUCAGCAGUAUUUAAAUCAUAGGUGUAUACGAAAUUCUAAUGAUCAUAACAAUAUAUCUUCGACCAAAACAAUACAUCAUUUCGUCUCAAAAAACAAUACAUUAUUGAUCAUAACAAAGGUUCUAAAUUCUAAUGAAAACUUAUAUCAAAAUUCGAAUUAAGCAGUAUACGUAUUAAACAAUAGCGACAGCACAACAUACAAAAAUGCUCUCAUAAAUGAAUUAAAGAAUUCUAGAUGUUGUGAUGCCUAACUUAGGAUAAGGUCUUGGCGUGGGACUAAUCAACUGAACAAAUGAUCAAUGUUUAGAGGCGCUUACAUGGAUCUCACAUCACAAAAAUUAGAGCAUGCACCAAAAUCCACAACAAAUAUCACAAAAAUUAGAGAAUGCCCCAAAAUUUGAGGCCUAAUUCUCUAUUUCACAGAGGAGAAAAACCAAAAAUAAGGGUAACACAAUCACAAUUCUCUGGUAAUAAAAAUUCAACAAUACAUUAACAAAAUUACUGUAACUGAAUAUACCUCAAAAAGCCAACGGCCCAAUUGCUCCCUCCAACGAUCCAAAUUUCUGAAAUUCACAAACACAGCAAAGCCAUUAGCAAUUUGACAUGCUUAGUACAAUCAAAAUUCACAGGAACAAACAAAGGAUUGAACAAACAAACUUUGCGAGCUAAUUAAAUAUUCACACACACUGUACUUACACACACUGCAUACACACACAAACUGAUUAUAGACACAAAGCACAACAUUCACACACACAAUCACAUAUACACUCACACGCACACCCGCACAUACUGAGUCAUACGUACACACACACAAUUCACACAUACACCGUCAUGAUAAACCACACUGCAUACGCUUACACACUCACACAUUCCCACAUACAAUCCAUGUGUAUUACUUUGCACACAAAAUCUUUAUCACACAUACACUAUGAUGAAAAACCAUUUUGCAGAUUUGACAUCCAUUAUAGCACAAAUUAGGGUUAUGUUCGUAUCUCUUCAAUACUAAUGUAUACAUUUCCACUUUAGCACAAUUUUGAAAUCCAUUCUAGCACGUUACAAAAACUAUUAUCAACAUUUGUGUAUUAAGAGAUAAACUAUAUUCUUAAUCUGGUAUCAAAAUGGUGUUAAUUUGGGUAAAAACAUUUGUGUAUCCUAUAGUUUUUUAGCAAAAAUUUACUAUCCAUUCAUUUGAGUAUUUGCAUUAUCUACAGGAAACACAGUACCUAACCAAUUUCAUCAUCAAAUUCAGCAAUGUAUACAUUUCCCUGGUGAUUUUAGUUUACACUAUUCUUAAUAUAACAUGGUUCUUUCUUUUUAAAGUACUUUGUAUUAAUUCUUUUGUGAACAAUUACUCAAUAGCAUCUGUCAAUACUUCAAACAAAGAAGGAAUCACUCGAUUUACCCUUCUAGAUUGCAUUUCAAGUUAUACACUAUACCUGAAUGAAUUUUCUAGAUUGCAUUUUCUAUAUGAAUUCUGUAUUUAGGUGGUAAACUGUUGGAUAUAACCAAGGUCCUAAUUCCUAAUCACCUUAAUUGAUCAAAGUGGCCAAGAAAAUCUUCUUGCAGUUUGUCUUUGAAAAAAUCCUACUUAGAGUAAAAAUGAACAGUAGUAAGUUAUAGCGAACCAGUAAAUUGAAAUCGACAUACAAAAAAACAAUUUGAUCACUGCACAUAUAACUCCAUAAAUUACUUACCACAUCAACCUUGAGAGGUCCAACAUAUCUAAAAGCCGCAAAAACGUUUCCACUCUAAUCACCUAAAAACACUGAAAAGCAGAGGAGAACAUAUAAAUUUCCUAUGGGUUAGCUUGAGUUGUUUCCAUAAGGUUUGGUGCUAUCCUAGCACAACAGAUUGCAUUUCAAGUUAUACACCAUACCUGAAUGAAUUUUCUAGAUUGCAUUUCCUAUAUGAAUUCUGUAUUUAGGCAGUAAACUGUUGGAUAUAACCAAGGUCCUAAUUCCUAAUCACUUUAAUUGAUCAAAGUGGCCAAGCAAAUCUUCUUGCAGUUUGUCUUUGAAAAAAUCCUACUUGGAGUAAAAAUAAAUAGUAGUAAGUUAUAGCAUAACCAGUAAAUUGAAUUUGACCUACAAAAAAACAAUUUGACCACUGCACAUAUAACUCCAUAAAUUACUUACCACAUCAACCUUGAGAGGUCCAACAUGUCUAAAAGUCGCAAAAACUUUUCCAUGUUCAGCUCUAAUCACCUACAAACACUGAAAAGCAGAGGAAAACAUAUAAAUUCAUUAAAAUUCUCUACCCACGGAUAAGUUAAAAAUCAAAAGCAUUGACCAUUCCAAGGAAAAGAGCAGCCAUUAUUAGAUCACCCAAUACAUUAAAAAUGCAUUUGAUAAGGUAGUAUUUAAUUUCGAUAGUGUAGCUAACUGUUCACAUCUUUUUAUCCAUGCUGAAUAAUCUUCUAAUCCAUGCUGAAGAAUCUUCUACUAUUUCAGGACUCAGAAGAAAGGAUUGCAGACAAGAAUACGUUGGAGAAGACAUGGAAGAGAUGGAGUUACCACUGUUCGAUUUGACCACCAUAGCUAAAGCCACUAACAACUUUUCAAGCUGCAACAAGUUGGGAGAAGGUGGCUUUGGACCUGUGUACAAGGUAACAUGAAUUCAUGCAACGAAAAUUAGCUAUAUUGCUAUAAAAAAAAUUUAAGCCUUUUUGAAAUGAUGGUCCACAGGGUACACUGAUAGGAGGAAAAGAAAUUGCAGUAAAGAGGCUUUCAAAGAAUUCCGGACAAGGAACGAGAGAGUUCAAAACUGAAGUUAUACUCAUAGCCAGACUUCAGCAUCGUAAUCUUGUUAAGCUUCUUGGUUGUUGCAUUCAAAAAGACGAAAAAAUUCUAAUAUAUGAAUUCAUGCCCAACAAAAGCUUGGACUUCUAUAUUUUUGGUAUGAUCUUCAUUUUCAACCUUAUUAUACUAGGAUUCAAUGUGGCAUCGAAAUAACAGGCUUAAAGUUUCUUCAGAUCAGGAGGGACAAAAAUUGCUUGAUUGGCCUAAGUGCUUCCACAUUAUCGGUGGAGUUGCCCGAGGGCUUCUUUAUCUUCACCAAGACUCUAGAUUAAGGAUUAUACAUCGAGAUCUGAAACCUAGCAAUAUUCUACUAGAUGAUAAUAUGAACCCGAAGAUUUCAGACUUCGGCCUGGCUAAAACAUUCGGCGGUGAACAAAGUCAUGCCAACACAAACAGAGUGGUUGGAACCUAGUAAGCAUGCUUAGACUUGUUCUGUGGUUAUAAUUUUCAUUGUUCUACUUUUGAAAUUCUUUCUCACUAGUCGCUACAUAUUGAUCUGGCAGUGGUUAUAUGUCUCCGGAAUAUGCAGCAGAUGGAAUUUUUUCGAUGAAAUCUGAUGUGUUUAGCUUUGGAGUCAUACUGCUCGAGAUGUUGAGUAGGAAGAAGAACAGGGGAUUUCUUCAUCCAGAUCAUGACCACAACCUUCUUGGACAUGUAAGUUUAACCAACGAGGUGAUGAUAUUUUACUUUAAAAAGAAUAGUGAAUUAGACGGUGCUCUUCGAAGCACGUCUUCUAAUGACAUGCAUUUGACAGUAUAGAAGGUCCGCAACAAAGCCCCUUUUACAUAUUAGCCCACUAACAUAUCAUACAUGUUUCAAUUUGUUUUAAGGCAUGGAUACGAUGGAUUCAAGAUAAACCACUAGAACUCAUCCAUAAGACAUUUUGUGAUUCGUGCAACAUAUCUGAAGUGGUAAGGUGUCUUCAUGUGGGGCUGCUAUGUGUGCAAAGAGUACCUGAGGAUAGACCAAGCAUGUCAUCUGUGGUUCUGAUGUUGAGCAGUGAUGUUGCCUUGCCGCCUCCAAAGCAGCCCGGUUUUUACACUGAAAAAAGCGUCCCUGAAUCAUCAUCAAGGACGCUUCUUUGUUCAAAGAAUACUUUUAGCACUACGUUGAUAGAACCUCGGUAGAUCAUCAUUGCAGUGCUUGUGAGUCCUUUAAUCUACCAUCACAAAACGUGUUUGGAAGGUUGACAUGAAGCUUUUAAUCUUAGCUGGCAAACAAUGAGACGUGUGAUUAUAACUCUGCAAGAAACAUAUUUAUGAUUACAACUUUAGGAGUUCCAGAAGCAAAACAAAGAAACAAUUUGGGGUUGUUAGGUUGAAGAAAAUUAAGUUAUAGCUAAAGUUGUGUUUAUUAUUUAUGUACUUUAUUUUAUUAUUUCAUAAGAAUAUAAAAAUUUCAUUGAGAAGUAGAUCACGCAUAAGUACACGGGAAGUUGGAGACGAGCCUUCCUCCAACAACACUAUAAACUCCUCGAAAGGAAUUGCCAUAUUUGGCUAAGAUCACAAAAUGUAAAGCUUUAUGGGUCGCGGUCCAUGCACUUAGGUCUAGUUCGGGUAUUUGACCGAACCAAGCAGGCGAUUUGUAAAUCGCUGGAAUUCACACUCAAGUCUGGUUCGAGACGUUUGAUGGUUAGAUUGAUCAAAAGAUGUAAUUUGUGAAACAAAAGUGAGUAAUUGCUUCAUGAUACUGGGGAGAGAGGUGUUUGUCAUUUAAGCUUCUUUGGCAAUCCUCUAUUGGUAGAAAAAAUUCAGUACAGGCAUUUGGACCACGUGGCCGUCUUCCUACAAACACAAAUAAGUGAAGCAGUUGUACCGAAGUUUCUCUCCAUCCGAGAAGUGGUUAAGUUUAUCGGCUAGCUUUCAGCUUAGUUUAUCCUUGAGACCAACUUUUCAAACCAUGGGACCCAAAGUCUAACCAAAAAAAAAAAAAGUAAAGGAAAAAGACCCUUGAAAGAGAGUUAAUAUUCUUCUUCUAACUCCUGUGCAGAAAUGAUGUACAAUUUCACUUGAUUUUCUAGUAACUUAUUAUUUAAGUGACUUGAUAUUCAACUAAUCUUGCGACCUCAAUAUAGCUAGAAUAAUAGAGUCUUAAGUUUGAUUGACCGUAAUCACCAUUUAGUAAGACUUAUUAUGGUGGGACAUGAAAUAUAUAAUUGUGGUAAUGAGUAUUUCUCAUAUGAUAAUAGGGUUGAUUGAGAGAUAUCCUAGCAACUAUAUAAAGAUUGUCUCUGCUUUUACAAUAAUCAUUCUUUUAUGUACUAAAGAACAUAUAGUUUGGAGAGAGUAGAAGACAUUCUUAUACAUGCGCCGAUUCCUUAAGUUAAUUGUAAUUCGUUUAUUGAAUUAUUGGUUUAUUAAAUCUGUGAUCCUAAUGUCUUUGUUAUUGUGAUUUAGAAUAUGUCUUACAAAAUCUUCAAUUAACACACAGUAUUUUUUUCAAUUAUUUUUAAGGCAUGGACACUAUGGAUUCAGGAUAAAUAGCUUGAACUGAUCGAUAAGACGCUUUCUGAUUCGUGCAAACAUAUAGCUGUAAGGUGUCUGCAUGUGGGGCUGUUAUGUGUGCAAAGAGUACAUGAGGAUAGACCGAGCAUGUCAUUUGUAGUCCUACACUGAACAAAGUGUCCUCGAAUCACAAUCAAGGAUACAAUUAACAAGAAAAUGUUUGAAUUGUGAAUAAUGUAAGAUAAAAUAUAUAAUGGAGAAGGAAAGUAAUGGAGAAGGAAAGUAGUUCAUGCUUAAACAACAAGUAUAGGAGGUUGGAGAAGCAAGACGAACAUUUAGACUAUCUCCAACCCUGACCUAAAAGUUAAAAUUUACCAUUUUUCCCCCCUCAAAUCCACUCCAACCCAUGACUUAAAAUAAACCUAAAACCUAAAACCCAAAUGAAUGUCAAAUUCCGGCCCAAUUUUAGGCCACAAAGUAAAAUGGGCUCCACCAACUGAGAGUGAAACCAGGGCUGUGUUGCCCACUUCCCAUCCUCCACCCGCCAACGCGCCACACGCGCCUGGCAUAUUGUUGAAAGCAGACAGCCCUAUGUGGGGGUGUUCCCUGCUGUUAGAAAACAAAAGCAGCCCAACGGCUACUUUUGGUGAUCCAAUGGUUGUGUUUAAAUGGGCUGUUGGUUAAUCCAACGGCCCAGGUUCAAAUUAUUAUUUUUUUUGUUUUAUAUUUAUAUAUUUAUUGAAUCCAACGGUUUAAAUCGAAUAUAAUAAAUCUAACGGUAAAAAAAAAGAUCUAACGGUCCAAAUUUAAAUCCAACGGUUAAAAUAAUUUUUAAAAAUUAUUUAACUUAAAAUUCAACCAAAAACUCUAUAAAUACCUAUGUAUUUGUUCAAACAUCCACACAAAACUCACUUUUCUCCUACAAUUCUUCCAAUUUUUCUUUCUACCAUUUCUUCUCAUUUCCAAAAUUUUCAAGAUGGCAAAAGAGCAUGUUAGAGGUCGUAAUUGGACCUUUGACGAAGAUAUUGCUUUAUGUUUGGCAUGGAUUUCUGUUAGUGAAGAUGGUGCCGUCGGCACCAAUCAAAAUAUAAAGGAUUUGUGGGGUAAAAUCGUUGAUAAGUUCCAUGAAAACUCCAACGCCGGUCGAAGGGAAGCUGGUGGUGUUUAUGAUCGGUGCAAGAUUAUCAACAAAGCGUGCACUUUGUGGAAGGGAAGCUUGGAGAGAGCCAUGGUUGACAUGCCUAGUGGAAGGGGCGUCUCAGAAAUUGUGAGUUUCUUUGUUGAUAUUUUUGUUGUCAUGUACAUAAUAGUAUUUUGCAACUAAUUGUUUUUAUGUAUUUGUUGCAUAGGGUGACAAAGCAAUGGCAAUUUACAAGACAAGAACUACACCAAAAAAUCAAGCUUUUAAGUUGCAUCAUGCUUGGAACAUCCUCAAGAUUGUCCGAGGUGAGGAAUCAAUGCGAAUCAACAAUGUGGAAGAUUAUUUCAUAAUGAAGCCCCACCUCCAAAUGAUGUCAAUGAAGGUGUGAAUUUUGCCGACAAUGAAGGUGUCAACCAAAUGAGCCCAACUUCUUCUUUGCCAAGGCCCUCAGGUAGAGAUAAGCAAAAGGAAGCAAAGAGAAAAGGGAAGUCCCAAGAUCCGAUACGUGAACAAUUUGCUAGCGAAAUGGCAAGAAUGAACGAAAACCAGUGUCGUUGGCAGGAAGAAUCGGCCCAAAUGUUUUUGGCCAUGAAGCAAGAAGGGGAUAGGGAGCAAGAAAGAUACGAAACUAAUUUGAUAAUGGCGGACCUCGACAAAUACACUCUAGAGAGGAAGAGAUACUUACAUGGUAAGCAAAAAGAAAUUUUACGAAGGAAUGCCACAAGGAGUAUAUUUCAAGAUGAUAAUUCAUCGCAAGACUAUCACCCAAGUCCACCACCAAGUCAAGAUGAUGGAUAUCAUUAUUAGGUUUAUGUAGUCUAUGAGUUUUCGAUUGUAUUAAGUUUAUGUGGUUUAUUAAUUGUCUUUUUUUUUUAAGUUUAUGUGGUUUAUCAUGAUUUUCAUGUAUUGAUUUAGUGAUUUUUCAAAAUUUAUCGGAAUUUAAAUAUUUUUAGGUUAAAAUGUUCAUAAAAUUAAUUUAGGAUAGUCUACAUAAUUUUUUUUUUUAAAAGUUAAUUUAAAAAAAAUAGCCUUAAUUCAUUUUUUGAUAAUCUGGGGCUCAAAUUUUAGGCUAAAAGGGUUGGAGUAGAAAAGCUGUUUCUGGGCUAAAACCUAAAUUUUCUGGGCUAAAUAUUUUUAGGUUUUAAGUCAGGGUUGGAGAUGGUCUUAUACAACAACAAUGAAAUAUGGAGGUUCUCCAAACCAAAAAGCGCAACUGUCAUUUUGUAGCUGUCUCAAGUAGCUGUCUCUUGUUUUUGCGGUGCGGGGAAAAAAUUGCUUGGCUCUAUAGUCCCCAUUAUUCGUAUGAGUGUCUUGAAAAAAAGGAUGUAUCGGUGGAUAUAUGGGUGAUCACUGCCUUGAAUCAUGACAGAUCUUAAUGCGUUGAUAGAUGGCUGCCUUCGUAAUUGUUUCCUUGAUUAUUUUGAGGCAUUUAUUUACAGAUGUUUUCAUUUCUUAUUUUUCUAUUCAUGGUUGCCCGUGUUCUUGUUGUUGAAUGGUGGCCAAGUGGCCAUUACCUUUUGGCUAUUAAACAAAUAAAAAAAAAGUGAAAGAAAAAAUGAUGAGGGAACAUCAUGAUUAUGUUUAUUGAAAAGAAAAAAUGAAUAUCAUGAUGAUGUUUUUGAAUUUUUUAUUGGGUGCUUUUGUAUUGAUGCAGUUAUCAUCCGAAUGUGAGAGAGGUACUGAAGGGUGCACCGUUUCUGUUUUAGUAGCCCAUCUUUGAGAGAGUAAAGAGAGCUGCAGAGAGCAGAAAAGAAGAAGAAGGUGCUCUUCUUUUUUGUUAGUAAUCACCCACCAAAGUAGUUGUUGUUGUAAUAGCUUUGAGCUUUGUAUAGAGAAGAAAUUAAUCACUAUAUUUCUUUCUCUAUUUGUUUCUUUGGUGUGUGAAAGCUAUUGGUUGUAUUGGGUUAUUUGGGUUGUGAGAUUGCCAACACUUUGUAAACUUCCAUUUGGUUGAUAGUGGAUUAUUGGGUGAGCUCCUACUGCUCCGAGGACGUACUCCAGUUACACUGACUGUUGAGGAACCUCGUUAAAAUCUUGGUGUCUUUUAUAUUUUGUUCUUGCAUUUUCAUUUGAUAAAUUUCCUGUGGGUAAGCUUGAGUUGGUUCCAUAAGAUUUGGUGCUAUCCUAGCACAACAAUUGGUAUCAGAGCACUGGUUGCUCUUGGGUACUGUCUAGUUGCCAAAGAUGUCAGACGGGCAAGAUGAGAAUCCUUUUGGAAGCAGCUCCGGGUUUGCAAGAACUACGGUGCAAAAUGCAAAGUUCGAAGUGGAAAAGUUUGAUGGCACAAACAACUUCGGGAUGUGGCAAUGUGAGGUCAAAGAUGUGUUGGCUCAACAAGAUCUACUUGCCACUUUGGGAGAGAAGCCGGAAGCUAUGUCGAAGCCGGAAUGAGAGAAAUUAAAUUUGUAGGCUUGCUCUUCAAUUCGGUUGUGCCUUGCAAAAACUCAGAAGUAUUUUGUGAUGCGGGAGACAUUAGCAAGUGUGUUGUGGCAAAAAUUAGAAGACAAAUAUAUGAUGAAGAGUGCAAAGAACCGGCUACACUCGAAGAAAAAGCUCUACCGCUUCCAAUACAAAGAAGGUACAAAAAUGAUUGGACACCUUGAUUCUUUUAAUAAGUUGAUUGUCGACUUGUUAAAUUUAGAUGAGGAUAUUAAGGAUGAAGAUAAGGCCUUAAUAUUGUUGAAUUCCUUGCCGGACUCUUAUGAGCAUUUUGUUACCACUAUUAUGCAUGGAAAGAAACUGUGAAAUUUGAAGAUGUGUCAAAUGCCUGGAUGAAUUAUGAAAUGAGGCAUAGAGAUAAAAAUCAUUAUAGUACCUCUGAAGCUUUAUUUGUUAGAGGUAGAUCAUCGGAGAGGGGGUCCUCUACUAGUAGGAAAAAAUCACACUCUCGACCUAGAGGAAACUCUAAAGGUAGAAAAACCUUGGAAAUGGAUGAAUGUGCCUUUUGUCAUAAUAAGGGCCAUUGGAAGAAAGAUUCUCCUAAGUUGAAGACCAAAGGAAAAGAAAGUUCUGAAGCCAAUGUUGCUGAGGUUGAAACAGAUCUUUUUUAUUUUUCUUUAACCACUUCCUCAUCAUUUGAUUGUGCUACUAAAUGGGUGUUGGAUACGGGUUGUACUCAUCAUAUGACUCCUUACAAGGAUUGGUUUUCAAGCUUGAAAGAGUUUGAUGGUAGUGUUGUGUUCAUGAGAGUUGACAAUCCUUGUACAACAAAAGGGAUUGGUACAGUUCAUUUGAAGUUGCAUGAUGGCAUGACUAAAGAGUUGACAGGUGUUCGGUAUGUACCGAAUUUGAAAAAAAAUCUUAUUUCUUUGGGCACUUUAGAAUCCAAGGGCUUCAGGUUUCAUUCAGAUGGGCAGACAUUGAAAGUUACUUAUGGUGCACUUGUUGUGAUGAAAGCUCAUCGAUAUGUUCAUUUGUAUUUAUUGCAGGGAAGCACUGUGACAGGUGAAGCAUCUGCAAUCUCAGAAAAUAUGGGCACAUCUGGUUCUGAUACUACUAGACUGUGGCAUAUGAGAUUAAGCCAUACCGGUGAGAAAUCUCUACAAGGGCUUGUGAAACAAGGUCUUCUAAAAUGUGCCACAACUUGUAAGCUUGAUUUCUGCGAGCAUUGUGUCUUGGGGAAGUAAACUAGAGUGAAGUUUGGUACUGUUGUACAUCAGACGAAGGGCAUUCUUGAUUAUGUGCAUUCGAAUGUUUGGGGUCCUACAAAGACUCCCUCUUUGAGUGGUAGGCAUUAGUUCGUGACCUUUGUUGAUGAUUAUUCAAGAAGGUCUUGGGUCUACACUAUGAAGCACAAGAGUGAGGUAUUAAGCAUUUUCUUGGGUUGGAAGAAAAUGGUUGAGAACCAGACUGGGAGAAAGAUUAAGAUUUUGAGAUCGGAUAAUGGUGGUGAAUACACAUCCGACCCUUUCUUUAAAGUUUGCAAAGAGGAAGGGAUUGUGAGACAUUUUAGUGUCCGGGGAACUCCACAACAAAAUGGAGUUGCAGAAAGAUUGAAUCGAACCUUGCUUGAGAAGGUUAGAUGUAUGUUGUCUCAGUCGGGUUUAAGCAAGUCAUUUUGGGCAAAGGUAGUUAAUUAUGCAUGUCACAUCAUGAACCAGUUACCCUCAGCUGCUGUUCAGGGUAAGAUACCAAUGAAGGUAUGGACUGGAAAACCUUCUUCUGAUUAUGACUAUAUCCGUAUUUUUGGUUCACCUGCUUAUUUUCAUGUGACUGAAAAUAAACUUUAUCUUAUAGCCAAAAAGGCUAUCUUUCUUGGUUUUAGUAGUGGUGUCAAAGGUUACAGGUUGUGGUACCCAGAGAUGAAAAAACUUGUAAUUAGCAGAGAUGUGAUAUUUGAUGAAGAAAGUAUGUACAAAGACUCUGAGAAGAAUGUGAAAGAUGUCCAACAGGUGGAGCUUGAGAAAGUUACCUCUGGUACUUCAAAUGCUAUUUCCGCUGAUGCCGAAGCCACUACAAGUGAAGAAGUUGGAGACCAUGAAGAUGUUGAAGAAGUUGAACUUGAAGAUUCUAUUCAAGUUGAAGAGCAAGUUUCACCUCAAGAGUCUAUUGCAAAGAACAGAGGAAAAAAGACAAAUUACCAAGCUAGCUCGGUAUAGUGACUAUGUUGCUUUUGCUCUUCCUAUUAUCAUUGAUGAUAUUCCAUCCAAUUUCGAGGAAGCCAUUGAGAGUGAGGAGAAGAAGAGGUGGUGCAAUGCCAUGGGUGAUGAGACGAAUUCUCUCUUGAAGAACAAGACUUCAGAGUUAGAUAAAUUGCCUAAAGGCAAGAAAGCUAUCGGUUGCAAAUGGGUGUAUGCCAAGAAGGAAGAUGCUGAUGAGAAAAGCAAUGUGAGAUUUAAAGCAAGAUUAGUUGCUCAAGGGUAUGCACAAAAGGAGGGCAUUGACUAUAAUGAAAUCUUUUCUCCAGUUGCGAAGCACUCCUCAAUUCGCAUUAUGUUAGCUCUUGUUGCACAGUAUGAUCUUGAGCUUGUGCAACUUGAUGUGAAGACGGCUUUCCUACAUGGUGAUUUGAAUGAAGAGAUCUAUAUGUGUCAACCGGAUGGGUAUACAGUGAAAGGGAAGGGGAAUUUGUUUUGCAAAUUGAAGAAAUCACUUUAUGGCUUGAAGCAAUCUCCAAGGCAAUGGUAUUUGAGGUUUGAUAAAUUUAUGAGAGGCCAAAAUUAUUCUAGAAGUCAAUAUGAUCAUUGUGUGUACUUCAAGAAGUUGCAAGAUGGGUCUUUCAUUUAUUUGUUGAUAUAUGUUGAUGAUAUGUUGAUUGCCUCAAAGAAUGUCGAAGAGAUUGAGAAAUUGAAGAAGCAAAUGAAGAAUGAGUUUGAGAUGAAGGAUCUUGGUGAAGCGAAAAAGAUCCUUGGCAUGGAGAUCACUAGAGAUAGAGAGAAGGGUUUGGUCAAUUUGAAUCAAAGACAAUACCUUGAGAAGUUGAUUCGGAAGUUUGGAGUUCAUGAUUCAACCAAACCGGUUAGUACCCUUUUGGCUCCUCAUUUUAAAUUGAGUUCUCUACAAUGUCCUAAAACUGAUAAAGAGAAGCUGCAAAUAAAAAAUAUACCAUAUGCAAAUUUGGUUGGUAGUUUGAUGUAUGCAAUUGUAUGCUCUAGACCGGAUAUUGCUAGUGCAGUUGGCAUGGUGAGUCGAUAUAUGCAUAAUCCAGGUAAAGAGUAUUGGCAAGCAACUAAGUGGAUAUUGAGGUAUCUCCAUGGUACUCGAGACGUUGGUUUAUGCUUUGAGAGAGAUGACUCUGGUAUUGGUCAUUUUGCAGUUGGUUAUGAUGAUUCAGAUUAUGCAGGUGAUCUAGAUGGAAGGAAGUCUACUACAGGCUAUGUGUUUACUAUGGCUAAAGGGCCAGUUUGUUGGAGGUCCAUUUUGCAGUCGUCUGUUGUCUUGUCUACUACAGAGGCUGAAUAUAUGGCAGUUGCUAAAGCUAUAAAUGAGGCCAUUUGGAUACAUGGGCUGAUUAGAGAUUUGGGGGUUAAUCAGAAGCAGGUAGAGGUACAUUGUGAUAGUCAGAGUGCCAUUUAUUUGGCUAAGUAUCAGGUUCAUCAUGCGAGGACCAAGCACAUAGAUGUGCGUUAUCACUUUGUUCGUGAAAUUGUUGGUGAAGAGGAAAUCAUUCUCCAGAAGAUUCCAACUAAAGACAACCCCGCUGAUAUGUUGACUAAGGUUAUUGGUGUAGCCAAGUUUGUUCACUGUUUGAACUUGGCUCACAUUAUGCCUAUAUAAAGAAGGCGUUGAGCAGUAGGAGUUUUGGAGCAUUUAGCUCGGCAUGAGUUGUUCUCUUGCUAGUGUUUGGGAGUGAUUUUUUGGGUCAAUUGUGUUGGUUGGCUUAUCAUGGCGUUUUCGGAACUUGGCCAAGGUGGAGAUUGUUGAAUGGUGGCCAACUGGCCAUUACCUUUUGGCUAUUAAACAAAUAAAAAGAAAAAAAAAGGUGAAAGAAAAAAUGAUGAGGGAACAUCAUGAUGAGGAGUCAUCAUGAUUAUGUUUGUUGAAAAGAAAAAAUGAAGGUCAUGAUGAUGUUUUUGAAUUUUUUAUUGGGUGCUUUUGUAUUGAUGAAGUUAUCAUCCGAAUGUGAGAGAGGUAGUGAAGGGUGCACCAUUUUCUGUUUUAGUAGCCCAUCUUUGAGAGAGCAAAGAGAGCUGCAGAGAGUAGAAAACUGAGAGCAGAAAAGAAGAAGAAGGUGCUCUUCUUUUUUGUUAGUAAUCACCCACCAAGGUAGUUGUUGUUGUAAUAGCUUUGAGCUUUGUAUAGAGAAGAAAUUAAUCACUAUAUUUCUUUUUCUAUUUGUUUCUUUGGUAUGUGAAAACUAUUGGUUGUAUUGGUUUAUUUGGGUUGUGAGAUUGCCAACACUUUGUAAACUUCAAUUUGGUUGAUAGUGGAUUAUUGGGUGAGCUCCUACUGCUCCGAGGACGUACUCCAGUUACACUGACUGUUGAGGAACCUCGUUAAAAUCUUGGUGUCUUUUAUAUUUUGUUCUUGCAUUUUCAUUUGAUAAAUUUCCUAUAGGUUAGCUUGAGUUGGUUCCAUAAGAUUUGGUGCUAUCCUAGCACAACACUUGUUGCCUCUGUUCGUGUUGCUUUUUCUAUUUUGAUCCCUUGGUUCAUGGUUGCCUUUGGUUACUUGAAAUUGUGCUGCCUCAAAAUGUUUGGGUUCAUGUAAUGGUUUGCUCGGUUUAAAUGUUUUAGUUAUUUAUAAUUUCAAUUUAACCUAGUAUCCUGCACAUAGAAAAUAUGAUAAGCUUCUCAUAUAUAAUCUCAUGAUAAUGGAGAAGCUAUAUAUACAACCUCUGAGAAAUAAGCACGGCCAUGUUCACUUGUGUCGACGUCUGUGGGGGGUUUCUGUGUAAAAUAAAAUAGAAUAAAGUGAUCUAUGUGGGAGAUGAAAGUUCAGGAUUCAGAAGAACAAUUAAGCAUUUUCUGGAAGAGGCAAAGAGAUAUCUUUUAAGGUACCUUCCUUUUCUCUAUUUUCUCAUUCAUUCAAACACAGCCCACCCGUGGUUUGAGUUACAGCUUUAUCUGAGUUCAAUUUUCGAGUUUAAUUUUAAUCGGUUUCCAUGGUUGAUCUAAUAUUUUAAUUACUUUGAUUUGGUUCCUUUUGAGGGUUUUUGUUUCUCUGAAUCUGACUUUUUGGUUGAUGUGUCUUGAUCAGACCUCCAUCCUAAUAUUUCAAUUUUUCCUCAUAGAUUUUGAGCUAGCGUUGCUGAUACUAGGCUCCAUUCAUCUGUUAUCUGCUGCCUUAGACAAACAAAUUCAGUGGGCUGGUAAAUUCAUUGUCCAUUUCCUUUUGAAACUUGUGGAUUGGACAAACAAAUUCAGUAAAGGUCGUACCCAGUGCACAAAGCUCCCGCUUUUCAGUGGCAAAAUAAUAUAUUAUCUUUUGGUUUAGGACUCAAAACUGAAUUAUAUGCUCUUUUGGGAGGAACGUUUGCCAAUCUACUCGGCUGCGUGAAAUGUUUAAUAUUAGUAGCAAAAUGCACUUUUUGAAAGCAAGGAAUUAAUUCAGUAAAACUACAUUAAUGUAGAUAGAUGCCCUUUUGGAGGAACAUAUGCCCAUCGGACAUCUAUGUGAGAAUGUAUAUCAUAAAUAGCAUGACACGCCCCGACCCUGAUAUUCCCUGAAUACCAGGAUGGACACAUGUUGGCCGACACCCGAGAGUGACGAAAACCAUUAAUUGAUACAAAAGCUAAGAAUAAGAAAUAAAUAAGGGUUAGAAAUUUAGAAUACAAUGAAUUAAAAAUUUUAGGAACGUGCUCAGAAUAUACAACUAAACCUAAUCACUAAGAAGAAUUAAGAUGAAAUUGAAUGAAUAAAGAAGUGGGUCCUACAUCGAGAGGAUUCAAAGAUGCUGCUGCAGAAGUGUCUUGUCGCCGGGAUUAGGUGCCUUGAUCCUAAGUCCUGAAUGGGAGCGUAAAACAAAGGUGAGUGGACCAAGUUCAUAUAUACAAUAAUAAUAAAACAGUUAUCAAGAUAAUAAUCCCCACAGUUAUAUAAUGAAAACUACUAGCAUAAAAAGUGAUAGGUUUUUCUGAAACUCUAGCAUGCCAUAAAACAUCUCAAGAGGUAUAACGCAGAAAAACAUCAUAUAAAUCAUCGCGUAAAUCAUCUCGUAGAUCGUCUCGUAAGCGCGGUGUGCUGCUAGUAAGAUCACUGAAUAAAUAUCACUCCCAGCCCAAUGCCUGCUCUGUGGUCUCUGCGCUCGUAGCCAGAGAUUACCAACUCCCGGCCCAAUGCCUCUUCAUGUCCCUCAACCCGUAGCUAGGGAUUAUUUCUCCCAGCCUCAAUGCCAACACCAGAUUCUCGCCCCAGGCGGCAUAGUGUCCAUUAGGUACGCACAAAUAGUUACACCUCUCAUAAAUAACCACUUCAUAGUAUAAAUGUCGUCCAUCGUCUAUACUAUAAAGAGGGGUUUCAAAAACAUGUUCUAGCAUCCUAUCGUCAUCUAUCAAAUAGUCUACCAGUUUAUGGUUUUCAUAGAAAAUCCGAUAUAUCAAAAUAUAGCUCAAUAUAGGCCAACAAUUGAUUCCUCACCAAAAACACGAGACGAAAAUCAAUAUAUUUAAUAAACAGGCUUCACAUAAAUCAAAUCAUAAACUCGUAAGCAUGCUAAUCAUUUAUGCAAUUAAACUAUAAAAUCAUGUAAUUUUAGAAGGGAUCCACUCACAAGUACUCCUUAGCAGUAGAGUUGUGCAGAUAAGGAUUAAGAAUUUCUUCACUAGCAACUUCACCUAAACACAAAAAUGUAAUAAAUGAAUAAAAGGGUUUCCAAAGGAUUUGGGCUUGAAUUAAAAUAAAUAAAGGAUUUAGGUUGAAUGGGUUAAGGUCUAAUGGGUUUUUAGAAUCCUAAGGUUGUAAGGUUAAAAGGGUUUAGGGAAAAGAAGAGUGGUUUGGGCUUAAACCCAAACCCACACUCACACAUACGCCAGCCCACAUACACACACCUGCACAGCACAUACAUACACACCCACACGUACACAACACACGCACACACACCACACAAACAUACACACAUGCACAACAUGCAUAUGCAUGCACGGCAUGCACACACACUCAUGGUACACACACACACACACACACACACAACACACACACGCACUACAUAACACACACACCACACAACCCACACACACACAUACAUGGGCCAUGCAGGACACGGCCCAAUCACACACACACUCCACACAAACACGGCCCGCAGGCCAAUUAAUCAAAAAGGGAGAUGGGCUAGUUCCAGUAAGGGCUAAGACCCGAGGUUAAUUGAGAAGGCCGGGUGGCUUGGUGGCUUUGGGUGCAGAUCGGGGAAGAACACCGGAGCUGUAUAGCUCCGGUCGACGGCAAACGAUUACACCACUACUCAAACCAAGUACUAAAAUGAAGAGGGAAGAAAGUAUCGUAUAUUUCAUACCCUAGCUUCGCCGUGUACGGCCGUGAGAGCUCGGAAAGAAUCCUCGAAAGUCACGGGUUCGCCGGACAAUAUGGGUGAGUUUCCCCCGUGCCGUUCCCGUCCUCAAACCUUGGAAGAACAACAUGGUUUUCAUCAUACAACGUCCAGAAACCAACAUGGUAAAUUAAAAAGGUAAUUGAACUUACCUAGUCGGAAGAAAUGGAGAAAUCCGUCGGAGGUCCCUUCUCUGAGUUCCUCGACCUCACUGCGACGGAGAGGGAGAGACACGGUGCAAGGGACAUGAUGAUGAAGAUGGUCUAAAUAGAGUUGCAUGCAGGAUGCUUGGCAGGUCACGAUGCAGAGAGUGAAGGAUAGGGUUUUGAGAGACUGGAAAGUGUAGAGAAAGAGAGUUAUGGGAGAGGUGAGGGAAAAGAAAGAACUGAGAGAGGAGAGACCGGAAAACACAAAAAUAAAACAAGGUGGGCCCCACGAGCUCACCAAUUAAGGUCUUAAAACAACUUUUAAAUAAAAGUAGGGUUGGGAUGUUUCAUGGAAAAAGCACUUUCAGAAGUUAGUGACGUUUUUUGGAAACCGUAAUGGACUAAGCAUAUUCUUGCUCUUGCUGGAAGUCUUAUUUUUCUAAAUUUAUCGGAUGUAGAGACUUACGGAAGUGAGGACCAAUUCAAGCUAACACAAGGCGUGGUAACAGAUAGUAUAACCAGAUAGUAACAGGCACACGCUCCUAUCGUACCACCGGUGAAUGAAUGUCGGUCAAAUAAUUGCUCGAAGAUGCAUAGAGAACCGUUGUUUAAUGCAAGUACAAGUGGUUGUAUUUGGUUUCUCUAGUACAAGUUUAAAAGAGAAGAAUGUAAAGGUGCACUUAUCUACAUUAUGAACAAGUGUUAUAGGGCUGGGUUCGAUUCAAAACGGUUCGGUUUUUUGUCAAAAUCGAAACCAAAUCAAAAUUUUCAGUUCGGUUUCGAUUUUUUCAUGAAUUUUUUUUUAAUACCUGGAGCUUGAAGCACAUUUCUUUUUUCCGCAUUCGGCUGCAAAUUUACCCUUUCUCUCCACACUCCGCAGAUCCAGAGCCAUCUUAAGCAUAGAUGAAGGUGGUCGCUGCAUACUUGUUGGCUGUGUUGGGCGGCAAGACCACCACAGCUGGUAGAAGUGGUGUUGUUGCAGUUGUUGCAACUGAUUGUGGUGGUGGUGCUGCCGCUGCCUUAAAAGAGGAGAAGCAAAUAAUGAUAUCAGGGGAGAAAAAAAAAAAGGGAAAUAAAUGGGUGAGACUCUCACAACACAAAAAUCAAACAAAUCGGCAAUACGAAACAAAAAAAAACCCAUAAAUUUACACCAAAAUUUCAGAUUCCCUCCAUGGAAUUUACUCUAAAAAAAACCCAUAAAUUGACAAAAUAAAUAAGAGAGAGUGGAGAUCUUACCCUGGAGUGAGAAGAUCGAGAAACAGAGGGAGAAAAUGGAGAAGAAUGGAGAAAUUUGAGGUAUGGACAAGGAGGGAGUCUGGAGGCGCAGGGGACAAGAGAGAGAAGACAAAUAGAAAAGGUAUGGCUGCUACUACUAGUGGCUAGGGUUUUGUUAAUUUCUAAUUCCACAAAAGACUAUAAAUUUAAAUCUUUAUAAAUAGUUUAUUCAUACAAUCAAAACAAAGUAAAACCUAUUGCCAAGUUGGUUUCAGUGAAACUUUUCAACCUGGAGCACAUGGGUUCGAACUCUCCUUCCAAGAUUUUAGAGAUUUUUUUAAUUUUUAUAAUUAAAAUAUUAUAAAAAAAUAAUUAAAUAUAUAUAUCGGUUUGGUUCAAUUUCCGAACCUCAAAAACCGAAACUGAACCAGCCAUAUUCGGUUCGAUUCGGUUUGACAAUUUUCGGUUUCGUUUUUUUCGGCCUAGGUCUGGUUUGGUUCUCUGUUUUUUUCGAUUUUCGAUUUUUUGAACCCACCCCUAAAUUGUUAUUUUGAUAAAGUGCAACAUUGAAUGGAUAACCGUCACGUAUAUUUCAAGUUUACAUCGAGAAAAACAGAAUACAUGAUUUGCCCGUAAGAACAUCUGUUGAAAGAUGGAAAAAUUACACAAAACUACCUCAACUAUUAGGGUCACGACAGUUUCAUACCUCAUCUUUUAAAAUUGAAAAUGUCAUACCUCCGUCAAUUUUUCUGUUAGUUUUUCUGUUAAGUGCUGACGUGGCAAGAGACGAGGACCACUCACUAAUCGAGCUGGAUUAAAAAAUAAUUAAAUAUAUUUUUAAUAAUUAAAUAUUAAAAAAUUAAGAAUAAAAAAACAAAAACAAAAAUUCCUAGGGGUGUGGCACGACAUCCCCUUCCCUUUACCCGCACCAACAAAUUUUUAUGUUCUUCUCUCUCCUCCUUCUUCUUCUUUAUCUUCAUCUUCUUCUUCUCCUGGGCCGAAACUGGAUUUGUCACUUUUUUUUUUUCGUUCUUCUUGGGCCGAAAUUGGGUAUGAAUUUUUUUUUUCUUUUUUGUUUUUUGUUUUUGUUUCUGGGUUGCAAGUAGAGGGAAAAGGGGACAAAGAUGAAGAUGGGGAGGAGACAGAGAGGGUUCUUCUUCUUCUUGGGCCGAAACUGGGUUCGAAAUUUUAUUUUUUUAUUUUUUUGUUUCUGGGUUGCAGGUAGAGGGAAAAGGGGAAGAAGAUGAAGAUAAGGGAGGAGAGAUGAGUGUGUGUUGGGUUGGGGGGGGACAAACUGGGUUGGGUUGGGUUUUUUUUUUUUUUUUUCUUUUCUCCUUCUUCUUCCUCCACAGGAAGGGGUGUUUUAAUUUUUUUUCUUCUUCCUCUUCCUUCUUCCUUCUUCCUUCUUUUUCUGGGUUGCAGUUUGGCUUUUUUUUUUCUCCUCCUCCUCCUCUUCUUCCUCUUCGCUUCCUUCUUCUUCUUCCGCGGGCAGGCCGGGAGGGGGGGGUUGAGUUGAUGGGUUUUCUUCUUCCUCUUCCUCCUUCUUCUUCCUUCUUCUGGGUUUUUUUUUUCUGGGUUGCAGUUUCCAUUUUUUUUUCCUCCUUUUCUUCUUCCUCCUCAUUCUUCCUUCUUCUUCUUCGGUUCUUCCUCCUUCUCCUGGGGGGGGGGGGCGGAGGGGCCGGUGGGGUUGGGGGGUUGGGUUUUCAAAUUUUUUUUUUUUUUGUGUGUUAAAGAUUAAGCAGGGAAGAAGAUGAAGAUGGGAAGAGAGAGAGGGGGGAAGCGAUGACUAAGGUUUUUUUUUAUAACUUUUAUUUAUUAUUUUAAUAUUUAAAAAAUAUUAAAUAUUUUUUUUAGUUUUUAAUAAUAUUUUAUUAAUUUUUUAAUAGAAAGUGGGCUCUGAAUUAAGCCACGUCAGCACUUAACAGAAAAAUUGACGGAGGUAUGACAUUGUCACAAAUUCGUAAGAUGCGGUAUGAUAUUAUCAAUUUUAAAAGAUGAGAUAUGAAACUGUCGUGUCCUCAAUAGUUGAUGUAGUUUUUUGUAAUUUACCCAAUUAUUUUUAUUUCUUUAUGUCAUAGAGUGCAAGCACCAUAAUACAAAAUAGAAAGGUAAAAACAUCACAUAAAUAUAGUACCAUCGAACAUCAUAAAAUAUCCUUUUGAAAACAUGCCACUUUCAAUGCAAUUGCUACACCAUCACCUGUUCUUUUAAAAAAAAUUUAAGAAAAUCUCGAAAGUAUGAGGGGAAUUUUUAUUAAUAUAUAUAUAUAAGGUACACCUAGUCAUGGAGGAUAUAAACUUAACCCCUUAUAAUACAAGAAAAAAGGAUAAAAAAUACAUGAAAACAAGGGGGGACAUAUACCUUACCCUUCUAGAAACAAAGUCAACAAAGAUACAAGAAAUUGCUACCCCAUCACCUUAUCUUUGAUGUCAUCAAAGAAUCGAAAAUAGGCAUACCUCCACGGUGUUUUUAAGACCAAUGUACCGUAAACACCCCAAAAGCCUACGAUAAAGCCAAGUACCACGCUGACAUAGAACCACAACUUAUCAUUUCCAUCUUCAUUCUUGUCCUUUGCAACCUUCAAGUCAUCUCCAGGGCACUGAGUUGAAAGAGGAACGCCACAUAGCAAUGGAUUAUUCAUGUAAAUGGAUAAAUCAUUCAACGUUUGAAGUUGGUUUCCUGAAAGAAUUCUUCCGGACAAGUUGUUGUAAGACAAGUUCAAGUGGCUUAAAAAGUUUAAAGAUGACAAGCUUUGAGGCAUCUGUCCCGAAAGGUGAUUGUGGGAGAGAUCAAGAGUUUCGAUCAAAUGCAUUUUUCCGAUCUUGGAGGGUAUCUUUCUGAUCAAUUGAUUCAUGAACAAGUUCAACGUACCCAAUAAAACAAGGCUACAUAUCUCUUCAGGAAUCUCACCUUCUAACACAUUCGAUGAAAGAUCAAUGCUCUUUACCAAUAUGAGAGUCUUGUUAUACAAAUAUUGACCCCCUUUUAGUGUCCACUAGCAAGAGUGCCCGCACGGUGCUGCGGGUUUUCAAACUAUACAAAACAUGUAGAAAGUUUUAAAUGUAUAUAUGAUAUGCCAUACUAUUUACAUACAUGUGGAAAAUGUACUUACAACACUAUAUACAAUAAGGAACAAUGAGUAGGAUUGGACUUUGUUAAUCUGAUGGGCUUGUUUUCAUUUUGCUUAGGAUAGUUGACUGAAAUUAGGAGAGAAAUAGAAAAAGAAUUUCAUAAAUUGUUUAUGAAGGAAACAAAUUCAGUUCAUAUUAUAUAUAAUAGAUGAUCUAUUACCUAUAAGGAAGAAGAUUCAUAAAAAUGAAAAUCAUAGACCCUAAAACUUCCAACAUGGUGAAAAAUAUAAACAUUGCGAAAUUGGAAUAGAAAUCAAUUCUGAAAAGAAACUGAGAAGAGGGAUUACAUUGAAUGGAAACCGUAAACACUAACUGAAACAAUUCUUAUAGAAUGAGUCAGUCGAAUUUACAACAUAGUGAGGAGUGUAAUCUUGCUGCCAAUUGCUAAACCAAGACUACCGACACCAAAUCAGAACAUUUUAAUCCUUCAAUCAGUUAUAUUGGAUGAUGCUAAGCAUGCAUGGUUAAAUUAGACGAUGACUUGGAACAUCUUCUUAAAGCUUAAAAGUACAUCACUUCAAUUAAGCAUAUGUCGAGACUAUCUCUAAUCCUUGGUUAAACCAUGACUUGGAACAUGUCCUUAAAGUCCCAAAUUUUAGUUGGUAAAACAGCACAAAGAACUUAUAGCUCCAACCAGUAAUCAAACUCUACUGAAAUCAGCUAGGAUAAUAACUGAAAUGAAAAAGAAACAAAAAUAUAGGAAUACCAUAUUAAUUUUCAAAUCUUACCACCAGUCUGCAGGGUGUGCCGAAAGCUUGUGUCUCACCAUGGCUCAGUCCUUGCCUUGUUAGUAACUUUGCCGUCAAAUCUUUCAACUGCAAUGAUCAAUUGAACAUGAUCAGAGAAAAACCACAUAUGGCAAAGCACACAACUUUCAAAAUGCUCAUGGAAUCCACAAUCAAAACUUUUCACUUUGCUUCUAUCUGCAAGAUACCAAAACGAUAUUAACAAUGAAGGGAUCAUAACAAAUCUCAUUAAAGAACACACUGCAUUUAUUACCAAAGUGUUAACCAGGUGAAAGUAUAAAAUAUUACGGAUUUACAGAGUCAAAUUCUACAUUUGUUGAUUAUAAUCAGUGAAAUAAACAGUAAUCUAUACAACAAUAAAUAUAAAAAUAGUUAUUGAAGUUGAUUUCGCAAUUUCUGAAGGUUUAAAGACUGGAGCAUCAGAUAUUUGUUGAAUUUAAAACUUUAUGUGAUCUUAAUCCACUUAUUAAAUACAAAAUACAACAAUGUAAUUACUUUGCUAUCACAUUAUGAAGUACAGUUAAACGCAUUGGCAAGAUAUCAAUCGUAUAGGAAACAAAAUAAAAAAAAGAUUAUGGAAUAAAUCAGUAACUAAAAUCAGUUAGCAUCUGAAUUAACAUCCGAAUUAUCAAACAAUUCCUAAGAAUCAAUUCCAAUGCGAAAACAACGAUUCGGAUAAAGAAGAAAUCCCAGAACGGGCUGCAAUUAAAUUAACUUUUAUGAUGAGGAGAAGACAAACUAAAAAGCAACUUUUCGAUUACAUUCAAAGGAAAAAAAAAAAACAAUUGAAGCAGAACAAAAUUAUCUUGAAAACAAUAAUAAAUUAUUGAAGAUCAUAACAUUAUGCAAUUGCAAACCCAUCAACGUAAAUUGAAUUUACCAGUUCAAGAUAUAAUAAAAAAAAAAUUAGAAACUUCAUAAGCAAGCAAGGCAAUGGACAAAACCCACAAAGGAUCCCAAAACCUCUGGGAAUUCCGAAAUUUUUCGUUUUUUGGCGUACCGAAAUAAAACUAAAAGGCGUGAUCUAAUCAAUUUGAAAAAUAUCUCAAGAAUUCACAUAUCAUUACAAAACAAAAUUCAUCGUUAAGAUUAAGAGCAACCGAAUAACACAAUAACAAAACAGAAAAAAAAAUUAUAAAUACCUUUAUCAAAUCUCUUGGGAUUCAAGUCCAUUGACUUCACCCCCAUACUACGUGGUGCCCCAGAAAUUCUUGUAACUUUAGUAGCCUUGAUCAUGCAUGUGUCAGUACAAAUACAAAAAAAAGAUAAAUGCAAUUUAUUAGACUAAAGAAUUUGGUAUCAAUAAACUUACAGUGAUGCCAAUAAAUAGCGAUUGAAGAUAAUUUUUCGUGUUGCUACAUUGAGAGGGGCACCCAAACCUGAUAUUUAAAAAACAAAAUAUUCAGUACAAUGUAAACAAUUCAAUAUUAUUGAAUGUUUUAUGUAUAUUUCAUGGUUCAAGAUCCAACAUAUAUAGGAUAAGAAACGGGAAGGAGAGUGGAGAUACAAAAGGUGGAGAAUAAUGGCAGCUAAGCAAGCAUCAUUGUGGCCUCCACUCUCACUAACUUAAACUACUAAUUAGCUUUACAAUGAUGAUGAAUAACAACCAGCUAACACUAGCACUAAGCUGAGCUGUUAUCCAUCAAAAACUUAAACAAAGGGUUGCAUUAUUCUUCCAACAUUGAACCCUACUUCCACCUGCAUUAUUUCCACUUGCAUUAUUCUUCCAACAUUGAACCCUACCUUCCAAUACUCCCCCUCAAGCUGGAUCCAGAAGGUUGAUGGAUCCAAGCUUGGAGAGGAGCCUUUGAAACUGAUGAGAAGCCAUAGGUUUGGUGAAUAUAUCAACCAGUUGAUCGGAGCUUUUUACAUAAUGCGUCUGGAUCACCUGCGACUGUACUUGUUCACGGACAUAGUGGCAGUCGACUUCAAUAUGCUUCGUCAUCUCGUGAAAGACAGGGUUUGAUGCUAUGUGCAUGGCAGCCUGGUUGUCACACAAUAAGGUCAUUGAUUGAGCCGUGAACACACCUAAGUCACAUAAAAGUUCUUUUAGCCAUAUCAGCUCACACGCGGUUGAGGCCAUUGCACGAUAUUCAGCUUCGGCACUUGAUCUUGCGAUGACAGUUUGUUUUUUGCUCUUCCACGUGACCAAAUUUCCACCAACAAAGGUACAGUAACCAGUGGUGGACUUGCGAUCGAUGGCGUUUCCUGCCCAAUCUGCAUCGCAGUACCCCAUUAUUUGAGUGUUGUCAUUCUUCGCCAUGAGGAUGCCACGACCAACGGACCCUUUUAAGUAACGUAAGAUCCUUUUUACAAGGUUUAGAUGCUCGAUGGUGGGGGAGUGCAUGAACUGACUGGCGAUACUUACUGAAUAUGAGAUGUCCGGUCUGGUGAUUGUUAGGUAGAUCAGCUUGCUGACAAGCCUCUGAUAGAAGCUUAUAUCCGAGAGUGGCGUGUCUCCCAAGUCAAGUUUGAGCUUGCUAUCGAGAGGGGUAAGUGCAGGCUUAGCCUCACUCAUAUUAGCUUCCUUGAGUAGGUCCAUGAUGUAUUUUCGUUGAUUAAGAAAUAGUCCCUUGUGUGAAGAUGCCAUUUCGAUUCCAAGAAAAUACUUCAACACCCCAAGAUCUUUAACAGCAAAUCUUUGUUGAAGUGACUGUUUGAGUGUGGAGAUUUCUGCAACAUUAUCACCUGUGAUUAUUAAGUCAUCCACGUAUAUCAACACAACUAAUUUUCUCAAAGCUCCCGUGCGAACAAAUAAUGAUGAAUCUGCAUUACUCAUUUUAAAACCAACAUUACGAAGAACGGAACUUAGUUUUGCAUACCAAGCACGAGGCGAUUGCUUCAAUCCAUAAAUCGACUUAUGCAAUUUACACACCAAAUCAGGUUCCUGGCUUUGAGAGUGUCCUGGUGGCAAUCUCAUAUAGACCCCUUCUUCAAGAUCACCAUGUAGAAAGGCAUUCUUCACAUCCAUUUGGUACAUGGACCAAUCCUUAUUGACAGCAACAGACAAUAGAACCUUAACUGAGUUCAUUUUUGCAACAGGAGCAAAUGUUUCUUUGUAAUCCACCUCAAAUGUUUGAGUGAAUCCUCGAGCCACCAACCUGGCUUUAUGCCUCUCAAUUGAACCAUCAGAAUUAAACUUGAUCUUAUAGAUCCAUUUGCAACCCACUGCCCUUUUUCCUUUUGGAAGUUUGGUGAUGCUCCAGGUGUUGUGUUGGUCUAGUGCUUUGAGUUCAUCUCGCAUUGCUUCUUUCCACACAGCUUGGUUAUUAGCCUCAUGAAAGUUUUGAGGCUCACUGUGACUUGAAAUGGUGUUAAGAAAAGCAGCAUGAGAUGGAGUUACCUUUUGAUACGACACGCAAUUGGAGAUUGGAUGCCUAGGUUUAUAUGUGACAAAAUCUUGAAACCUUAUGGGAGGUUGUCUAUCACACCGAGGAUUGCGUCGAGGUACUAGGGGAGUUGUCUCAUCCUCAUUCAAGUUAUCAGCCACACUUUGAAGAUUUCCUUGAUUGCCGUUGUCAUCAUCAUGCACAGAACCAUCAGGAUGAGUGCCUUCAUUGUUGACUUCAGUGAGAGGUGUAGGAGAUUCAUCGGUGUUGUCAUGGUUAUAAACUAUGUCAUUUAUAACAUCUUGAGUGCUGAUUCUUGGUAGAGGAAGCAGGCCUAAGAUACACUCCCCCUGACUUGUGGCUUCAUGUGAUUUACUGAAAAAAGGGUUAGCUUCAUGGAAUCGAACAUCUUUGGAUACAAUUAUUUUCCUCAAUUGAGGAUCAUAGCACUUAUAUCUUUUUUGUGUUGAUGAAUAACCAAGAAAAACACAUUUGAGAGCUCUAGGGUCCAAUUUAGAUGCUCGAUGGUGUGGCUGAACAUGAACAAAACAGACACAACCAAAGACUCUAAGAUGUGAAAGGUCGAUUUUUCUUCCUUUCAUACCUUCAAGGGGAGAUUUAAACUCCAAGACUCGGCUAGGAAGUCUAUUGAUGAUGUACACAGCCGCCAUGACUCCUUGGGACCAAAAUCUCUUUGGUACAUUCAUUUGUAACAUUAAUGCUCUUGUUUUUUCCAGUAUGUCACGAUUUUUUCUUUCGGCUACACCAUUUUGUUGAGGUGUGCCAACACAACUUGUUUGAUGCAUGAUACCAUGCUUGCUCAAAUAUUGUGACAUGAUAUGGGACAUAUAUUCGGUGCCAUUGUCAGAUCUUAAGGUUUGAAUUUGAGAGGAAAAAUGGUUCUUAACAAGGUUGUGAAAAUCCUUAAAAACUUCUAUCACUUCACUCUUAGACUUUAAAAGGUACAACCAUGUGGCUCUAGAGAAAUCAUCAACAAAGAUUACAUAAUACUUAUAACCAUCAAAAGAUUCAAACGUUGGUCCCCAUACAUCUGAGUGAACUAGUUCGAAAACUUUACUAGUCCUAGAUAAGGAUGAGUUAAAAGGCAAUCUAGUGGCCUUAGACAGAUGACAUGUUUCUCACUGAAUUAAAUCAUUCCCUAAGUUUGGAAACAAAGAUGACAGAAUAGGUUGGGAAGGAUGAGCUAAACGUUGAUGCCACAAUUGACUAUCCUGGGAUGAAUUGGACUUGGCUUGAAAUCCUCUGGGACUGCUCUUUGAUAUGUAAUAGAGACCAUCUAGGUAAAACCCUUCACCAAUCGUCUUCUUGGUGAGACAAUCCUGAAAAAUGACAUUGUGAGGAGAGAAGAUGGUUAAACAAUUUAAGGUGUUGGUGAUUUUUCCCACAGAUAGAAGUUGAAAUGGAAAAGAAGGAACAUAUAAGGCUACUGACUCAAUUUUGUCCGACAUUAAGUUGAUAUUUCCUUUGCCUAAAACCUUAGAACUCUCACCAUUGGCAGUUGAGACUUGAGAAGGUUGUGAAAAUUUUUCAAAUUUGUGAAACUUAGAAACAUGGUUGGUCAUAUGAUCUGUGGCACCCAAAUCAACAAUCGAAAAAUCAUGCAUCAUAUUUAUAUUAAGAGUAGUUUUGAAAGCAGCCAUGAUACCUAGCAUGUCAUCUCGGGGCAUGUGUUGUGUGUCUGUUAAGAAACCAGUGAACUUGCCUAGCAAAGCUGUUGAGUUUCCAUCUUCGAAACCAACCGUUUGAUCACUCUUAAUCCCUUCUUUUUUGCUUUGAAGAUAUGCUGCAAAAUCAUUUAUGAGUGCAGCCAGAUUUGCUGUGAAGCUUUUGAGUGCAUCAGACCCAUGUGAUGUUGAGGCAAAUGCUUUGUAGGCUUUGUGUGGUGCACGAUUUAGUCUUUGUGAGCCCUUGUUAUCCUUCAUGAACUCCGACUUUAAUUCUGGAUGUAAGAUCCAGCAUGUCUCCUUAACGUGACCAGUAUAGUUGCAAUGUUGGCAUUUCAAGUGUGGAUUCUUUACUUUGUAUUUUCUUUCGUUGGUUAGGUAAGCCCUUACUUCAAUUACACUGGUCUUUGUGCCAAUGUUCAUGACUUUCCUUCGUACUUCUUCACGUUGGAUUGUUGCACAUACACUGGUGAAGGAAGGUAGUUCAAGGUUCAUGAGUAUGUGGCUUCGCAGGUCUUCGUAUCCUGAAUCAAGGCUUGACAAGAGUUGGAAUAUCUUGCUUCUGCCCUUUUCAGUAGUACAGACGCUUCAGUUGUAUGAGGCCGAUACAUUUCCAACUCAUUCCACAUGCUCUUCAUGCUGCCUAGAAGUUGAACAAAGGGCUUUCCUUCUUAUUGUAGGUUGGAAAUGUCCUUCUUCAAUUGAAACACACAUGCAGCAUUGUUCUGACUGCCAUAUAUCUCCUUGACUGUUUCCAUAGCUUGAAUGAUGAUUCAGAAUAACUGAAUAUUUCAACUAGUUUACGUUCCAUGGAAUUUAGGAGCCACGACAUAACUAACUGAUCUUUGCAAAGCCAGGAUUCAUAUGUUGGUGAGGGCGCAUCAGGAACUUCGAUGCUUCCAUUUAUGAACCCUAGCUUGGACCUUCCACCUAGGGCAAGACUCACUGCUCUCGACCACGGCAAGUAAUUAAACUCAUUUAACAAGGCCGAGCUUAAUCUUUGAUUUGGGUUGACAUCCACCUCAGACAAGGUUGAGGAGGAAAAUAUCUGGGAAUUUUCAGCUUCAGACGAAGAAGAAUUUUCUUCCGCCAUAUCGGAGAUUGUAGGAAUGCAGCAGCAGGUUAUUUUUCCUGCUCUGAUACCAUAUUGAAUUUUUUAUGUAUAUUUCAUGGUUCAAACAGCUACAAGAUCCAACAUAUAUAGGAUAAGAAACGGGAAGGAGAGUGGAGAUAGAAAGGUGGAGAAUAAUGGCAGCUAAGCAAGCAUCAUUGUGACCUCCACUCUCACUAACUUAAACUACUAAUUAGCUUUACAAUGAUGAUGAAUAACAACCAGCUAACACUAGCACUAAGCUGAGCUGUUAUCCAUCAAAAACUUAAACAAAGGGUUGCAUUAUUCUUCCAACAUUGAACCCUACUUCCAUCUGCAUUAUUUCCACUUGCAUUAUUCUUCCAACAUUGAACCCUACCUUCCAAUAAAUAUGUAGUAUCAGUUUAGGAUGCAUAAUUCAAGGCUCUAAAACCCUCAAAAUCACAGGAAAAAAAUUCAAACACAAAAUCUACCCGCAAAUCGAAAACGACAAAAAAGAAAGUAAAUUAGGCAACAUUGAAAAAGACCUAAAACUUACCAGAAAAUGCUAGAUCACGCGAGGAAAAAAAUGAAUUUCAAUGAAAUCGAAAACAGCAAAAACCUGUAGCCACCCAAGGGUUUCGAACCAAAGAAGUCCGUUGGUAUGAAAUUUUAUGCACCAUUUGACAAACCAAAUCAAGCAGUGUCCAAAGAUCAGAAAAAUAUGUUAAAAAGUAGAAAUUGUAUUUGAUAUAGAUUAAAAUGAUUGAGUAAUUGUGAGCGACUUACGACAAAAUGAAGAUGAUUAAGGGAGGAGAGUAAUCAAAUUCGAUGACUUCAAUUGUAACAAAUGGAAGGCCACCAUUGAAAAGGUGUUAAAAAGCUGAGAAUAUAUGUCAAAAUGAUAUUUGAACCAACAUUUUUUUGGAGUGUGAUGUUCUAUAAUUAGAAAUUAUGUAAAUAGUUAUGUAUAACUGAUUUAUUGUGGAAGAGUGUGAUUGAGAAACAUAUUGGAUAUAUUGAUCUAUGACUGGUUGGUGAUGCAAGGAACAGUAUUGGAGGAUUGUAAAAAAGUGGAAUAUGUUGAAAUGAAGGUAAUUGCAAAAGAAGUUAAUAGAUUGCAUGACUGAAUCAAAUUGGAAGCAUAGUAAUGUCAUUAUUUGGUUUCAAAUUUUGAGAUCAUUGUUUACAUAUUUUAGUGUAAAGGAUAGAAUUCAAUUAAACAGAUUGAUUAAAAUGGUGUAAAAAGAUGGAUCAGACAUAGUUAGUUUGGUGUCUUUGUGUAGUACAGAGAUAUAGUUUGCUGAGUUAUUUCAGCCUCCAUUAUUUGGAGAAAUAAUCAUCAUUUCCAUCUUUUCUCUUCAGAGGAAUGAGUUGCUACCAAUUUAUAUACAGAGGCUUUCUCAUUUUGACCUGUUGUAAACACAUGGCUAAUUUUCUGGUUGUUCAAUGAGGGGUUUGAGUUGGACAUGCAAAAGUAUAAAUCUAGAUGUUCCCAUUGAAGAUACUCUUACACAUGUUCAAUUUAACUCAUCAGUGGACAAAUAAGGAAUUAAGCAUGUAUUCAGAGCAGGUAAAAAGAAGAUAGUUUGUAUAUAUAUUGGUAGCAGCCAAUUCCCUUGAAGAGAAGGGUUAGUAAACAUUGAAUUUAAAUGCAAGACAACCAAGAAAAGAGAGUUAAGAAAACAUACCAUUAAAUUGUUCCAUUGUGGUUGAGGAUUUAGAUAUCGUUAGGGUAGGAUGUUAACAUCUCACUCCAUAUCUAAAAAGCAAUUAUAAAAAUUUUGUUUAUUAGAACAUCUUUAAUCUUUUUGAAAAUGCUUAAAUUUUAAUUUUUUGCCAAAAAUUUGAAAUGGAUAAAUGUCUAAUUUUUUUUGUAAUAUAUUAAAAAACAGGAUAGGUAGAGAGAAGAAGAUAUUGUUUAGUGUGUACAGAGCAGAAAGAAUGUAGUGCAAAUUGUAAUCCAUAGCAGAAAAAGUACAUAUAAAACGUGUUGUAUAAGUAUUUAUUAAGCUGUAAAUUAAAGGUGUUAAAUUUAUGUAAACAUCUAAAGCAUGCGUGUAACAUGCUAUAAACCAAAUGUAGACAAAACAUGCAAAAGAAAGAAAAACGAAGAAGGAAAGAAUAAGUAAAUAUAGUUUUUUUUUUUUUUUCGAAAGUUAAGAUUGUAUUGAAAUCAAUAGGACUAAAGCCUAACCAUUACAUUGGCAUCCUCUGCUAAAAUAUUAAAUAAGAAUUCAGGACCUAAUUCAUCCCAGCCAAAUCUCCCGCCAUGCUUAACAACGUACGCCGCGAUCGAAUGGGCAUCACGAUUGCAUUGACGAGGGGUAAAGCAAAACCGUACCACCGGAAAAACACAAGUCAUCCUCCAAAUAUCUUGGAUAUAGACCUCAAGCUUCACAUCAACUGUCGUCUCCUUAUUGAGCAUAUUAAUCAAGCCUUUAGAAUCCGAUUCCACCACCAAACAUGUACUUCCCGCCCAAACCUCACUCCCCACCACCGACUCCAAGCCCCGUCUAAUUGCCUCUGCCUCCGCCAUAAUGGCGUCCCCGAACCGUUCCCCUCCCAUUCCUCUUGCGAGCAAAGGAAGACCAGCAAAAUCCCUAAGGACCCACCCAACUCCUCCCUCUCCCGUGGCCUUUUUCCAAGCAGCAUCACAAUUCAACUUCAACGUACCAAACAGCGGUUUUUGCCACAAUAGUAGCCCUACCUCUUCUCUCCUUUCCCCCACCACGAUACCAUCGCCAUGCCUCACCCCUCCCUCCCCGCUACCUACCCUACGUCCCCCCCGUACCCUAUCCCACCUAUCACUGCCCAAGGCCCCAGUGCCCCAUUCCGAAGUAUCCGAAGCCGUUCGAAACUCCUCCACAUGCCGGUGCCAAAGCUCCACAGCCACCCGUGGCUCCGUCGUCACCCCCUUGAAAACCAAGUCAUUUCUGCACUUCCAGAUACGCCAGAAUCCAAAAACCACCUGUUGCAAGAUCAAAUCCGCAUCCUCCACAUUCUCCAGAUGCUUCACAACCAACUUCCAACCCUCCAAGAAAUCCUGGACAUCCAAAGCCGCCAUAUUCAAUUGCAUCGACGUUCCAAACCAAAAGCUACGGCUAAACUCACAAUUAAAGAAUAGAUGAGCCUCAGUUUCAUCAUUGACUCCACACAGCUCACAUCUAUUUAAAAUAUGAAUUCGCCGACGUUCCAAAUUAUGCCUUACCGCCAACGCCCGCCUACCAGCCUUCCACAUAAAAAACUAGAGCUUUGGCGGAACAUCGAGAAGCCAAAUCGUCUUCCACAACCCCCCCAAGGAACCCAUAGAACUCGACAUCCCCCUCCCUUUCCUCCCAAACUCUCCAUUUUUCAUCAUAUCCAUUGCAACAUGGUAACCCGACCUUACCGUAUAUACUCCGGUCUUUGUGUAGUGCCAAAUUCUUUUGUCCGCACACCCAUACCGACUAAACGGAAUAGCGCGGAUCAAAACCAUAUCCUCUGGUGCCACUCCCCUUUCUAACGCCUCCAAAUUCCACCCUUGCCUAUCCACCGUCAUCAACUCACACACCCUAGUAUUAGGAUCCAAACUCCGCAGCACCGGCUUAAACGAGUGGGGUUUGGGAACCCAUGGAUCAGCCACCCUAACCGUCUCUCCAUUACCCACCCUCCAUCGAAGCCCCCGAAGCAUAAUUUGUCUCCCCAAAAGAAUCCCUUUCCACCCCAAGAAGAGUUCUUCUGUUGUCGGGCCUCCACAAACGAAGAAUGUGGAAAAUAUUUAUCCCUAAGCAUCGACUCCGGUUUAUCCAUCACCCUCCACCCAAUUUUCGCGAGCAUGGCCAAAUUAAACCCAACAAGGUCACGGAAUCCCAACCCUCCCAUCUUCUUGCUCUCAGUCAAUUUGUCCCAUGCCACCCAAUAGCAUCCCCUAGUGUUCGGUUGAUUCCUCCAAAAGAAAUGAGCAAUGACUCGCUCCAUCUCUUUACACAAAGUCACCGGCAAUUUAAAACAUGCCAUAACAUGGUUCAGCAUCGCCAUUGCGACCGAUUUGAUCAAUACCUCCUUACCUGCCGGGGACAAAAACUGUUCCGCCCAUCCAUCAAUGCGACUUUCCAUACCACGUCGUACAGAUUCAAAUACCGCCUUCUUCGAAUGCCCAAAAUCUGCCUGGAUCCCCAAAUACUUACCAAAGCCGUCUCGUGCCUGAAUAUUCAUUCUAGACACAAUACGCUUUUUAGUCUUCUUAUAACACCAUUUCCCGAAGAAAAUAGAACUUUUCGCCAAGUUAAUAAUUUGGCCAGACUUCCGCCCAUAGUUCUCCAAGAUCCGAAUAACAGUCCCCACCUCAUUUUCAUCCGCUUUACAAAAAACCACCGAGUCAUCUGCAAAAAACAAAUGCGAGAUGGCGUGUGCUCCAAGUGCCACCCGCACCCCACUAAUAAGCCCUGCCCUUUCAUUUGCCCGAAUAUACGCAGAUAAUGCUUCUGCACAUAUGAGAAAAAGAAAAGGUGACAACGGAUCACCCUGCCUCAAACCCCUCUGGGGUCGGAAGAAACCCGAGGGAACACCAUUGAUUAGCACGCUAUACGACACCGACGAUAUACAUUCACGAAUCCAAGCGCAAAAAGAUGGAUGAAAACCCAUAUUCCUCAUAACGUCAAGGAGAAAAUGCCAUUCCACACGAUCAUACGCUUUUGCCAUAUCCAGUUUGACUGCCAUCCUACCAUUCUCGCCUUCCACACCUUGUUUUAGGGAAUGCAACAUUGCAGCAUAACUUUUUAAACCAAUAUUUCACCUGUUUAAUCGCAGCCUCAAUUGUUUUGGAGAGUGCGAAGAUGAUAUGUCUUCUUAAGUGUUCAUACGGCAUCUGCAAAAGAAAGAAAGCAAUGGAAGAAAGUUAAUGAUAAGUGAAAAAAAUGUAAAAUGUGAAUGGACAAAAGUGGGAAAAUAAGGUAGAAUUUAGUAAAAAAUACUAAGUUUUUUUGUCAAAGCAUUUUAUCCUAAUCAAAAUCCCAAACUGAAACAACAUUUGUAAUUAGAUGUAAGAAAAAUUUGGCCCAAGCAGUUGAGUAUGGUACCAACAUUAUUAUACUACUAUUUUAAUCACAUUGAAUAAAAAAUGUAAACGUUUAGUCAUAGGUUAGUAAAAUAAACAGUCUGCUCAUAAAUUUUGCAAUACAUCUUUAAACACUAUGUUUGCAGUAUAGUUGUUUACAUUAUUGUCUCCAUCUGGAAUCAAAAUCUUCAAACCUUCUUUUGAUGUAACUCUAGAUAAUGCUACAUAUAAUUGACCAUGGGUAAAAACAGGUUCAGGAAGAUAUAAACCAACUUGUUUCAAAGAUUGACCUUGACUUUUGUUGAUGGUCAUUGCAUAACAUGAUCUAGCAGGAAAUUGGCGUCUUUUAAAAUAAAAGGUCACUUAUUUUCCGUUGUUGUCAAAGUGAUUCUCGGAAUGAAUACUUUGUGACCAAUAUUGUUUCCAGCAAGUAUUUUAGCUUCAAUAAUUUGGUUGAAUAAUUGAGUAACUACUAAUCUAGUUCCAUUACACAAACCCAAAGACUGAUUUAAAUUUCGUUACAGCAUAAUUGGCAUUCCUAUUUUCAAAAUUAGGUUAUGUGUAGGUAAACCAUUGAAAUCGAGCUUAUUCAAAAAUUUAAUAGGAUACAAUAUUUCUAAAUUUUCAUUAUUUCCAUUUGAAGAACACAAAGAAUCAUAGCUUAGAAACACAUGUUAAUCUCCAGGCAACAAAUGGGUUAUAUAAUUGUUUAUAUCUGUAACAGUUGUGUUUCAAGGUGUUAUAAUAGCACGUUCUCUCAAGUAGGCAAAAUCUUGAUAAGAAUGUUCAAAAUUGGGAUAAGUUCCAAGAAAAAUUGAUAAAAUUGGGUUGCAAGAAGAAUUAACUAUUAAAUCUUUAGGUAUUUCAAUCAGAGAUGUAUCUUUAUCAUUUGAAUUGUUUUAACCGAUUUUUCCAUCACCUAUUUGUAAAAUCCAAUUUGCAAAAUCACUUAUUGUUCUCUUUUCAUCAAUGUCUAACCCAUUUUUUGAUAAUCUCAUGUUUUCUUUUAAAUAAAAUAUUUUAAAAUGUGACCAUAAAUAAGAACUAUUUAAAGAAGCAUUUAUUAUGUCCUCUUUGCUUCCUCCAGGUAUAACAGGUAAUAUUUGUCGAAAAUCACCACCUAAUAAAAGAGUUUUACCACCAAAUGGAGUAUUGCCUUGUGAAUCAUUUAAAUGGGACAUAAUAUCAUAAAGUGAUUUAUCUAAUGCUUCAAAACAAUGUUUGUGAUUCAUCGGUGCUUCAUCCCAUAUAAUCAAAUCUGUUUUUUCAAUUAAUGUUGCAAGAUGAGUUUUUUUUUUAUUGCACAAAUUGAAGAAUCAGUAACAACCAAGGGAAAUUUAAAUCUGGAAUGUGUUGUUCUACCAGCUGGUAAUAACAACGAAGCUAUCCCUAAUGAUGCCACAGCUAAAACAAUUUUUUUAUCAGAUCUAAGCUUACUUAUGAUAACAUCCCAUAAGAAAGUUUUUCCAGUGCCUCCAUGGCCAUAAACAAAAAACAAACCACCUUUUUUUCUUUCCACGGCAUCUAUAACACAAUCGUAGAUAAGUUUUUGAUCUUGAUUAAGUUGCAAUUUUAAAUUUGCGUGUUUUUUUUACAAUUGUUCAGAAUCAUAGUUUAAUUCUUCUCUUAGAAGCUUAUUUUUAAUUUUUAACAUUUUUCUUGCAUCAUGUAUUGGUAAAUGAUACUUGGCUAAAGAACUCGAUGCAUUGUUAAAAAGCAAUUCUAAUUCAAAUAACACAGAAUUUUUUAAUUCAUCUUGUGGUAUGAUCAUAUCAGGAAUUGCAAAAGUUUUUCGCAAGUUGUACAAAAUGUCAACAUACAUGUUUUGCCAAUGAGUAUCAAAAGGAGUUUCAGGUUCUACCACAUCACAAUAUAAAAUGAUUGUAACAAAUAAUUGUCUCAACUGAGGAGAUGACGCUACAUUUACAGCACUUGACAAAGCCUUAAUCCAUUAUUUAUCAUCUCCUGACAAUCCCAAUGAUUGACAUGCAGCAUGAUAUGAAGGAUGUACAAUACCAUUAACAGUUUUGAGAUCAUCAAAGUUUAAUGCACCUUUUUUCAAGUUCAAAAGCAUUCAUAAAUAAUAUAAUUCACCAGAUACAGGAUGCACAUACGCUCUUCUACCUAUUGAACCUUUUUGUUUUCUAGGUUUCCACAUUUUUUCCCGUGUGUCAUAUAACAAUUUUGAAGGAAAUUGUGCAUAAGUGAGUGAGCACGCUUCACUAUAAAUUUUGUUAGUUUUAAACCAACUUGUUAACAUUGUAUGGUUAGAGGCUUUUUGUUUGAUAAUUGAAUGGAGUGAUUAAUCACCACUGAAAACAAUAUUCUAUUCAAACGGUAAAUGCACUGGUAAUCGCUCUACAGAAGGUUAAAUUGUUUCUAUUCAAACGGUAAAUGCACUGAAAACAAUAUUCUAUUCAAACGGUAAAUGCACUGAAAACAAUAUUCUAUUCUAUUCAAGUUUGCAAAUUCACUCGGAAAAGGACUGGUUAAAUUGUUUCUGGCUAGAUUAAGCUCUUUGAGGCUAGUAAAAUUAAAAAGCCAACUAGGAAAUGCAGAAUUAAUCUUAUUAUCUGACAAAUCAAGGAUCAAAAGGGAUGUGAAAUUAAUCUUUUGCAGUGAGAGUGGAAUGCUUUUGAUUUGGCACGACGACAAGUGUAACUCUAACAAUGAAGGAAGCGUGUUAAUAUCAUACGCCCAACUGACUCUUGUGCUGCUAAGGUCAAUGCCUUCGAGAUUAAGGUAUUUUAGGGAAGAGAGGUGAGAAACCCAACUCAAGUUGCUGGAAGAUAAAUUGUAAUUAAACCCGAGAUCAAGAAAAUUCAGGCUUGACAGGUUACCAAGAGAAUAGGGAAUCUCUCCCCCGAACGAUGAAGAGGAAAGAUUGAGAUAUUGCAAACUGUUAAGCUGCCCAAAGAAGUUUGGAAUGGGAAUAAUGCCGUGGAAAUUAUUCAUGCUCAGGUCAACGUAAUUCAAAUAUUUCAAGGUUAACAAAGAAGCAUUUAUCUUACCUCCCAAGCAAGACUGUUCAUGAGCCAACUCGUCCCACCGUUCAUCAGAAUAUGAAAAUGGAUAAGGAUAUGGAUUGCGGAGGUUCAUCUUGACGACACGACCAGUGCUGUUGUUGCAUGAAAUUCCUUCCCAUCGACAGCAAUCAUGUCCCACCCAAGAAGAAAGCCUACCCGAAUGAUCAACAAGCUCGUUUUUAAAGCUCACAAGCGCUCUGCGUUCUUCCUCAAUGCAUAAUGAUUUCACAACACCAGUGGUCGGAGUUCCGAUAUCACCGGAGCAAAGUAUAGCAGCGGGUAGAUAAAAGGAUGCCAUAAACAAAAGGUGAAAACAGAGGGAAACAUUGAGGUAAAUAGGCUUGAAUAAAAAGCUUUUUGCAUGCAAGGUAUCCAUUGGAUAAAUCAGGUAUGAGAAGUGAGAACAACGUAAACGUAUAAUAUAUAGGAGAAAUUUUGCCAAAAUAUCUGGUAUUCAAGCCACGUGUCAUAACACGAUAGGAUUUAUUUUUUAUACGUACAAUAAUAGUAUUAUUAAUUAAUUAAUGCACGUUCAUGACUUUGGUAACCAAAGCAAUAACGUCGACUCCCAAGUCCCAACUACAUCGACUCCCAAAUCCCAACUACUUUUUUGGGUGAAGGAGCUUGAACAAUGUGAAUUUUCAAAAUUUUUGUUUUUGUUUUUUUUUUAGAAAGGUAUUUUUAUUACCAUCACAAAAUAAUUAUAAAGGAGGAAGCUCAAAUACAAUUUGCACAAUGCUUACCCGCUUACACCCUAACAUUGAUCAUGUAUGUUGUGCAUAAACAUUUCUUUCAGUCUCCUUUUAUCUGCGGAACUAUCAAAUUAGAUAGCUUAUUUGUCCGUGCUUAUUUUUUAGUUUUUUUUAGGUAUUUGAUUUAUGUCCUCCUGAUCAAGUGUGUUUUAUAGCGUUUGUUUCUCGCAUACUAGCUCAAAUAAAUACAACUUUUGUUUUUUUUUUUUUUUUUACCAAACAACAACAUUAAUUUGUUAUUUAUUUUUAUUUUUGUGGUGAAUGAAACACUUCCUGAAUCCUAACUGGGGACAAAAGAAACAAGUGUGUUCACACCCAAAAUCUCCAUCAUAAUAAGUAAUUAAUGACUUUGAAUUAAUUAUAGUCAACACAACUGUUAAUGGUUUGGUCACACCAAAUGCCAUUUGUAGUGAAUUCCGUUAUGCCGACGGAGACUUCGAAUUAAGGGUCUUGAAUUCACACCAGCGUCGAUUAGACGGUAGACUAUUAUCAUCAUAUUUAAUGUUAAUUUUCCAAUUAUGUCCUUAUUUUACUAAAUAAAACUAUUUAAUAAUUAGGGGUAUUUUUGUCAAAUUAUCACAACCCCAUUUUCUCCACACCUUUUUUUCUAGGAAAACUAAUGAAAAAGGGUUGAAAACUUUGAGUUUUAACGAUAAGGACAAAAUAAAAGGUAAAGUGAAUAGUACCAUGAUUGGCUUUUUAGUGUAAAAAUAUGAUUUUUCGUUAAAGUGAACAGUACAUGGAGCUUUUCGUUAAAGUUCCCUUUUUUCCUUGGAAAACUCUCCUCAACUGCUCAACACAUGCAUAGUGUGAGCAAUUGCUAGUACUAUUUAGGAGAAAGCUUAGCUGCUGAAAAAAUCAGCAGUAGCUCCUGCUGCUAGCGAAUCACGGGUGGACACGUGUCCAAGUUGUGAUUAAAAAAAUCAAUUACUUGGACACGUGUCCACUCGUGAUUCGCUAGCUACAGGAGAUGCUGCUGAUUUUUCAGCAGCCAAACUCCGUUCUAUUAUUUAUGGUUUCUACAUUAUGUCAAGUGUGUUUAAGUCUUGUACCACUUAAUAUAUGUACUGAAAUUCUACAUAUAAAUAUUGAGACGAUAAAUAGAAUUGUAUACUGGGUGCAAAGUUUUAAGCUGGUAAGUCUACUUGACUGUGACCAGGGAAGGCUGAAAAGUCUAUGUGAGUCUUCUCGGCCCCCGAAAAAGGAUGGAUGAAUGUGGCUUACCAUCAGUUGUCCUCCUUUAAAAAAUAAUAAAAUAAAUAAAUAAAUAAAAUUGUUUAAAAGCUAUUCAUUGUUGUAAAAAUCAAACCGACGUAGUUCACAAAAGAAUUUGGAAUUUGAUUUGGAUUUGAUUUGUGUGGUUUGUAUCAUUUGCGAAUUUGGAAUUUGGAGUUUGAUGGGUAUUAUGGGUGUCAACAGAAGACUACAAAACGAUAUUCUUGUAUCAAUUAUUUUCGAAUUGAUACAACUCUAGGUGGACAAUUUUUUAUUUUUUAUUUUUUUUUGAACAAACGAUAUUGUGGGGUAGAGAAUGGGCUUAGCCUCACAAAGCUAAUUUGAAGAAAAUGUCUAUUGAACUUUUCUUGAAUUUUAUACCAAUUGUUCAUGGAGGGAAUUUCCGUGGGGAAUGCUUCAUAGCCGACGAGCACACAGCUCCCCGAGAGGUUGGCACCGGCUGAUGCUUUCUGUCGAGCUUCUGCUUUACUGGCGGGCUUGUCGGGCAAAGCCUUUCGGGCAAGGCUGAAAGAGAAUGACAUGGUUAACUUUGAAAGGUGCCUUUGUGAGGCCUUAGGUGUAGGCCUUGAGGCUCACGAUCAAGAUUAACUUUGAAUUGCUCAGGCGUGCCACUACCAUCUUCAGCAUAGCAAAUGUAGAACGGAUGUUUGAGUUUUAAUUAUAUAUUCGAGAGACUAUGUUAGUUAUUGACAGGUGCCUUUGUGGGGCCUUAGGUGUAGGCCUUGAGGCUUCCCAUAAAUAACUAACUUAGUACUCAAACACAUAAGGUUCCUUUUGUUGGUUUUAUGGGUCUUAUAACCAUCAUACUUCUGAUUACCUGAGCUCAAAGAGCAGAAUGAAUCCAAAUAGAUGCCUUUGUGGGGCCUUGAAUAGGCCUUGAGGCUUCCCAUCAGAACCCCUUCUGUACUCAAUGUUCUUGCCCAAGAAAUAGGAAUCUAAAUAGGUGCCUUUAUGGGGCCUUGAAUAGGCAUUGAGGCUUCCCAUCAGAAUUUAUCCCGUACUCGAACGUUCUUGCCCGAGAAAUAGGAUGAAUCCAAAUAGGUGCCUUUGUGGGGCCUUGAAUAGGCCUUGAGGCUUCCCAUCAGAAUUCAUCCCGUACUCGAACGUUAUAUGGUCAUCAUAAUAUAAUAGAAAUAAAACUAAGUGGUAGGUCGAUUACUUGCGCCCCAAGUAACUUCGGACUUCUUGUUUAUCAAAGCUUGUCGUGGAUGGGUUAAGUCUACAUCAGGUUCUUGUUUAUGCCUUAAGGCCAAGGACUUUUUAGGGUGAUCAAAUCUUAUAUGCACGAGGGCUUAGAGCUUAGAUCUGGCUUGAACUAUGAAGACAUAUUCAAAUCGGAUUCAAGCGCUGAGAGAGUCUUUUAAUAGCCAUAUUACUAGAAAUAACUUGGAUACAACUUAAAGUAUACAACAUAUUGCUAGGCUAAUGAAUGAAAAGACAAAAACGAAGAAGGUCAGGCAAGGCUGAUCGUCUUGCAACUUCCUAUCUUUGUGGGUUAACAGAAGGUUUGAAAGCUUAGAAAAGGGGUUGGGAGGUGAGUUUGCAGAAAGAAAAUCGAUACUACAACAGGCGUUGAACAAGGUAGCAGAGCUAUUACAAAGGGUUUGUCCCGAAAGGGAUGAAGGCUUGGGCUGACUACAACUUCGUUUUGAAGGCAAAUCUAGCUUUGAGCAGAGUUUGUGCUUUUGUUUGUUUGUUUGAGUGUCCUUGAUUCUGAAUUCUCUUUCUCCUUUUAUAGCCACCUUGGCUUGGCCUCCUGUAGCAAUAAUCUUGCCCGAAUGCAGUUUGAAGGAUAGUGACUCAUCAGCUAUUUACUUGUACUGCCAUCAUAAAGUACUUUUGGGCUGAUUAGCUGGCUAGUCUAUACCACUUUGCCCUUGGGUAGGUGAGCAAGUGGUGCAAAUGAUCUGCACCUAGUCGGGAAAGGCGCUUUCUGCUUUCUAGGUCUGGGCUGAGCUUCGGGCUUUUCUUUCUCUUUUUGGGCCAACUCCCUUCUAAGCCCAAAGUUUAAGUUGCAACCCAAACAAUGCCCCCUUCAAUCAAUAUUCAGACUGGAAUUCCAGGCGCCAAUAUUGAUUGAAUAUCUGCAUGCUUAUAUACCCGCUCUUGGAACUUGUGUUUUUCUGGACAGAAGGCCUACGACCAUGCGUAUCUUGCUCUUCUCACGACCUUUGGGUUACCCUCUGAGGUUUCUAUAAAUUCAGGUUUGAUUUUGCCUUUUGCUCAGUUAACCAAAUUCCUUCAACCUUCGCUUCAAUUAACCCCGAGUAUUUUUGCCUUCUUAGUUUUCUCCCUAAGACUGAGAAAUGAUCUCUUCAAGAUUCAAAUGGGGUUUCCUAAAACUCCCUUUUCGUGAGAAAAAAGAGUUUUCAUCAAAUAACCACUAUCCCCAACACCCUUGGUCAGGCACCCCCUAUCUCCAACACCCUUGGUCAGGCGGUGCUCCCAUGAAGACUUGUCUUCCCGCUCGUCGCCAUGAUAAGUCAGGCUUCACCAUCAUAUGGUGAUGACUCUGCCUGAAGAUCCUCUACCAGGCGCGUCUUGGCCGCACAACCUGAUCACCUGACUGGAUUCUACCCAUGAAGAUACCAGAAAACCAGCUGAGACGUCAUUGCACCUGGAAGGAGUCGUACAUAGUACAUCGGGAUUGAAUUGAAUUUGUUGUAAACUUCACCAAUUUGUCGAAAAUGAAAUAAACAAUAUCUUAACAAUCUUGUGUCUUUUUUGUCUUCUUGAAUGACUGAUGAAUAUACACUAUACUUUAGCAUCCCGAAACCUGCUUUACCUUGCAUCCUCCUCGAUGUAACAAUCCCUAACAUCCCAUAAUGUAGGACAAUACCUUUUCAAGAAUUUAACAUUAAUGGGAUGUUUCUGCCAAUUCCCUUCGAGGUCCGCCAAGUAAUAUCCCCAUUGUCUAAUACUUGACGAACUAUGAAAGGACCUUCCCAUGUCGGGCUCCACUUUCCAAAGCCCCUAAGCUGAGCUCCUAGAGGAAGAACUAUCUUCCAUACCAAAUCUCCUUCCUUGUAAGACUUUGCUUUCACCCUUUUGUUAUACACUCGGGCAACAACUCUCUUUCCUUCCUGAAUCUAGUUCAGAGCUUCAAUUCGGGCUACAUCCUUGGCACAUGGCUUCGAUGUAUUCUUCGCUGUGUAACCCAAGCUGAUUUUGAAUUCUGACAUAACUCACAUUGAUCUCCAUGGGAAGCACUGCAUCUUGCCCGAAGGUUAGAGCAUAAGGAGUUGUCCAUAUACCUGCCCUCUUGGAAGUUCUGUAUGCCCACAAAGUAUUCCCCAACUUUUCAUGCCAUUUUUCCGGACUAUCUAUCACCAUUCUUUUGAUAAUGUUUACCAAAAUCUUGUUGCUGGAUUCUGCCUGGCCAUUUAACUGCGGGUAGUAAGGACUGGACCGAAUCAUCUUUAUUUUGUAUUUGCUUGCAAAUUCUUCAACUUCUUUUGAAAUAAAAGAUGGCCCUCGAUCCGUCACUAUGGUUUCAAGCACCCCAAAUCUAUGCAGAAUCUUGGUCUCAAUAAAAAAUUUGACCACAGCUGAGGUUAUGGUUUUUACCGCCGAGGCCUCUACCCAUUUGGUAAAGUAAUUCGUUGCUACAAUGAUAAAAGUGUGCCCCUUGCUAGAAGCCGGGUAAAUAUGCCCGAUGAAGUCCAUUGCCCAUCCUCUGAAGGGCCAGGGCUUGACUACUGGAUUUAAAGGCACAUAGGAUACAUGUUGGAGAGGACCGUGCCUUUGACAUUCCUCACACCCUCGGGCAUAGGACUUGCAAUCUUUUUCCAUGUCGGGCCAAAAAUAACCAUAUCGCCUAAGUAACCACCUCAUCUUUGUCCCCGCCUGAUGUGCUCCACAUACUCCUUCAUGUACUUCGACCAUCACUCUCAUGGACUCUUCUUGGCCUAAGCAUUUCAAUACUAACCCGUCUGGAGUCUUUCUUAGUAGGUCUUUCACCCAUAAGACAUACUUAGUUGCUUGUUGUCUAUUUUUCUUGCUGGUGGGUGAAGAGGGAUCUUUCAAAUGAUGGAUGAUGGGCGAUCUCCAAUCUUCUAUCUCAGUUUCCUGAACCAUUACAUCCAGGCUGAAUCCCCUUUCCAGGAUAGAAGGAAGAUUUCUCCUUUGAAUCUCGACAUCCAACCCAUAUCCUUUUUCCUGUAUUGGCAUGCCUGAGGCCAAUUGCGUCAUCUCAUUAGCUGCUAGGUUGACUCCCCUGGGAACAUGACUCACCGAUAUAUCAGAAUCCUAAUAACUCAACAAUUGUGUGGCCGCCAAAUAGUAUCCGGUCAUGGUGAUAUGUCUGCAUUUGAACUCCCCAUUUAGCUGGUUUAUUACCAAUUCUGAAUCACCAAACACCUCAACUUCCAUUGCCUCCAGAUCCAUCAAGAUUUCCAAACCAAUUAUUAAGGCCUCAUACUCUGCCCGAUUGUUGGUAUUCCCUUGAUAAUCCAAGAGAAAUGAGUAAUAAUGAUAAAUCCCUUGAGGGUUGAUAAUCACAAUCCCAGCUCUUGAAGCCUUCUGAGUAUAAGAACCAUCGAAAUACAGCUUCCAAUGAGUAAUCCAUAAACCAGCCACUCUUCUUAUCUCCUGCUAGAUCCACUCAUUUUUGCCCGAGAUCCCUUUGCCUGGCGGGAUCCAAACAUUAGUAACUUCCAGGGUUCCCGGUAUAUUGAUUAUCUCAUCUCGAGAUUCUUGAUGCUCCGCCAAGAAGUCAGUAAUUGCUUGGCCUUUUACUGCCCUUUGGGGGACAUACUGGAAGCUGAAUUCUAAUAAUGCUUGAAUCCACUUCCCAAUCCUUCCUGUUAGCAUUGGCUUUGACAACAUGUACUUUAUCACAUCUGUCUUGGCGAUGAUGUGCACGUGACAAGGUAACAUGUAAUGCCUCAGUUUAUUGGCAAUAAAAUACAGAGCUAAGCACAAUCUCUCUACUGGGGAAUACCUUGUUUCUACCUCGGUCAGAAUUCUACUGAGGUAGUACACUGCCUGCUCUUUCCCGCCUUCAUUAUUCUGAGCCAUCAAACUCCCAAUUGAUUUAUCUGAAGCGGAGAUAUAUAGCUUUAAGGGUUUUUCCCUCUGAGGUGGUACCAAUACUGGCGGGGAAGUCAAAUAAGCUUUGAUACCAUCGAAAGCCUCUUGGUGCGGUGGUCCCCACUCGAAAUUCUCCUUAUCCUUCAGUCUUAACAAAGGAGUCAGCGGCUGGAUCUUGCCCGCUAGAUUGGCAAUGAAUCUUCUUAAGAAAUUAAUUUUGCCCAACAGCCUCUGAAAUUGCACUUUGUUGGUGGGUGAAUGUGACUCUAUUAUUGCCCGAGCUUUAUUUUUGUCCAUUUCUACCCCUCUUUGAUGAACCAGGAAUCCUAAGAAAUUGCCCGUUUUCACUCCAAACGCACACUUCUUUGGAUUCAUCUUCAAUUUGUGGAUCCUCAUUCUUGUUAAUGCCUGCCUGAGGUCUAUCAGGUGUUGUUCUUCCGUCUUGGAUUUCACCACGAUGUCAUCAAUAUACACCUCCAUAUUAUGGCCAAUCAGAUCAUGAAAGAUGGCAUUCAUCGCCAUUUGGUAAGUUGCACCAGCAUUCUUGAGCCCGAAGGGCAUAACCAGAUAUUCAUAUGCCCCCACAUGCCCAGGGCACCUAAAAGCUGUUUUAUGUAUAUCCUCCGGGGCCAUCUUUAUCUGAUUAUACCCGGCAUUUCCAUCCAUAAAAGAUAAGACUUUAUGUUUUGCUACUGCAUCUAUGAAUAGAUUUGCCAUGGGCAUAGGAUACUCAUCUUUAGGUGUAGCACCAUUAAUAUUCCUGUAGUCAACACAACAUCGUACCGCUUUUGUUACGGCUUUUAAAACGGGUACAAUGUUGGCUAACCACUCCACAUAUUUGGCUGGCCUGAUAAAUUCGGCUUUUACGAGCCUCUCAAUCUCUUCUUUGACCUUCUCUUCUAUCUCCUUCGACAUCCUUCGUGGUGCUUGUUUAACCGACUUAUAUCCUUCCUUGAUAGGCAUUCUGUGUUCCACCAAAGUUGCAUCUAAACCCGGUAUCUCAGUGUAAUGCCAAGCAAAACAAUCUCUGAAUUCUUGUAAGAGACAGAUAAUUUGUGCCCGAUCCUCACUCUCUAAUAAACCACUGAUUUGUAUUGGUCUUGGGUCCUCCUUUGUUCCUAGCUCAAUAACUUCCAAAGGAUCUUGGACCUCCAGUGGUGGCUUGUCAGGUUCUGCACACAAAAAUUCGACUAGCUCCAGGCUCUCAGGCAAGUCAUCUGGCUCAUCUAGGUCAUAUAUACACUCAGCCAUUUGAAUGGACCUUUCCAAUUCUUCUUAACAAGAUUCCUCGUUGCUUUUAUCCUGGCUGGUUGAAGCUCCCACCUGCCAUUCCUGUUAUUCUCUCUAAGAGCUCAUUUUCUUGUCUUAUUUCUUUCCCAUACACCAACAGUCGUUUAAUCAGGGAUCUGACUGCCAUUACCUGAUCUUUCCUUUUUUGUUCUAUCAUUGAUGGUGUAGGGGUGUUGGGAUGAUAUAAGGUCUGUCCCACUCCUCUCUAGUAAGGAGCAUCCCUUGUUCUAUGAGCUUUUGGGCCGUCACCUUGGUAGGACGGCUGUUCUCAUCUACUCCCAAACACUUCAAGAUUUCUACGUUGGGAUUGUAGAAACUUGCUUCCGCUAUAUUGGCUGUGGGAAGAAAUGGUCGUGAUUCGGCCUCUACCAUCUCCCAAAAGUCUGGCCCUUCUGCGCUUGCCUCAUGAUACACAGCCACUUGUUGAUGUAAGGUGGAAGGUACAACAAGACUUUGGUGGAUCCAAUCUCUUCCAAGUAAGGCUCCAUAGGUGGAGGUGCAGUCCACCACAAAGAACGCCAGCAUGAUCUGUUUAGACCCCAGAUCUACUUCCAAAGGCAAUAUCCCAAGAGUCUUGGUGAUAACGCCCGAGAAACUAGAAACUGUGAGGUCUGUAGGAAUAAGAUCCUAUGUGCCUCUCCCCAACUUUUUCAUCUGCUUGGCUGGUAAUAUAUUAACAGCUGCCCCUCCAUCAAUAAAAAUCCUUUUGAAGGGCACUCCCUCCAAAUGAGCUAUUACAUAUAUGGGCUUUAGAUGAUUGGCAAGUGAAAUGUUCGGGCGACUGAACACCAUUUUGUCUGUGUAGAUCCUUAAAGGACUUUCUUUGGAUGCUUCAGAUGAUGCAGUUUUUCCCGACUCUCAUUCUUAUGCUAUCUCCAUAUUAACAUGAGCCAUCAUUGGCUCAUUUGUUACAUAAUCUCCUUCCAUGACGGCGGGCUGAUUAGGUUGGGCAACAAACAUAGCAGAUAACACAUACGCCAUGUUUAUAUGAAAGUUGCUAGGCUCUGGCAGUUCCUCUUUUUUGCUCCCAAUCUGGUCCAUGAACUCAUCCAACCACGCCAUAGCAUCUGGUGAAAGCAAUGGUUCUGGUGCCCCCUCUAGCUGAUUCACACCUGAACAUGGUGUUUGUUUUGGAACUUCCCCGAAAUGAUCCUCUAAUGAUAGAGAAGGUUGUUUUUUCUCAGGGGAGACAGUUCCAAAGUAAAUAGGCUGCUCUGCCUUCCAUCCGGGAGUCGGCACCAUAACCAUAUCUUCUUGAGCUCUCCUCAAGAUUCUAUAUUUCCCAAGGUGUAGGCUUUGUGGCACAUGAUUUCCUUCGCCUUCAAUCUUGCUGUUAGCCUUUUCCACCUCCUUCUUACUUCUCCAGCGGAGCUGACUGCUCCCCCCAGAUGACGUUUUUUCUAACUUUUGAUUUUUGGAAGCUUCCGACGUCGCUAGGGUUUUCAAGGAAUUCAUGUAGGCUUUGUGUUGCCUCUGAACCCUUCUGACCAUGGAGGCACCCAUUUACUUAACGGGUUGUCCAUUCUUUCCGACCACAUACCAUUUUCGCCUAAGGCGGGCAGGAUUAUCUUUUGUGAUGGGGUUUGUUAUCCUGUCAUUCCUCCUGACCUCUCUUCCCAUAUGGCUGUACUAAGAGUGCCCUACACUUCUCUCUUUUGGCUUCUUGGCAUCUUUAUCCUCUGCCUCCUCAGAAACUUCAUGGUUACGAAAUAUUUCUGAUAAAGCCCUUGGUUGGGAAUCGCCUUCUAACCGCUGAAAGACACUUCGGGAGGUAUCCCUUCCUGCAGUCCGCCGAGCUUUCUCUUGUGCCUCUUUUCUCUUUUGUUCUUCAUUCCUCCUGAUCAGUUCAUGAUCUAUGAGGGCUCCUGCGGGCGGUAUUUCGAGUUCCCUCUCUUUUCCCUUCUCCGCCCAUGUCAUACUGAUCAUAUUUAUAGGGGGCAUCUGAGAAGGGAUCCGUAUGUUUAUCCGUCACCGCAGCUUCUUCUAGUUGAUUGGUUUUAAGCCCCCUCUUCUCCCUAUCAUUUUUCUCCCCAAGAUGAGGUAAAGACAUAGGGAUAGGUGGUCUUAGAACCGGGUCAUCUUCUUUUCUGGAGCCUGUAAAAACGUUCUCCAGUCUUUGUAGUAUGUGUAACAAAGCAGUUUGGAAAUCUUUUGAUCCUUUUGACAUAUCGCUUUGAUCAAAGAUAAUCCCACCGAGUGUGCCAAAACUAUGUUCGCAGCGGGAAUUUCCGUGGGGAAUGCUUCCUGGCCGACGAGCACACAGCUCCCCGAAAGGUUGGCGCCGGUUGAUGCUUUUUGUUGGGCUUUUGCUUUACUGGCGGGCUUGUCGGGCAAAGCCUGUCGGGCAAGGCUGAAAGAGAAUGACAGAGUUAACUUUGAAAGGUGCAUUUGUGAGGCCUUAGGUGUAGGCCUUGAGGCUCACGAUCAAGAUUAACUUUGAAUUGCUCAAGCAUGCCACUACCAUCUUCAGCAUAGCAAAUGUAGAACAUAUGUUUGAGUUUUAAUUAUAUAUUCGAGAGACUAUGUUAGUUAUUGACAGGUGCCUUUGUGGGGCCUUAGGUGUAGGCCUUGAGGCUUCCCAUAAAUAACUAACUUAGUACUCAAACACAUAAGGUUCUUUUUAUUGGUUUUAUGGGUCUUAUAACCAUCAUACUUCUGAUUACCUGAGCUCAAAGAGCAGAAUGAAUCCAAAUAGGUGCCUUUGUGGGGCCUUGAAUAGGCCUUGAGGCUUCCUAUCAGAACCCCUUCUGUACUCAAUGUUCUUGCCCGAGAAAUAGGAAUCCAAAUAGGUGCCUUUGUGGGGCCUUGUAUAGGCCUUGAGGCUUCCCAUCAGAACCUUCUGUACUCAAUGUUCUUGCCCGAGAAAUAGGAAUCCAAAUAGGUGCCUUUGUGGGGCCUUGAAUAGGCCUUGAGGCUUCCCAUCAGAAUUUAUCCCGUACUCGAACGUUCUUGCCCGAGAAAUAGGAUGAAUCCAAAUAGGUGCCUUUGUGAGGCCUUGAAUAGGCAUUAAGGCUUCCCAUCAAAAUUCAUCCCGUACUCGAACGUUCUUGCCCGAGAAAUAGGAUGAAUCCAUAUAGGUGCCUUUGUGGGGCCUUGAAUAUGCCUUGAGGCUUCCCAUCAGAAUUCAUCCCGUACUCGAACGUUAUAUGGUCAUCAUAAUAUAAUAGAAAUAAAACUAAGUGGUAGGUCGAUUACUUGCGCCCCAAGUAACUUCGGACUUCUUGUUUAUCAAAGCUUGUCGUGGAUGGGUUAAGUCCACUUCAGGUUCUUUUUUAUGCCUUGAGGCCAAGGACUUUUUCAGGUGAUCAAAUCUUAUAUGCCCGAGGGCUUAGAGCUUAGAUCUGGCUUGAACUGUGAAGACAUAUUCAAAUCGGAUUCAAACGCUGAGAGAGUCUUUUAAUAGCUAUAUUACUAGAAAUAACUUGGAUACAACUUGAAGUAUACAACAUAUUGCUAGGCUAAUGAAUGAAAAGACAAAAACGAAGAAGGUCGGGCAAGGCUGAUCGUCUUGCAACUUCCUAUCUUCGUGGGUUAACAGAAGGUUUGAAAGCUUAGAAAAGGGGUUGGGAGGUGAGUUUGCAUAAAGAAAAUCAAUACUACAGCAGGCGUUGAACAGGGUAACAGAGCUAUUACAAAGGGUUUGUCUCGAAAGGGAUGAAGGCUUGGGCUGACUACAGCUUCGUUUUGAAGGCAAAUCUGGCUUUGAGCAGAGUUUGUGCUUUUAUUUGUUUGUUUGAGUGUCCUUGAUUCUGACUUCUCUUUCUCCUUUUAUAGCCACCUUGGCUUGGCCUCCUGUAGCAAUAAUCUUGCCCGAAUGCAGUUUGAAUGAUAGUGACUCAUCAGCUAUUUACUUGUACUGCCAUCAUAAAGUACUUUUGGGCUGAUUAGCUGGCUGGUCUAUACCACUUGGCCCUUGGGUAGGUGAGCAAAUGGUGCAAAUGAUCUGCAUCUAGUCGGGCAAGGCCCUUUCUGCUUUCUAGGUCUGGGCUGAGCUUCGGGCUUUUCUUUCUCUUUUUGUGCCAACUCCCUUCUAAGCCCAAAGUUUAAGUUUCAACCCAAACACCAAUUAUCAGGUAAUUGUUAUACUUGGAUUUGUCAAUUAGCCUCAUGAUUUGGAGACCAACAGACAUGUACGGAGCCAAUGAAGGCCCACUUGCGGCAGAUGCCCCCACUCAAAUAAUAUGUUAGUUAAGUUGCAGAUUAUAUAUACGUGUUAUCAUUGAAAAAAAAUAUAUGUAUCUAAUAUCAAGCAUAUCUCCAUACUACUCCCUAUCAAAUACUAUAUGAGCAAACGUGUUCUUGUUCUGUCAUUCAAACCAAAAAACCCUAUCAUGCUUCUAAUGUGUUAAUAUUUUUCUCAUCAAUUUGCCACUUUCAACUGCUAUAUUAAAUUUUUUGUAACAUUGGAAUUGUGAUACAUCGUCAUUUGAAAUCAUUAUCAUAUUGUAUAUAAGCCAUACUAUAUACGAUUUUCUUAAUUGUUUUUCGGAUUACCCCUACUAGAAGAAAUUUCUUGUUCUGUCACUGACAGCAUAUGCUGUUUUUUUUUUCUAUUUUUUUGUUUGUGACUCCAUUCUCUUUGAUUUUUGGUCUCUUUGGACUUUUCCUUGCGUCCGUGGCUGGCAGUGAAUGAGGAGAUUUGGACCGAGAGAAAUUUGCACCUUGAUUGCAUCCUUGGACUUAGGUUUAUGCGCUUUGAUUUUUCUUGGUCUUCCUUAAUUUGAUUUUCUGUGUGCGUUUGUGAAUUUGGCCUCGAAGUCGUACCACGUGCGUCCAUGGCCUUCUUUCGUCUGCACCAAAGGUAGGCCUAACUAGAUUUUUAAACGUGUAAUGAAAGGAAGAUUAAAUAUGUAAAUUAAAUAAUAGGUCUUCAACAGGUACACUGAACACUAACCUAAUCAUGACGAACCGCUGGAAAGUCGAUAAUUAGAUUAUUAUAUAAGUGUUGAUUAAUGUGCUUAUUUCUUAUUGGUGAUACAUUAUUUUGUUACUAAAUUUAAUCUAUCUAGAAUUACCCUUUCUAAAUCUUUUCAUUGACUUCUGUGGCUACAAUUAUUUUUCUUUAGGUAAUGCUAAGGAGAGUGAAUUUCAUAAACUAAAUGGCUUGAAAGUUGAUGAUUGGAUCACCACUUAAGUGUUAAUUAAUGUGAUUAUUUCUUAUUGGUGACACAAUAUUUAGUUUACAAAUUUAAUUUAUCUAGCAUUACCCUUUUUCUUUUACCUUGAUUUAGACAUCUCUCUGUCAUCCUCUUGAAUACACAAAGCCUGGGCUGUUUCUAUUGUGCAAAAGACCUGUUUACUAGCCUUGAAUUGAAAGUUAGGAUGGGUACUUCGACCAAAAAAAAGUUAGGAUGGGCACUAGUUUUGGAGUGAAUAUGUUCUAACUUGAAAAAUCAAUGUCAAAUUUAAUUUUCACUUUCACGUUACAUACUAUAUUAUUCUAGGUUCUAACUUGAAAAAUCAAUGUCAAAUUUAAUUUUCGCAUUCACAUUACAUACUAAAUUAUUCUACACAUAUGCAAUUAAAACGAUAAAUAAAAUGUGCACAUAGAAUGUAGAAUUUAAUGAGACAAAACCCACCACUGGGAAAAUUCUUGAACUCCCAAGUUAGGACAAAUACUAAGAGAAAGAAGUACAUAAAGACUUAUAAAACUCAUUAACUAGAAACGCAUACUACUAGUUAGUUUUGUCUCCGCACUUUACUACUUGAUCUCUCUUCAACCUUCAAGUAGAAAUUGCACAACACUAACAUGACCGUCAAUCACUGUCUCCUCAAACAUUGCAAGAUACUAACUCAAUCAUGCACAAUGUAUGAAUUAAAAUUAUUUUUGAAAUCAACUAAUUACGACAAAGCAUAUUUUCAUAAUUGAUUUUAAUUAGAGUGCAAUGAAAAUCAAUGAACAAAACUAAAUUUCUCUUCAAAAAUACCUGGAUACAAACUGAUUUUUCUACCAUAAACCUCACGAAAAAUAAAAAUUUCUCUUGAGAAAACACAUGCAACUGACUGACAUGAAAAACACAAACUUUCUGCUGCGAAUCUCACAUUAAUGGGAGGAGUGACCUUGCAUGUGCUUAUCAGAGCAGAUUGUUUCACGUGUGAAACCCAAUGGUUACAGGCGCUCCACGACACCUGUUUGUGUGGUUUAUAUACUACGCUUAAAAAUUUGCUACACAGGCAUGUUUAGAAUAAGUCCCACAUUGAUGGGAGGAGAUAUCUUGCAUGUGUUUAUAAGUAGUUGGGCUAUUCUCCAUAUUACCAAUUCAUUUUAUGAUAAAACCUCAAUUUUCUUCAGCUUUUUGUGCAUGGUGCUGCCUCAAAUGCAAACUACAAUAUAUACCUUCAGAGCAUACAACAAUAUAUAAGAAUAUAUAUGAAUUUCAAAACAUGUAGCAAAGUAAUGGAUCUAUAUAAUGCAUGUAGUUGUUGUAGGCUAUUAUAUAUAUAUGACUUAAACAAUGAAAAUGGAGCAGCAAUCCAAUACUCAAAAACUCAUUCUGAUACACGCAGCAGCAUCCUUUUCACUUUCACGAAACACAAUGGUAGCAACCACAACUCCUUUUUAACAUCGACCCCUGUAUGAAUAACUUGCGGCAACAGCAAGCAAAUCCCUAAUGUAAUCUCGUCUAUAUAUAAGCUGCAGUAGGAGACUUCAACACGACUUAAACCUCUAAAUAGAUAAUAAAAAUAAAAACAAAACAUUUGGAAUUUUUUUUUCCAAAAAAAAAAAUUUGGAAUAUUUAAUCAAUAUGCUAAAGGUGCAAAACUAUUAGGGGGCGUUUGUUGCGCUGGACUAUCUCGGACUGGACUAGCUUCAAGGACUAAGCUGGACUGACUUAGACUAGACUAAGCUGGACUAACUUAGUGAAGCGUUUGGUGCAGUGUUGGACUAAGAAGCGGAUAAUAACAAAUUCUAAUAUUAUAUUAUUUAAUAUAUAAAUUAUUAAUAUUUUAUUAUAAUCUCGGUGAUCGGAGAUGACGAGGAGUCUAUCGGGAGUGGUUGUUGAGCAUGACGAGGACGAGAGAGGAUAGUCUUAGCUAGUCCCAUGGUUAUUGGGGGGUCUCGCUAAGACCUCUUAGUGAAGGGUUUUGUCCAUGCUAGUCCCCUUUAGUCUCAUUAACGUUAGUCCCAGCAUGAAACAAACACAGUAUUGGACUAACACCUACUCCAGUCCAGUCCAGUCCCACUUAAUGAGGGCAAACAAACGCCCCCUUAAGUUGUAAUAAAGCAAGCACAACAGUAAAUGUACAGAUCAACCGGUAGGCUAGGGGUCUACGGCUAAUUAAAAAGACAUGGGAUUUUAAUUAAGAUAAAUGGAAUCUUAAUUAAAGUAUCAAACUAAUUAACGUGCAAAGUCCAAAACUAUACGGUCAAUUUAACACAGACUUACCAUAUGAAUACAUAUGCACGUUAAAUUUACUUGAGUAAUUUCUUUAAAAUGAUUUAUAUUCUUAUAAUUAAUAGCACAUGAAAUAAACUUAGACUAAAAUAAGUAGAACUGAAAACAUGAUUAUUUUAAAAUAUUAUAGACUUAGACUUUUUGCUAGAAAUUGUCAAUUUUUCAGUAAAAAGUCUUCUUUUUAGCUUUAAAUUCCUUUCUUUCCUUCAUCGUGCAGAGGUUUGCUUGGAAGACAAUUGGCCAUCUUUUUACCCUUUUGACUAUUCUGUCUGUAGUCCCAAACUUAAUUAGUAAGUGGGAAAUUCCUUUUUUUUUUUUUUUUUUUUUUUCAAGGGGUCUUUUGAUAUGGGCUGUUCUAAAUUUCUACACAUAUUUUGAAUGGAAAUUACUAGUAUUACGCCUUAUAAACAGGGUUAGUAAGUAGACCACAUCUCCACGUUAGAUAUUUAGAACAUGUUUGGUACUCUACUUGAAUCCAACUUUUUAAACGCAAAAACAAUUUUCAAGUUUUAGGCCUUAAAAACUUGUUUGGUAGGACUAUUUUAAAAAACUUAACUCAAGACUAACUCAAAAAUAUAAUCUAUUAUCUAAAAACACAAAAAGAGAAUUUUAGAGUUUUUAAACUUAAACUCACUUUUUUUUUUUAUCCCUCCUCCCCUCACUCCAAAUCUAUCCCUUUUCUUCUUUCUCUCUCCCCCUUCUUUUUUUUUCUUUUUUUCGUCUCUCCUCCAAUCCGCUAUCUUCAUUCUCUCGGUUCUUUCUCUCACUCAUUUUCCUCUCUAUCUCCUCCGAUCUUCUCACUUCUUUCUCUUUCCUCCAAUCAUCUCUUACUUUCUUUUCUCAUCUCUCCUCUUUCUCUCUCGACCCUCUUUUUAUGGAUCUUUUUGUCCAAUUUAAGUUAUAAGAUUUAAAAAUUUUAAAUCGCAUACCAAACAAGUUUUUAAGUCUUAAAGAAAAUUGUUUUCAAGAAAAAUUCUUAAGAAAUGUUUUGAAAAAUUAUAAAAAUUUUCAAAUAGGAUAAAAAACAAGCCCUUACCUAUCCUUGAUUUUCACACAAAUUACAUCACGUGCCGCUCAAUUGUUUAUGAAAUGAGUUGUCAGAUUUCAGAAAUUUAGGGGAGUUUAUCCAAAUCCUAUUCGGACGAUUACUUAGAAAAUAAAAUAACUUUCCGAUUAUGGUGUUUUUGAGAUUCAAAUUCGAAUUAUUAAGUGUGGGAUAAUAUUUUUACACUUCUUUAUAGCCUUUAAAUUUUAUAACAUCCAAGGAUUCUUAUUUAUUCAUUAACUAACUUGAUGCUUAUGUAGAUUUUAACAUUUUUUUUUUCGCUAGAAAAGAAAAUCAAUUAAACGGAAGAACCUCAAGUACAACCAGUUCUAGAAGCAUCAAACAGAAGAGCAUUAGAUGCUUCCACAGGGAUACAAGCAUCCCAAAUAUGAAGGUUAUCCAUCUUAAUACCAACCAAAGUUAAGGCAUCCGCCACAAAGUUUGCUAACACAUAGUUCUAUAUAACUUCCUAGAACGAAGAGGCAUACAACUUGAUAUCUUCUAAAUGGAUCUUAAAUUCCAUGGAAUCUCGCACUUUCCUUGGACCACAUCAAUGAUAAGCUUGGAAGCACCCUCAACAAUAAUACAACUAAAUUUUUUCCUUCUAGCCCAAGUGAUAGCUUCCCGAAGCGCCAAAGCUUCAGACACAUUGAUGGUAUUCGAUCUCAAAUUUAAAACUCCAGUCGGAAGAGGGUUCCCUUGAUCAUUUCUGAUAACAAAACCUAGAUUUUAACAAAUAUUAAAGAUAAAAAUAAAAUUGAAAAAACAUAACUAUGAAAAAUUAGAAAAAGGAAAAAACCCUAGUUGUAAUCGUGAAAACAAGAAAGGAGGUAUGCAACCUCCAUCUCCCCCUUUGUCGAUGAGGUCUGCAACUUCUAUGCCCUGGAUUGAUACAAAAUUAUGAUGCCUUCUACAACGAGUCAAGAUAUUAGUCUCUUGAAUCUUCAUGAAGUAAGCAAAACAAAACGCUACAACAAGUCAAGUUAUUAGUUUGUUGAAUCUUUGUGAAGUAAGCUAAACGCUAAAUUCUAUAUUAUUGUUCAUAUAUGUAGGGUUUGCAAAAUCCUUUUAGUUUUGUCAGUUAAUGUUUUUGAUGAUUUUUCUACUCUUUUAGUUUUUCAAAUCAAACAAACAACUAUCUCAAUACGUUAUGCUCGGUUAGCUAAUCCCUUGGGCCCCAUAUCGUGCCCUAGUAUUUUUGUUAGCUAGUGAAUUUGGUUAGUCUGUUCCAAUUCUUGAGCAAAACAAGUUCUACAAAUUUUAUGUGCAAACUCCGAUCCACCACUCAUUAUUGAGUCGUCCGCCUAUAGCGAAUUAGUAAUAUUUAGGGAGAAUCAUGCAAAGAAGAUUUUUUAUUUUAUUUUAUUUUCUUGUGAUUAUUAGGGUUGUAUUUUACAUCAUGAAAAAAGAGAUUUCAUCGAGAGCAUUGCAGACCUCAUAGGCAAAGAAGAGAUUUCAUGUUUUUUUGUUAUUUGGGUUCAAAGUCUGAUUAUUUGUUUUUAGAUUACAGCUAGGGUUUCUUCCUUUUUAAUUUUAUUUUGAAUUUUCCAGAUUUUAUGUUUUUUCAAUUUUAUUUUUAUCUUUAAUAUUAGUUAAAAUCCACAUAAGCAUUCAUGUCAUUUAAUGAAUAAAUAAGAACCCUUAGAUGUUAUAAAAUCUAAAAGCAAAACAACGUGCAUAUGGUUCACACAUAUUUACAAGAGCGCUGCUAACGAAAACAUUCUCUUCCAUUCCAUGUCUGAGCACAAACCCAUGAAUCACUCUUCCCAAAUUCAAAUCUUUCAACUCCGAGCAAGCAGGUAGGAUUGAAGAAACUGUUACUACACUGGGUCUCACUCCAGUCUCCAUUCAACCCCAUCUCACGAAAUGCCUCCGAACCUUGUCUAGGCAUCCCGCAGUUAACGUAACAAGAACACAAAGAGGUCCAAGACACCACAUCUUUCACCAUCAUGCCAUCAAAAACUCGUCUCGCCCCCAUCAACAUAUCUACAUUUUCCAAACAUAUCGACCCACUAGUACAAAACAUACUUGCGCGUCGGAGCAAAUUGCAUCGCGCAAAGUAUGUUUGCGCAACGGUGACAACAAAACGUCAGGCAAACGUAUUUUGUGCAAUGAAAUUUUGCGCGACGAAGACCGACGUCGCGCAAAACAGCUUCGUGCGAUGAAGGAGCACCUUUGGUGGCGCAAAGUUGGGAAAAAAGGCGGUAAAAGUCUUGGUUUGGCGCCAAAAGCUUGCGUGACGCAAAGGCCUCGUCGUGCAAUUGUCCUUUGCGAGACGUAGGUGUGCAUUGUUGAGCAAAAUUUCUUUGCACGACAAAGACUGCCGUUGCACAAAACUGCUUUACGUGACGAAGGUACACCUGCGUCGCGCAAAGCUAUUUUGUGCAACGAAUGCACACCUACAUCGCGCAAUCGUGUAAAGGUUGUGGUAUCCACUUGUGUAAAUAUUUUAAAUUGAAGAUAGAAUUCACUCAUUGUAUUCAUAUAGGGUCAAGGAGUGUAGUGUAAAAAAAUCAUCAAAAUCGGAGUUAAAACUACCGCUAAAUCGUGAUUUUUAGUUUAUAACCGUCGAAAAAUUUUGUCCUGUUACUUUAUCUCUGAAUGUUUGUUUUUUGCGGUUUUUGACAUAUGCGAUCUCGAAGCAUAUACAAACAUGUUUGACGGUUGGAUUGUUGAAACUAAUUUCGUAGAAUGCGUAUCUCAUCAAAACAAUAACACUUAAGAGUUUAUUUGUACUUUCAUUAAGUAUAACAUAAAAUUUUGUGGUAUCUAUUAGUGUAAAUAUUUUAAAUUGAAGAUCGAGUUCAUUCAUUGUGUUCAUAUAGGGUCAAGGAGUGUAGCUAUAAAAAUUAUUAAAAUUAGAAUUAAAAUAACUGUUAAAUCGUGAUUUUUUGUUUAUAACCGUUGAAAAGUUUUGUCCUGUUACUUGAUCUUUGAAUGUUUGUUUUUUGCAAUUUUUGGCAUAUGCGAUCUGGAAGGAUAUACAAACAAGUUUGACAGUUAGAUCUUUAAAAUUAGUUUCAUAGAAUACGUAUCCCAUCAAGUUGAAUGAUAUAUAUAUAUAUAUAUAUAUAUAUAUAUAUAUUUAUUUAUUAAGUAGUUUUAAAUUGAUUUAUUUUGUAUGUAUAACACUUAAUAAAUUGAAUUUUAUAUAUAUUUAUUAAGUAGCUUUAAAUUUAUUAUUGUAGUUCGUAUCAGAUUUUUGUUAGAAAAUUAUAUUAUUAUGGGUUUUAUAAAAAAAAUUGAAUUUGAAAAGAAUAAAGUCAAAAUUUCAAUAAAUUUUAUAAUAUAUAUUUUUCUAAAUAUAACUUGGGUGACACCAUAAUAGACUUGUUGCGCAAAAACACUUUGUGCGACGUCAUAAUGUGUACAUGCGUCGCGCAAAAUCACCCAAAUUAUGGCGGUGCAGUUGUAAAAAAUAGGCGGUUUUUUUUUAAAUGUUCUCAAAUUUAUACAAAAUAGGUCUCUCUUCCCUCCAUCUCACUCGGUCUCUCUCUUCCCUCUCGCUCCUCUCUCCCACUCCGUCUCUUCCGUCUCUUCCGUCUCUGCCCUCUCUCUCACUCCGUCUCGCUCUUCUCUCCCACUCCUGUGCACACCCGCCAAACCGCUGCCCCUCGUUUCUCUUCCCUGGAAGAUCGUGUUGCUUCCUUGAGGCCAUCAUCGCCUCUUUACCUUCACUCGAGGCCUUCAACGACUCUCUUACAAAAUUAGGGUUUUAUUUGGUGCUAGGUUCAUUCUUCUAGAAAAACAGGUUAGGAAUUUGUUGUUAAUUUAAGUGUAAUUUAAGUUUCUGUGAAAAUAUUAGUUCUAAAAUUAGGGUUUUAUUUGGUCCAGAUUUCAAUUUUAGUUUGUGUAUCAGAUUUCAAUUUCAAUUAGCGGUUCUUUGAACUGUUUCGCAUCUAGGGACCAAAAUCCGCAGGGUGAUGGGAUAUAUGAUAUAUUGGAGGAAUUGACUGUGAAGAUGAAACAUUAUCGUUUGUGAUUGUCGAUCCAACUUUAAUCGUCUAUGAUAUACAUUUUCUCAAGAUUCCUAAAAAUACAUAGUUAAGGACUGGAUUAAAAGGGUGAAUUUUCCUAAAACUAGACUGGCUGGUUUCUGGCAAGUCAGUGGGCAUGUUUUUUUAUUGAGUUUAGCUUCAUCUUAGGUUUAUGUGAUGUAUCGUGAUGUUUGUAUCUGCACCUGGAAUCUACUUUCGUGCUAAUUUAGAUUUUGGUGCAGGUCAGCAGUUGUCUAAGUUAUAUUCUUUUGGUUGAUCUACUUAGAACUCUUGAUAAUCUUAAUGUUUUGUGCUGUAUCUCCCCGUGAAGGCUAUUAUAACUGCCUAAGUUAUGAGACCCAUGUUGGCAAUAUUUAUGUGGCUUUGCUGACAAAUUGGCUAUGGUUGAAAUUUUGUUACUUAGCUUUGCUGACAAAGUGGCCAUGCUGGGUUUGAGAAUGAUUAAUCCACUUUCUGAAUUUAAUUACUUUGAACUUUGUCUAGUGUCCUUCCAAAGCAUUUCAUAUGGGGAAUGCUGACUUGGAAGCCCGGUGCUUUUACUUUGUCUAGUGUCCUUCCAGUUUUUGCAGAAUAUGUAGAUGUUAUCAAGGGAAAGGAGAUUCAUGGGUAUGCUAUAAGACGUGGGCUUGAUGCAGAUGUAUUCAUUGGGAGUAGCUUAAUUGACAUGUAUGCCAAUUGUACUUGAGUGCAAGAUUCCCUGCGGGUGUUCAACCUGCUACCUAAUCGUGAUGCCAUUUCAUGGAACUCGAUCAUUGCAGGAUGUGUGCAGAAUAAAUGUUUUAGCUCUAGUUGAAUUGUGGAUUCAGUUUAGGAGUUUUGGCAUCUGUGCGUGGGUUACCUAUUGCAUUAUGCCUUACUACAUUGUAAAUUUGUAAUCAACAUAUUGGUUUUUCCUUUUCUUUGUCUUUGUCUUUGUGUUACCUAUUUCUUUCUCCGCUGGUACAUUUAAGAGUCUACAGGGAGAAGGUGGCUUUGGACCUGUGUACAAGGUAACAUAAAUUCAUGCAAUGAAAAUUAGCUAUAUUGCUAUACAAAAUUUAUGUCUUUUCGAAAUGAUGGUCCAUAGGGUACACUGAUAGGAGGAAAAGAUAUUGCAGUAAAGAGGCUUUCAAAGAAUUCCGGACAAUGAAUGAGAGAGUUCAAAACUGAAGUUAUACUCAUAGCCAGACCUCAGCAUCGCAAUCUUGUUAAGCUUCUCGGUUGUUGCAUUCAAAAAAUGCGAAAAGAUUCUAAUAAAUGAAUUUGUGCCCAACAAAAGCUUGGACUUCUAUAUUUUUGGUACGAUCCUUCAUUUUCAAUCUUAUUAUACUAUGAUUCAAUGUGGCAUCGAAAUAAUAGGUUUAAAGUUUCUUCAAAUCAGGAGGGACAAAAAUUGCUCGACUAGCCUAAGUGCUUCCACAUUAUCGGUGGAGUUGCUCGAGGGCUUCUUUAUCUUCAUCAGGACUCUAGACUAAGGAUUAUACAUCGAGAUCUUAAACCUAGCAAUAUUCUGCUAGAUGACAAUAUGAACUUGAAGAUUUCAGACUUUGGCUUGGCUAAAACAUUCGGCGGUGAUCAAAGUCAGGCCAAUACAAACAGAGUGGUUGGAACCUUGUAAGCAUGCUUAGACUUGUUUUGUGGUUUAUAAUUUACAUUGUUCUACUUUUGAAAUUCUCUCAUUGGUCAUUGCAUAUUGAUUUGGCAUUGGUUAUAUGUCUUCGGGAUAUGCAGCAAAUGGAAUUUUCUCGAUGAAGUUUAUGUGUUUAGCUUUGGAGUCAUACUGCUCGAGAUGUUGAGUAGGAAGAAGAUCAGGGAUUUCUCAUCAAGAUCACUACCACAACCUUCUUGGACAUGUAAGUUUAACCAACGAGGUGAUGAUAUUUUACAGUAAAAAGAAUAGUGAAUUAGAUGGUGCUCUUCGAAGCACUUCUUGUAAUGACAUGCCAUUUAACAGUGUUGAAGGUCUGCACCCUUUUACAUAUUAGGCCACUAACAUAUCAUACAUAUUUCAAUUUGUUUUAAGGCAUGGAUGCUAUGGAUUCAAGAUAAACCACUAUAAUUGAUCGAUAAGAUGUUUUGUGAUUCGUGGAACAUAUCUGAAGUGUUAUGGUGUCUUCAAGUCGGGAUGUUAUGUGUGCAAAGAGUACCUAAAGAUAGACCAAGCAUGUCAUGUGGUUUUGAUGUUGAGCAGUGAUGUUGCCUUGCCGCCUCCAAAGCAGCCUGGUUUUUACACUGAACGAAGUGUCCCUGAUACACCAUUAAGGAUGUUUUUUUGUUCAAACAAUACUUUCAGCACUAAGUUGAUAGAACCUCGAUAGAUCAUCAUUGCAGUGCUUGUUAGUCCUUCAAUCUACCAUCACAACACGCAUUCGGAAGGUUGACAUGAAGCUUGUAGUCUUGGCUGGGAAACAAUGAGACAUGCGAUAAUAACUUUGAGAGAAAAGUAUUUAUGAAAGUUUAGUAGUUCCUAGAGCACAAUAGAGAAAGGAUUUGGGGUUGUUAGGUGGUUGAAGAAAAUUUACGUUAUAGUUAAAGUUGAGUUUAUUAUUUCUUAAUUAGAUAAUUUCAUUGAGUAGGAAAGUAGAUCAUGCAUAUGUACAUAGGAAGUUGGAGAAGCAAGACGAGCCUUGCUCCAACAACACUAUAAACUCCUCUGAAGGAAUGCCAUAUUUGGCUAAGAUCACCAAAACGUAAAGCUUUAUUGAUUCCUUGAGGAACUCAUGUCGCAUGCGCGCUGAUAUUAGCACGGUCCAUGCACUUAGUUCUGGUUUGGGUAUUUUGAUUGAACCAAAGGGGUAUUUUGACAUGGGUCUAAAGAAACUAAAAAUUGGGCUUAUUUUAAAAGUCAAAAGUUAUUAAAAAUUAGAUCUAUUUCAAAAAUAGGUUUAUAAAAUUGGACUUAUUUCUUAUUUUCCCCUUGUAAAUUGUUAGAAUUAACACUCGAGUUUGGUUCGGGACGUUUGGUAGUUAGACUUGACCAAAAGAUGUAACUUAUGAAACAUGUUGGAUAAAUAGCAACCAUUUAUGAUAAAUUUAUAUAAGCUAACAAAUAAUAAAUGCAAACAACUAAUUAACAGUGUAUGAACAAUGAAAUAAUAUUAAAUAGAAAUAUUGAAGAUCGAGGCUUGCAUACUGCAAUGUCCUUGAAACAUAAAUUUCAUCUCUACUUAGUGCUUGUAGUUCUACGGAUGUUUGUUUCAUCAGAAUUCAACGAUCAAGUUAGAAUUCCAGCACCGGAAAACUUAUUUAUGAUUGUAGAAGAAGAAUGUGAUUCAACGAUCAAGUCAGAAUUCCAGCAUCAGAAAACUUGGCUUUUAGUGAAUUUUUGUGUGGUUCUCAAAAAAAGGAUAUUUGUGAUUGUAUAAGAAGAAUGUUGAUUUUCUGUGUGUGAUUGUAGAAGAAGAAUGUUGAUUUUCUAUAUUCUAAAUAUCAUGCAAAUGAAUGUAUAUAUAGUGGGAUUAUGCUUGUGUUUUUUCAUUGACUUUAGACUUCAUCUCAAGACCCAUCUUUUAAUAAUUAAUUAUAUAUAUUAAUGAUUAAUUAAUUAUUAACUAAUUAGUCCACACCAAAGCCCAACCUCAAGGUUGAACUCAAUUUUAUUCUCUAUGGUUCAUCACUCCAAUCAUUAUCUAUAAAAGACAAAACCUUAUAAAAUGAGGAAACCUUUUGAAAGUGACCAAUAUGAGGCAAUAAAAUUUCUACCUAAAAUUUCCAACAAAACAAAAGUGAAUAAUUGCUUCAUGAUACCACAAUUGGUGGAAAAACUUCAGGGCAGGUAUGUGGACCCCAUGGCUAUCUUCCUCCACAUACAAAUGUCACACUAAAGUGUGGCACAAGUUUCUAUCCAUCGGUGAAGUGUUCGGAUUUAUCAGCUGCCGGUCAACUUAGUUUAUCCUUUCACUGAGAACAACUUUUCAAACCAAGGAACCCGAAGUCUUAACAAAAAUGCAAAAAAGAUGGUGAAGGAAAAAGACACUUGAAAGACAGUUAAUUUUUUCUUCUUCCAACUCCUCUGCAGAAAUGUACAGUUUCAGAAAUAUGACAAUGCAGUCCUUGAGAAGCAUUUUUGUGUGUUUGUUCUUAUUAUCCUUCCUAAGGAUCUCAUCUGCAGCUACACUAGGCACUAUCACUCGUAGUCAAUAUAUUAGAGAUGGCGAAACUCUGGUUUCAGCAGGUGGAGGCUUUGAACUGGGAUUUUUCAGCCCUGGUAACUCGAAGGGCCGGUACUUGGGGAUAUGGUACACAGUUUCUGCUGAUACAGUUGUUUGGGUAGCCAACAGAGAAACACCACUCGGUGAUUCGUCCGGGUUUUUGAAGCUCAGCGAGCAAGGAGUACUAGUCCUCCUUAAUAGCUCAGACAACAUUGUAUGGUCAUCGAAUUCAUCAAGAACCGUGGGGAAUCCAGUAUCACAACUCUUGGAUACUGGAAAUCUUAUUGUGAAAGACGGAAAUGAAACGAACUCGGAUAACUUCUCGUGGCAGAGUUUUGAUUACCCUUGUGACACAUUCCUACCGGAAAUGAAGCUUGGUUGGGACUUAGCUAGCGAUUUAGAGAGGUAUGUCUCGUCUUGGAAGAGCACAGAAAAUCCUGCUCCAGGAGAUUUUUCACUACGGAUAAGUCGUUGGGGCUUACCACAACUUGUUACUAUGAAAGGAGCUAAGAUACAGGCUAGAGGAGGGUCAUGGAAUGGUGUUCAUUUUACAGGAUAUGGAUCUAGUGGAAUAAGAAACUCCAAUCCAUUACCUGGGGUUGAAUUUCGGUUGAACAAGAAUGAGGUCUACUAUGAGUACAGGCUCCUAAACAGGUCGGAGUUCUCGAGAUAUGUAUUGAACCCGUUAGGCAUCACACAACGGUUCACAUGGGUGUACCAAACACAGAGUUGGGAACUUUCCUUUACAUUCCAAGCAGAUCAGUGUGAAAAUUAUGCCUUGUGUGGUGCAUAUGCUACUUGCAAUAUCAACAACGCUCCAAUAUGUGCAUGCUUGAAGGGAUUUGCACCAAAAUCUCCAAAAGAUUGGAACUCGGGAUACUGGUCCGGUGGGUGCGUUCGAAAGACUCCGUUGGCCUGCAGCCAUGGAGACGGCUUCCUAAAGUAUAAUGGGAUUAAAUUGCCAGACACAUCUACCUCAUGGUUUAAUAAAAGCAUGAGCCUCAAGGAAUGCAAGUGGUUAUGUUUGGAAAACUGCUCAUGUACGGCGUAUGCAAAUCUUGAUAUCAGGGUGGGAGGAAGUGGCUGCUUGCUUUGGUUUGGCAACCUCAUUGACAUAAGAGAAUUCGCUAUAAGUGACGUUCAGGACCUCUAUAUACGGAUGGCAGCUUCAGAACUAGGUAGCUCCUAGACUUUAUUUUUGUUUCUAAAGGUGCAUAGAAAAAUCACCAUAUAUUUUGACAUUAAAAUGGAAUGGGGUUUUGUCCACAGUUUAUGUUUUUUUAUUUUUUUCCUCCCCGAGGGGGUUCGAUAAGCCAGCAGUUAGAAUCAGCAUGGUGAAAAUCACUAAGGUUUUCGUAGAUUUAGGUCCAUAAUAAAAGGCAGAACUACAUGUUCAUCCACCUGAAAAUUAAGUGAGAAGCAGCAUGGCUAAAUGCAGCUCAUAACAUCAAAAUUACUGCAACAUGAGAGAUUGCUCACCAAAUCACACAAAAAUUUUGUUUUGAUUGGGAUAUUUCAGAUCACUUUGUGAAAGAGAGCAAGUUCAACAAGAAAAAACUACCAAUUCUCAUCAGCUUCGCAGUUUUACUCCUGGGAACGAUUAUAGUUGGAUUGAUAUUGUACAUACGGAAGAAGAAACUCAGAAAUGAAGGUAAAAAUCUCAGACAAGGACUCCGACUUUUAUUUUAUUUCUGUAUAUAUGAUUAUAAAAUUCAGGAACAAAAAUAUAAUUCAGAGUAUCAUGACAUUGACAAUGAAAAAUGCAGUAGAUAAAGUGUAACUAAUUGCUCACAUCAUUUUUACCCGUACUGAAGAAAUCUCCUACUGUUUCAGGAGUCAGAAGAAAUGAUUUCAGAAAAGAGUAUCUUGGAGAAGACAGGGAGUUACCACUAUUUGACUUGACCACCAUAGCCAAAGCAACUGAUAACUUUUCAAGCAGCAACAAGUUGGGAGAAGGUGGUUUUGGACCUGUGUACAAGGUAACAUAAAUUCAAGCAACUAAGAUGAGCUACUUUGCUAUACGUAAUUUAAGACUUUUCGAAACGGUAAUCCAUAGGGCACAUUGAUGGGAGGGAAAGAAGUUGCAGUUAAGAGACUAUCGAAGGAUUCUGGACAAGGAAUGAGGGAGUUCAAAAAUGAAGUAAAAAUGAUAGCCAGACUUCAGCAUCGGAAUCUAGUAAAACUUCUGGGCUGUUGCACUCAAGAAGAUGAAAAGAUUCUAAUAUAUGAAUUCAUGCCUAAUAGAAGCUUAGACUUCUUUGUUUUUGGUAUGAUUCCCUCCAAAACCAAACAUGUGGCUUUUAGAUCAUACCAUCCUUCACCUUUUAAACUUAUUUUACCAGGAUUCAAUGUGACACUAAUUAACAUGCUUAAAGUUUCUUCAGAUGAAGAGGGACGAAAAUUGCUCAACUGGACUAAGUGCUUCCACAUUAUUGGUGGAAUUGCUCGGGGACUUGUUUAUCUUCACCAUGACUCUAGAUUAAGGGUUAUCCAUCGAGAUCUGAAAGCUAGCAAUAUUCUGCUUGAUAAUAAUUUGAACCCAAAGAUUGCAGACUUUGGCUUGGCUAAAAUAUUCGACAGUGAUCAAAGUCAGGCCAGUACAAAUAGAGUGGUGGGAACCUAGUAAGUAUGAUCAAACUUGUUAUAUGAUUUAUGUUUUACAUUGUGUUGUUCUCUUGAAAUUCUUUCUCACUGGUCACUGCAAUUUGAUCUGGCAGUGGUUAUAUGUCUCCCGAAUAUGCUGUAGAUGGAAUUUUCUCAAUGAAAUCGGAUGUCUUCAGCUUUGGAGUUAUACUGCUAGAGAUGUUGUGUAGGAAGAAGAACAGGGGUUUUUGUCAUCCGGAUCACCACCUUAACCUUCUUGGACAUGUAAGUAUAACGAACGUGGUGCUCAUAUUUUACUUUAAAAUAACAUCUCGUCUAAUGAGAUGCCGUAUAACAGUAUAGACGGUAAGCAGCAAUGCUCCAAUCCCAUGCAAUUCUACUAACACAUCAUAUGUGUUCAACUUUUUUUAAAGGCAUGGAUGCUAUGGAUGCAAGAUAAACAACUGGAAUUGAUCGAUAAGACUCUUUCUGAUUCGUGCAAUAUAUAUGAAGUGGUAAGGUGUCUUCAUGUGGGGCUGUUAUGUGUGCAAAGAGUACCUGAGGAUAGACCAAGCAUGUCAUCUGUGGUUCUGAUGUUGAGCAGUGAUGUUGCCUUGCCUUCUCCAAAGCAGCCUGGUUUUUACACUGAACGAAGUGUCUCUGAAUCACCAUCAAGCAAGCGUCAAUGUUCAGAGAAU